Molecule: long non-coding RNA, 93472 nt
Filed under: Malus domestica (apple)
Lineage: Eukaryota; Viridiplantae; Streptophyta; Magnoliopsida; Rosales; Rosaceae
Description: long non-coding RNA (MDOM_LNC000777)
Source: RNAcentral
UUCCUACCACAAUGGGCUCUUUAUUAUCAAUUCAAACAUUGAACCUAAACAAUAAUGGAUUUGUGGGAGAAUUGCCUUCAUCUUUGGAGAACUGUACAAGUCUCAUGGUUUUUGAUGUUGGAGAAAAUAAAUUAUCAGGUUUGAUACCUAAAUGGUUAGGGGUUGGACUUCCAAAUUUGACUAUCCUUAUCCUCCGUUCUAAUCACUUCUAUGGAAGCAUUCCAUCACAGUUGUGUAAUAUGGGAAGCAUUCAAAUUUUGGAUUUCUCGAUGAAUAACAUCUCCGGAAGUAUACCCAAAUGUCUCAACAGUUUGACUAAUUUGGCUCUAAGAGGAAGUUCAAGUCUAACUAUCAGUCAUUACUAUAAUGUAUCCUCGAGUGGUCUCGCUUUUCUGUAUGACGACGAGGCAUCCUUGAUAUGGAAAGGCAUAAUGUCCAAAUACAAAAGUACUUUGGGGCUUGUAAAGAGUAUUCAUCUAUCAAGUAACCGAUUAACGGGGGAGAUUCCUAGUGAAAUCACUGAUCUUGUGGGGUUAGUUUUUUUAAACCUGUCAAGAAACAACUUAACAGGUCAAAUAACUCCAAAAAUCGGGAAGUUGCAAUCUUUAGAUUUGCUUGAUUUGUCAAACAACCAAAUACAUGGUACAAUUCCAACAAGUCUUUUCGGAAUAUCUGGCCUUGGUAAGUUGGACUUGUCCAACAACCACCUGUCUGGAAAAAUUCCCAUGGGGUCUCAGCUUCAAACCUAUGAGCCCUCUGUUUUUGCGGGAAAUCCUCUCCUUUGUGGAAUUCCACUUCAGACGUGUUUUCCUGAGGAAACAACGCCGGCAGAGCAACCAGUGGUUAAGAAUCAAGAUGAAGAUAAUGACGGGUUUAUAACAACUGGAUUUUACGUGAGUUUGGGGCUUGGAUUUGUCGUUGGAUUCUGGGGAGUUUGUGGGAGUUUGAUAUUGACAGGUCAUGGAGAUACACAUACUUCAAGCUCUUGAAUGGUUUAAAUGAUUGGCUUUAUGUCAAGGUGGCAUUGCUCAAGCAACGAAGAAUGCUCGAUGAAUAAGCUGUAAGUAUACUGUCGCAUAAUGAAUAAUACUGCAAUUAACAUACAUGUCCUCCUCUCUUUUUAAACUCCCGGCUAACGGCUAACGCCUGUAAUUUACUUGAAUUUUUGUAGCUCGUCCAUCGGCUUCUUUGGUACGACAUGCUAACCCUUUCGGCUUUCGGUUUGAGAAGGAGCCUGAAGAAGAAGAAUGCAAUAACUUUUAAGUUGUGGUGGAAUUUCUCCAAAUUCAUGAGUGGGAAAUGUAUUUGGUUCAUUGUCGAGUUGUAAUUUUACACAAGUAUUUAUGGUUUUAGUUUCAAUUUUUCCCAAUUUGUUAUGAAUUAAUGGAUGAAUAGACUGCGUUCCAAAUUGAAAGCCAGGAUUGAAGAGCUGUGUGCAAGAGACUAAAAAGAGUGGCACUAAACGAAGACCAAAAAGAGUGCCACUAAACAAUGGACAUGAAUUAAAAUUUCAAAACUACAUUGAACUUGUUAAACAAAUUCAAAAAUAAGUGAGACGACCAGUUUGUGUAAUCUCAUACAAGCUUGUGAUAAACGAACAAGUUUGGCUCAUGAAAACAAAGGCAAAAUUAUUUUUUUUUUUAUUUAUUUGUUGCCCUAACAUACCAAACAGUAGCCCCCAAAAUCCGACUCCAGCUAAUUACCCCAACAAAAUAAGAAGAUUAAAUUAUGAAGAAAGGAAAAAAUAAUUAUGCUUGGGUCCAAAUAAAUGAGAAUUGGAACUCUUGGUAGCCUGUUAGCAUCUGGUCAAAAUUGUUCCAGCCUAUGGCUGAUAAGAGUUUUGUUCGAGCCGUUUCCACUCUGGAUGUACUCCUGUAUGCACGAGAGGUAAGAUGAGUAAAAGGGAAUGUAAUGCUGAAUAAGUGCUCUAGUUUAUUGUUUGUGGCUUGUUCUGAUCCUUCAGUAGAACGAUGCAGAAGCAGAUAAAAUAGUGUAUUCGAAUAUUGAUCAAACAUUCAGGAUUGGUACAAUACUAGUGGAAUUAAGCUUGUCUGAGUGAGGGAAUAUCACUAAUCAAAUAGCUAAUGCACAGCUAACUUGACUGAAAAGGGAAGGGAGGAAAUAACGAUAUCCAUAUCAAUUCCCCUCACUUGGUAAAAUAAGAACGUGACAGAAACAGAACAGCCAAUUAUGAAUAACCAGGAAUACGAAAAGAAAUUCUAAUGCAUAAUAUCAAUCAGCCCAUGAAAGAAAAAAAAAAGAGAUUUUGGAAAACCACAUGUAGGAGACAGGGAAACAGAUUAUACUUUCCAACUUUCGCUCCACAACUAUAUGCUUUUACGGAUAUCAUAUAGUAAAGAGGAAUGUUGAAAAACAAUUUCUUUUCGGGUUGCAUAGGUAAGUUUCACAGACCCACCGGGAUUAGCAUUCGCCCUCCACCCUUGGUCUUAAGGAAAAUGGCAUGUCAUUAGGUUCAAAAGCUAGUUGAAAGGAGAAACAUGUAAAGCAUUUGUAACCUUACCAAAAGAAACGAAAAUACCUUAGCACAGAUUUACUUAUGUGACAAGAGAUUAUGUAUCAGGAAAAAAACAAUGGUAGAAGCUUUCGGAAGGAAACAAAAAAGUAAGAAGAAAGAGAUCAUACAAGCAUAUCUUCUGAAAGAACUGUUUCCAUUAAUGGAAAAUGGUACAGGCCUCCUUUCCUGACCCAAAGAUAGGAUCUCUUGCAUCCUUUCAGGCCAGUCUGAAUUUAACCUCCGAGCAAAAUCUUCAACCUCCCUGAAUAACGAUUUAAGAAAAUAUGUAACAUUAGCAAGAACAAGUUUUGUCCCUAUAAAUUGCGUAUUUACAUGCAGAACCAUGGUGGAGGAUGCAACUUGAAAUUCCAGUUACAUCCUUAUCAGAAAAUAAAAUAAUACCGACGAGAGAAAAAGACUUGCAGAACCAGAAGAGUGGGCGGCCGGAACCAUGUUUCACAACAGAUGCUUAAUGGUGAUGACCAGAAUGAGAGCUAUUUUUCUUUAUAAACAUAAACAAAUAUUUAUUUAAUAUGUCCAAACAACUAUUGCACACAGAAAACUAAAAACCAACAUCUCUCAAAGCCACCAUAAAGAGCUAGCAAAGGCAAAACAAUAUCCCCAAUGUUUACUCAUUUUUAUCACAGACCAACUUUUUUAAGCAACCUUUUUCAUCUUCUUAGCUGGGUGAGGAGUGGAUUUGAACAUGGGACAGUUUAAAAAAGAAGUGGAGAAAUACCACUACAUUAAUAGCUAUUUAGUUUUUAAGCAAACUCUGCAACAUUGAAAACAAAUGACACUUUGAAAUUCUUUUGCAGGUAUCAAAUUUCAUCUUCUAAUUGCAUAUCUUCAAUUUCAUAAAAAUAAAAUAAAAAAUAAAACAAAAAUAAAGCAACGAAGUUGCACCAUAAUGAGAUCCACCAUUCUGUUUCCUUAAGCUUUCCAUAACUAAAGUCAUCAUCGACAAAGUUAUUACCACCGAGUUCAAUUCAGUACUUUUUCUUCCACAUGUUGCUCAACGUGAUAUAUAUAUUUUUUUUCAUCCACUAAAAUUAAAAAAGAUAAUAUUAUAUUGCAAACCGUGUAAUAACCCAAAAUAGUUGCAGACAAACCUAUCAAUUUUUUCCUUCAAUGCCGGAUCAAUCUCAUCGUCAAUAUCACCAUCAUCAAACCCAAUCAUAUCAUCCACCCUAUCAUCCUUUAGAUCUUGUAGCUUUAAUGUCAAACUAGAACUAGGCGUAAAUUUGUUGAGUUGAUCACUGGGGCAAGCAAAGUUAAGAUUGCUUGACACCUAAAACAUUUGGGCGAAAAGAAAAAUGAAGAAAAAUUAGCUACCCAACAACUCAAGCGGAAAUGUACAAGUUCAAGACCGAAUUAGUGAUUCAAACCUCAUGGAGCUCAUUGGCCUCAUAUAGACACGUGCUUUUCUGCUGAUCUUUUCUCCUGCGAUUCUUCUUUUUGUUCUUGGAAGUUUUAAUCCCUUUGGAAUCUGUGACACAUAAUUUCCUUACCUCCAAUGAGGCCUUCAAAAGGAAAUAAAGUAAAAAUAGUCGACUAAGACACUACACUUCAAAUCCCAUUUAAGGGAAUCUUAAGUACUUCCAAGUACAGUAUAAUGUGGGCUAAUGCAAUCCUGAAAAACAUUAGGAUCAAGUGUGCAUUGUGCAAUUUGCUCGUUGGAACUACAACCUACUCAAUGAUAAAUCCAAUUUCUCAAUUAACAAUAACUAUGCAGUCAAGGAAUAAGAGAGCAAUUACUCAGGUAUACCUCCAAUUUCUCCAUUAAUGAAUGACAAGAGUUCAUCAACUGAACGAUCAUCGUUUUGCUCUUCUUCGAGCUCGGCAUUCUGAAAAGUAUGGAAGGUUCAAUAAUGACUACUGUUGAUGCACAAAAUCAGCGAAGACUUUGGUACAACAGAAAGUGUCAGGUUUUGUGACCUUCGCUUGGUUGCUUCGGUCACUAGUGAGGAUAAGUACGUAAAUGAAUAGAGACAGAGAAACAAACACAGGAUGUACGUGGUUCACCCAGAUUGGCUACGUCCACGGAGUAGAGGAGUUCUUAUUAGUAGUGAAGGGCUUACACAAGUACAAAGGAUCAAGCUCUCAAUUUAGUGAGUUCUUGUGAAUGAUUUAACACAAAAUGGCAUUAGGCAAUAUUGUGGGGGAAUGACCCCUAUUUAUAGAAAAACUUGUAGCUUUGUCACAUUGACAUGUGUCAUGUUAUGAUUGGUUCUUGAUGUUGACACGUGCUGCGCUCUGAUUGGCUUCUAAUCUUGACACGUGUCGAGUAGUGAUUGGCCUCCUGGUCGGAGGGGAACUCUUCUGGGUCCUUGACAGUAUAGCGUUGGCCGGUGCUCGGUAGUUUCGGGAUUGGUCAAGUAUGGUACAAACAGUGCUCCCCUAAGUUCCCGAGUGAGGGAAACUCCUCGGUUGGGGACUUGCAAGAUCCAAUCCCUUGAGUAAUCACGAAACUUCUAAGUACCGAAGUGUGGUCUGAUCUUCAUCUGCCCUUCUCUGGAAGUACCUUUCCUCCAUCCGGGAAUGGUGUACUUUAGCUGAUGUUGACGCACAAGGUAAUGUAUCAAUUUCACUUGAAGCUUAGUUGUAGUUUCGGGCUUAGUCAAGUGUGAUACAAACCCUAUAGUAGGAGUCCCCCAAGUCGCCGAGCUAGGAGAUCUGCCGAAAGAGGUGACAGACAAGGUAAGCAGUCAAACUUCCAAGUAAGCAACCCAGGAUCAGAGGUUUGACGUCGGCUUCCGGUUGAUUGUUCUCAUUCUCCUUGUCUCUCAUUCAACUGCCAGGAUAAGGAGAAGCAAAUGGAUAAGAGAUGAUAUGAGAUACUUUUGCUUUUGAAGAAGUAACUUUCCACAGGCUUAUUCUUGAACUGUGCUGGAGGGUUUUCUGGUGCCCUUCAGAGUAUAAGGCCGACUCAAAAAUUUGAGGGUCAAAACAAGUCCAUCAAAUCUAGAGUACGUUCGACCUUGAUGAUAUGGGAUACUUUUUGCUGUUGACGGAAUAAUGAAUGUGGUAUGGAAAGGUGUCGUGCUGUAGUGAUCUGUUUCAGCUCACCGUUGAACCUUCUGCUUCAAUCUUUUGCAUGGCAGAAGUGGUGUGCAACCUUUGCAUUUAAAUGGUCCUUCAGAACAUUCCUUCAUAGUGACUCAUCCACGCUUGGCAGCUUCAGUGUAAAGAGCCAAUAUCUGAUCAACUGUCAUGAGGUAUUUGCCGGUGGAAUUCGUGACCUUGACAGCAGUUGAGGAUGAGUACUCGAGAGCAAUGCUAAGUAAGCAACCAGGCAAAGGCUCCAGGCAGUCAGUUCCAAAUUGGAGGUUUGAUUUCAGGUUCCGACUGACUGCUCUCUUUCUCCUUGUCCUGCAGGUGUGGACAAGGACAAAGACAAAGACAGGGAGAAAGCAUGAUAUGGGAUACUCUUGCUUUCGACCCUGAUGAUAUGAGAUACUCUUGUUCUUGGUGUGGCUUAUUUGCUGAGGUAUUAUCGGGGGGAAAAUAAAGCUGAGUAUUUCGAGAGGUUAUGUUGAGGGUGCCUUUUCGAAUGCGAGAAAGGGUUGAGCAUUUUUGCAGGUUUGCCUGUCCGUUGAGGAGGGAGGUCAAUGUAUAUAGGGAUUUCCCAAUAACAAGUAGUAAUGCUAUUCCUUUACCCUUCUUGGUCACAGCAAUGUAGUGGGAGCUGCCAGCUUCACGUGUUUUAAUUUUGUCAGAGCACUUUGAAAAAGUGGUAUGUGGUAUCUGGAAAGCUGAUAUUACGUGUGGAGAUUACAGACAAGCUUUAUCUAAGGAAAUCUGGCUCUCGAAGUUCUGAGAGUUGUGCCUCUUCGGUUUUCGAACAAGCAAUCCCGUCGAGGAUCUGACUCUCGAGAUUCGGAAAGCGGUGCUACUCCGGUUUUUGAGAAAGUAAUUAUGUUGGGAGUCUUUUCUCGAAUGUGAGUAAAGGUUGGUCGUUCUUGCCAACCUGUCUUGCCACAAAACACGGAGGUCGACACACAUAGGGACUUUCCAGUUGUCAAGCAGUGGUGCUGUUCCUUUACCCUUAUGGGUAAUAGUAGGGUAGCUGGCAACUUCGAAAUUCUCGUGCCUAAACUUUGUCAGAGAUCUUUGACAAAGUUAUAUGUGGUACCCGAGGAGUUGAUGGUGCAUAUGGAGAGCGGUGAUUGAACAGUAAGAUUCACGUGCUUUCUACUUCACCAGAAAUCUUCGACAGAUUGCCCGUAAUUUCCGCAAAGCUGAUUGUGCAUGUGACAGGUGCUGACGAGGCUGCAAAAGCAGGUGCUUCUUCGAUUUCUGAGAUCGGCCCUCGUGGUCUCUGAGCAGCCCAGCUUUUGAGAAAGCAUUCGCCUCUUCGAUUUCUGAGAUCGGCCCUCGUGGUCUCUGAGCAGCCCAGCUUUUGAGAAAGCAAACGCCUCUUCGAUUUCUGAAGCUCCGUCGAGUGCAGAUUUUUAUAGAGGCUGGCAUUAAGUUCCACAGCACACUUGAAUCUCUACCAGUAGAAGCUCAUUUCUUGCACUUCUAAGAUCUUGAUUUGUCUGACCUCUUCCUUCUUCAACACAUUUGAAAAUGUCUGGACCCUCCGACCGUCGUUUUGACUUGAACCUUGGAGAAGAGACAGCCACGCCUUCUCCAGACAACAUAUGGCGCCCAUCCUUCAUAUCCCCUACUGGUCCUCUUACCGUUGGGGAUUCUGUGAUGAAGAAUGAUAUGACCGCUGCAGUGGUGGCCAGGAACCUUCUCACUCCCAAAGAUAACAGACUACUUUCCAAACGGUCUGAUGAGUUGGCUGUUAAGGACUCUCUGGCUCUUAGUGUUCAGUGUGCAGGUUCUGUGUCUAAUAUGGCCCAACGCCUAUUUGCUAGAACCCGCCAAGUUGAAUCAUUGGCUGCUGAAGUGAUGAGUCUCAAACAGGAGAUUAGAGGGCUCAAGCAUGAGAAUAAGCAGUUGCACCGGCUCGCCCAUGACUAUGCUACAAACAUGAAGAGGAAGCUUGACCAGAUGAAGGAAUCUGAUGGUAAGGUUUUACUUGAUCAUCAGCGGUUUGUGGGUUUGUUCCAAAGGCAUUUAUUGCCUUCGUCCUCUGGGGCUGUACCUGGUAAUGAAGCUUCAAAUGAUGAACCUCCAAUGCCUCCUCCUUCUGGGGUUUUGUCAAGUACUGAGGCUCCGGAUAACCACCCUCCGGUGCUUUCUCUUUCUGGGGCUCUACCGACUGCUGAGACUUCCCCUAAGCAACCUUUGUGAAGGCUCCCUUUUGUUUGUUUAUUUUGACUCAUGUAUAUGUACAUAUUUGUGGCUUAUCGAAAAUAUUAAUAAAUAAGCUUUGCUUCAUUUCAACAUAUUGUGUUAAAUACACCAAAGCCUUCUUCAUAAAGUUCUUUGAAUUUUUGCUUUUGUUGAAACCUGUAUUGUUGAAGCUUUGUGAGUGAAGCAUGUAGUUUGAGGUAGUGUUCCCUUAAUUUCCCGAGUGAGGAAAACUUCUCGGUUGGAGACUUGAAAAAUCCAAGUCACUGAGUAGUCACGAACUUUUGAGUACCAAGGCGUAGUAGCAUAUGGUGGGAGUCCCCCAAGUCUCUAGUCGAGGGAGUUGACGAAUGAGGUGUCUUGCUAAUAGUCCAUGUCGUAAGUACCAAAACUUCAUUCUUUUGUUUUCUAAGUGGUAGCCCCGGACUUUUUCUUCAUAGAUUUUGUUUAUGAAGGUUGCUAGGCCCGAAUAAGUGGAAUUGCAGAAGGUGUAACCGUUGGUGCAUUAACAUCAUAAUGGAAGCAUCACAACAAUGAUGGAAGCAUCACAAUGAUGAAAGCAUCAUAAUGAUGAAAACACCAUAAUGAUGAAAACAUCAUAAUGAUGUUUCUUUGGUGGAAUUGUUUUUUCAUUUCCCCUAACAACCGGAAUUGUUUUUCAACAUAACACCAUCAUCUGUAGGUCGAAUCACAAAGUUGUCUUCAUGAAAGUUGUUCGUUAAUUCCUUAACUACAACAUAUCCAAAUUGGAGAGCCAUCGGAGCAGUACAACUCCAGAAAUCCAGGUAUGAUGAGUGACUGUUUAUCAUUUGUCUGUCAACCCGUCAGAUUUGUUGUGAGCUUUGAAACUCUAUUUUCUCUUGCUCAGAUCAGCAUGCUUUCUUCAUUGAAGUUGUUCCUCAGCUUGUGAACUACAACAUAUCCAAAUUUGAGAUCCCUCGGAGCUGUAUAACUCAAGAAACUCAGGUAUGAUGAAUGACUGGUUAUUAUUUUUCUGUCAACCCGUCAGAUUUGUUGUGAGCUUCGAAACUCCAUUUUCUCUUGUUCAGAUCGGUAUGCUUUCUUCAUUGAAGUUGUUCCUCAGCUUGUGAACUACAACAUAUCCAAAUUUGAGAUCCCUCGGAGCUGUAUAACUCAAGAAAUCAGGUAUGAUGAAUGACUGGUUAUUAUUUGUCUGUCAACCCGUCAGAUUUGUUGUGAGCUUCGAAACUCCAUUUUCUCUUGUUCAGAUCGGUAUGCUUUCUUCAUUGAAGUUGUUCCUCAUCGACUCUUUCAUAACAUAUCAAAAAUUCAGGAUGAACUAACGGUUAAAUAUUUCCAGAUCUUCGAAACAUCACAACAGCUUCGAAAUCUGCAAGAAGCCGACUAUCAUGUUUGGAGCUUCAACACUUUAAUUUCCGUCGCUCAAACAGAAAUGGUUCCUUCUUGAAAGUUGUUCAUAUGCUCAAGAACUAUAGGGUGUCCAAAAUUCAGCUCCAUUGGAGAAGAGCAGAGGUUGCAGAAAUUUGAUAGAUGAAAGGAGGCGGAAGAGGGAGAGAGAGAAAAAAAGUCUCUUGGGUUGGAUUUCUAUUUUGGGGCAGAUUCCAAUUUUUGUAGCACCUUCAUUAUUGAUGAAUUGCUUGUACUUUUGUCCAUUAUGAAAUUUUGGGACUUUGGCUUGUUGUUGGAUCUAUUAUAAUAUGUUUGGGAACAUAUAUAAGUGAAUAAAUAAGAAGGAAAAUUUUGGGCCCUUGUGGGUGUAAAACAAAAAAUGUUUAUGUUUACCCAAGUGUUUUUUGUACAAGUUCAAGGGCAUCUUGGGUUUUGUGAACAAAAUUUGUUUAUUUGGAGCAAGGUUUUGUGUUGUUGAAGCUUUGUAAGCUUUGUGUGAAGCUUUGGAGGUGAAGCUUUUCGGGUGAAGCUUGUUGGGUGAAGCUUUUUAGGUUUUGAAAGCUUUGUUGGGUGAAGCUUUUUAGGUGAAGCUUUUCGGUGUGUGAAGCUUUUUUGGGUGAAAGCUUUUUAGGUGAAGCUUUUCGGGUGAAGCUUUUUGGGUGAAGCUUUUUAGGUGAAGCUUUUUUGUGGUUGAAGCUUUUUAGGUGAAGCUUUGAUGGUGAAGCUUUUUGGGUGAAGCUUUUUAGGUGAAGCUUUGUGGGUGAAGCUUUGGAGGUGAAGCUUUUCGGGUGAAGCUUUUUGGAUGAAGCUGUUUUUUUUUUUUUUUUUUUUUUUUUUUUUUUUUUUUGGCGCUUGACACGGUCUUCAUUUGCUUGUUUUGUAGUGACUUGCUUUAUUGAGAAGGGUUCCGGCAUUGCCAAAAUGGCCUUUCAUUACAUAGGAUGCCGAACGGCUAUAGCUCAACACUUGUACAUCGUGAGUCUAUUUGUAGUAGUACUUCAAGUGAUCAGCGUUCCAUGGAUGGCCAAGGGUCUUGCCAUCGGAGCUUCUAAGUGUGUAAGAGCCAGGGCGACUGAUGCCAAUGACUUCAUACGGUCCAUCCCAGUUUGGACUAAGUGUGCCUUCACUCGGGACUCUGUCGCAGAGUAAUCUUUUCUUUAAGACCCAGUCUCCUAUUUUGAAAGAACGAGGCUUGACCCUAGAGUCAUAAUAGUUGGAGAUGCGCUGCUUGUAGGCGACAUUCCUCAAGUGAGCUUGGUUUCUGUGUUCCUCGACUAAAUCCAAGUUGAGGGUGAGUUGUUUGUCAUUUUCACUUUGAAUGUAGUUCUGGACUCGGAAUGUUGCUUGCUCGAGCUCAACAGGGACAACCGCCUCUGUGCCAAAGGCAAGUGAGAAUGGAGUUUCUCCUGUUGAAGUCCGAUAUGAAGUGCGAUAUGACCAAAGAACUUGGGGUACAAAUUCUGGCCAACAGCCUUUAGCUUUGUCCAAGCUGGUUUUCAAAGUGCGCUUGAUUAUUUUGUUGAUGGCCUCAACUUGUCCAUUAGACUGGGGAUGAGCUGGAGAGGCAAAGCAUAAGUUGAUGUUGAACUUAGAGCAGAACAACCUGAACUUCUUGUUGUCAAACUGUCGCCCAUUGUCAGUGACUAUCGCAUUGGGAAUGCCGAAUCUACAAAGGAUGUUCUUCCACACGAAGUCUUCUAUCUUUGCCUCAGUAAUGGUUGCCAAGGGUUCUACUUCGGCCCACUUUGUGAAGUAGUCCACUGCAACGACUGCGUAACAGACUUUGCCCUUCCCUGCCGGCAUUGGGCCGAUCAAAUCAAGUCCCCACUGGGCGAAGGGCCAAGGGCUGAUCAUAGGAGUAAGAGGCUCUGGAGGGGAAUGAGGAAUAGCCGCAUAUCGUUGACAUUUGUCACAUGAGCGGGAUACUUUGAUGGCAUCCUGGUGGAGUGUUGGCCAGUAAUAUCCUUGGCGAAAAGUCUUGUGUGCUAGGGACCGAGAUCCAGCAUGAUCUCCACAGACUCCCUCAUGUAUUUCCCGAAGGACGAUUUCCGCCUCGGCAGGCGUAAGACACCUUAAGUAUGGCAGGCUAAAACCUCGCUUAUAGAGUUGAUCAUUGAUGAUCAGGUAGCGGGUAGACUUGUAUCGAAUUUGCUUAGCCUGGACUUUAUCAUUUGGGAGGGUGCCAUGAGCAAGGAAAUUAUAGAUCGGGGUGAUCCAACUAUCCCCCUGUUGUAAGUUGCAUACUUCUGCGGCCAUGGUGCUUGGUGUUGCCAACAGUUCGACAUGAAUUUUUCUUCCAAUCUUGUCUUCCACAGCUGAGGCGAGGCGAGCCAGGGCGUCUGCAUGACUGUUUGCCGCUCGAGGAACUUGGGUGAUCUGGUAGUGGAAGUGCUUGAGCAAAAGUUGUGUUUGCGCAAGAUAUGCUGCCAUGGAGCUGUCCUUAGCAUCAAAGUUGUUGGUAACCUGGUUGACCACUAAUUGGGAGUCACUGAAAAUAUCAAUUUGUUUAACCCCGAGGUGUUUGGCCAAACGUAAUCCUGCUAGAAGGGCUUCAUACUCGGCCUCAUUGUUUGAUGCCUUGAAUUUGAAACGAAGAGCAUACUCCAUUGCUACUUUGUCGGGCGUAGUCAAGACUAGUCCCGCUCCACAGCCCUGUUGGUUGGAUGAGCCAUCAACAUACAGACUCCAUGCUGAGGUCGUUGAUUCUACCUUCUGAGCUUCCGAUGGUAAUGAAGCUACUGCUUCAGGUGUAGAAGCAAUGUCAACAGGAUAUGUGAAGUCGGCGAAUGAAAUCUGCUACUGCUUGGCCCUUCUCAGCUGGCUUUGGUUGGUAGGAGAUGUCAAACUCACCCAACGCUAUUGCCCAUUUGAUCAUUCGCCCUGAAGUGUCAGGACUUUGGAGUAUCUGUCGAAGAGGAUAAUUGGUAAGCACGAUGAUGGAGUGCGCUUGGAAGUAAGGGCGGAGUUUUCGAGCAGACAUGACCAAUGCCAGAGCCAAUUUCUCAAUGUUAGAGUACCGUGUCUCCGCAUCUUGUAAGGCUUUGCUAGCGUAGUAGACAGGUCGCUCAAUAUUCCCAUCCUUUCGAAUGAGAACGGAACUUACGGCUGAAGCUGAUACCGAUAGGUAGAUAAUGAGAAUGUCUCCUACCUCGGGCUUGGAGAGUAGAGGGGCUUUACUCAUGUACUCCUUGAGGUUUUUGAAUGCCUCGGCACAUUCAUCAGUCCAUGUAAUGUACUUCCUACUUCCCUUAAGUGCUUUAAAAAAAGGGAGCACAUUUGUCUGUGGCCUUAGAAAUGAACCUGGUUAAGGCUGCCACCUUGCCAGUAAGGCUCUGGAUGUCCUUUGAAGUUACCGGUUCCUUCAUGUCGAGGAUUGCUUUGAUCUUCUCGGGAUUAGCUUCAAUGCCUCGUUGGCUAAUCAUGAAACCUAAGAAUUUGCCAGAGCCUACGCCGAAGGCACAUUUGUUGGGGUUUAACCUCAUUCGAUACCUCUUCAAAAUAGUGAAAGUUUCAGAUAGGUUGGUGAUGUGUUGGUCAGCAUGUUUGCUCUUGACUAACAUAUCAUCAACGUAAACUUCCAUGCUCUUCCCAAUCUGCUCGGCGAACAUUGAGUUGACUAGUCUCUGAUAAGUCGCUCCUGCAUUCUUUAGGCCGAAAGGCAUGACUUUAUAGCAGUAUAGUCCUCUGUCGGUAGUGAAGGCUGUGUGUUCUUGAUCCGAAGGGUUCAUGAGGAUUUGGUUGUAUCCUGAGUAAGCAUCCAUGAAGCUCAGGAGUUCACACCCGGCCGUAGAGUCUAUAAGUCUGUCAAUAAGAGGAAGAGGGAAGCUAUCUUUCGGACACCCUUUGUUUAGGUCGGUGUAGUCAACACACAUUCUCCCACAAGACCUUUUGAAGCAAAAGACUUUCUUUGGUCGGAUUUUUCUUAACAAGGACCACAUUUGCUACCCAUGUCGGGUAAUUGACUUCGCGGACAAAGCCUAUGCCUUUGAGUUUUUCAACUUCUGCUUUCAUUGCCUCGUAUCGUUCAGCGUCAUAAGAUCUUCGCUUCUGUCUCACCGGCUUGAUCUUGGGGUCAAUACUCAAACGAUGACAGAUGACAUCGGGAGAGAUGCCUGGCAUGUCCUCGUAUGACCAGGCGAAGACUUCAGUGUUCUCUUUCAAAAAAGAUAUCAAUGCUAACCGAAGGGGUGGUGACAAUGUGGUGCCAAUCUUCACCAUGCGAUCUGGAUAAUCUCUUGAGAUAGGUACCUUCUCCAACUCUUCAGCAGGUUGGGCUUGCUGGGUGAAAGAGAGUCAUCUCGAGGAUCAUCGGGUUGAUUGUUGCUAUCAGGAAGAUCCAAGUUCGCUUCAUCUAGGCUGGUCUUUGUGACUUGGUCAUGUACAGACAGGGUUUCCUUGGGUCCGGGCAAGUGUUGUUGCUUAACUGAAGUGUUGUAACAUGAUCGUGCACUAAGCUGAUCUCCUCUGAUGUAGCCGUUGCCAUGGGGGGUUGGAAAUUUCAUCAACAGCAUAUGCGUGGAUACCAUAGCCUUGAGAUCAUUGAUGCCUGUGCGCCCAAAGAUGACAUUGUAUGCCGUUGGGCAGUCAACCACUAGGAAGUUAGUGGUAAUGGUAGCCGUGUAAGGGCCUGUACCAAUAGUAAAGGGUAAAUGUAUGCUCCCUAAGGGUUGCACGAUAUCACCGGAGAAGCUUAUCAGAGGAGAAAUCGAGCGAUCGAGCAAGUGUUCAGCUACACUGAGUGCCCUGAAAGCUUCGGCAAACAUGAUAUUGACCGAAGCCCCUGUGUCUACGAGGAUUCGUCGAACAUCAAAGUUGGCUAUGUGAGCCUCCACGAUCAAUGGGUCGUUAUGAGGGUAGAUGAUGCCUCUUUCUUCCUCAGGGUAGAAACAUAUCGGAUCCCAGUUAGGCUUUUGAUACUUCCCUCCCCUGAUGUCUUCCACGUGAAACACUUGGUGACCAGGCCUCAGAAUUCGUUCACUGUUUUUUCAUGGCCCUAUUGGAAGAUUCAGAUAUGGGUGUGCCGCCGCUUAUGGAAUAUAUGACAUUCACCUGGCGUUGGUUACGGUUAUCCCUUUGAGGGUGAAGGAAGGAAUUGAUCAAUUUUUCCUUCUCGUGCCAAAGCUUCAAUACGAUCACGGAGGAUGAUACAUUUCUCGCUAUCAUGGCCGUUAUGCUCAUGGUAGCAACAAAACAUGCCCGCGUUAUUCGGGGGCGUGUAAUCUGGGUGCCUCGGCUUUGGCUUUGGUAUCAGGUGAGCUAUGCUGGGGUAAAUGGCCGCGCAUGUGGCAUUCAAGGGCGUGUAUGUCUCAUACCUUGGGGUAGGGGGUAUCUUGACGCGGGUUUGACCCACUGCAUUGACUGCCUGGGGGCGAGCGUUAUUGUGGCGAUACCCUUGGUUAUCGGGAUAGUGUCCCUUACUCUUUUUACUGAAAUGGAGAGUGGUGAGGAUGGAAAUCCUUCCUCUUGCCUUGAAAUUGAUAUGUCUGUUGAUUCGGCGAAGCAUUAUGCAAGGCAUGGGGAGGUGCCACUGCUGUUUGGAAAGUCGAGGUCUUCUCAUUUAGGUGAGUCUGGCUUCCACCUCCCACUUGUUGAUAAAGGAUGGUUGUAGGGGGUUUCUCCUGAUAUGUCUUUGCCUCGGCGGAGGCAUGGUUAUAAGCCUGCGCCAUCACCUCAGAGUAAGUCUUCCAAGUAUUGGCAUUGAUCAUGUAUUUAAAGAAACAAUCACGUAGGCCUGCCGUGAAGGCUUUGAGGGCAGUCUUGUCGUCUGCCUCGGCACACCGGGAGUAUUCAUGGCUGAAGCGGCCAGCAUACAUACGUAAUGACUCGUCUGGCUUCUGGCGGAUAGUGUACAGGUCAUCUGCAGAGUGCAAGCGAUCGGUUUGGAAAAUGUGUUGGGAAACAAAUAGUUUCCUCAAUUCCUCAAAUGAGUCUACCGUCUCAGGUGUAAGACGACAAUACCAAUUUAGAGCUCCGCCAGAGAGGGUGGAGGGGAAGAGAAGACAUCGCUCUUCGUCGGUGUGCAUCCGGUAUGCCAUGGUGGACUCAAAGAGGUUAAGGUGCUCAAUCGGGUCCUCUUUUCCAGUAUAAAGUUGCAAGCCAAGCUUUUGCUUUGUCUUUGCUUGAAGGGGGGUGUUGAGGAUCCUCCUUGUAAGAGGGCCAGGCCUGGGUUGGUUCCAGUCAGGUAUUUCAGCCUGACGUUCAGCCUUCAACUUGUUUACUUCCUCAAGAAGUUGUAGGACAAGGGGGUCCUGAGCGGAGUUAUGUGCCACUGGAGCUUUCUUUCGUAAAUCUCCAUCUCCUCUUGGAAUUAGGAAGGUUUGAUCAAGGGCAUGUGAUUUUUUCCCUGGACUCGUUGUACUGGCUUCCAGGGUAUGUCUGUCGGAACACCUCUGAGUCCCCUGUACCCUCAUGUCUCUCUAGGACUUGUUGCCCCUUCCCCAAAUUGGUGGCCGGCUCGGGCCGUGGCAGGGGACCGAGUCUCUCAGAAAUCCUUGGGUCAUUGAUCUUUGAGCUUAUAUGGAUGGAAUUCUCUCGACGUUGCUUCAGGAAAUCCCGACAAUCGCGAAAGACGGCUUUCGAUCCUUCUGCCCCUUCAGCAAAGAGGUGUCUCCCUCCACUUCUCAUGGUUCGGGUCGAAGCAACUGGGUUAAGAGAAGCCUCAUGUUGAUUAUCAAGUCGAGGGGUAAUCUGUUCCCUAUCAGGGAUAUCUAUGUCGAAUGCAUGUGACCCUCCAUGUUGGAGGGCACCCAGUUGAUGGUUGACUUCCACGGGGGCAACAAGCUCGCGUGUCUGAGCUUGCCUAGCUUCGUGGAGUGUCUCGAAGAGCUUCUCAUAUUGCUCCUGGAGGACCUCAUUCCUCAUUGCUAUCUUGUUGUUCUGAGCUUCCAACUCAUCGACUUUAGCUUGAAGAAGAACUCGUUUUCCUUCCUUCUUUCGUUGUUUCGCACUAUGUGCAAGGGGGGUGUCAUUCUGUGUGCUGUGGCUUCCUUCGCUUCCCAUGUUGGAGAGGGAUGCCUGAUCAAAAGAAAGUGUACGAAUGAUAGAAACCAGCUUGACACAGCUGAAGAGAGUAGGAAUAAGUGUCGUUUCCCACAGACGGCGCCAAAUGUUGAUGCACAAAAUCAGCGAAGACUUUGGUACAACAGAAAGUGUCAGGUUUUGUGACCUUCGCUUGGUUGCUUCGGUCACUAGUGAGGAUAAGUACGUAAAUGAAUAGAGACAGAGAAGCAAACACAGGAUGUACGUGGUUCACCCAGAUUGGCUACGUCCACGGAGUAGAGGAGUUCUUAUUAGUAGUGAAGGGCUUACACAAGUACAAAGGAUCAAGCUCUCAAUUUAGUGAGUUCUUGUGAAUGAUUUAACACAAAAUGGCAUUAGGCAAUAUUGUGGGGGAAUGACCCCUAUUUAUAGAAAAACUUGUAGCUUUGUCACAUUGACAUGUGUCAUGUUAUGAUUGGUUCUUGAUGUCGACACGUGCUGCGCUCUGAUUGGCUUCUAAUCUUGACACGUGUCGAGUAGUGAUUGGCCUCCUGGUCGGAGGGGAACUCUUCUGGGUCCUUGACAGUAUAGCGUUGGCCGGUGCUCGGUAGUUUCGGGAUUGGUCAAGUAUGGUACAAACUACAAAAAAGAUUUUUAGCUGAAAGAGAAACUUUUGAUCGUUUGAAUUCAGAUUCAAUCAACUACUCAUUUCUCUUCUAGUUCCCCUUUCUGCUUAUAUUAAAGCGAAGCGGAUGUCGUUGAUGUCAAACCAUUUCCUGGAUAUUUUUGUGGUGUUAAAAACAACAAAGAAACACCAAGUUUUUGCUAAGCAUACACAGAUAUCUCAAGCAUCGGAGACCUCUGUAAGAUCAUCAGGGAGAUGAAAUAUUUCACGUAUCUCCUCAGGUGUUUUCCCUUCAAUUAUUCGUGCAAGAGCAUGACUAGUAAGAUCCACCAAUGGUUUUAAUUGGAGGCUGUCAGCAGCUGAAGUCAACUCACAGAGCAACUUGGUGUCCAUUCGGAUGUAUUUUUCAUCAAAAGCCUUGCAUUCCUACAUAAACGAGUGGUGCCGAGUCAUAUAAGCGUGCCGAGUUUACACCAGCAUCAGAGUAAACAUUUAAUCCAGUGUGCAGGUGGAGAUUAAUGUCCUCAAUAGCUCAAAUUUAUGCAAAACAGACAGAGGGCAUAGACUCAGAAAGAAGGAAAACAGAAUGACAUUCCAAAAACAUGUAGAACCUUGUUCGAGCGACCUGGUACUUGAUGAAACCGGCAGUAAUCAAGAAUUAAGCUCAACAUUGCAGUACUGACUCUUUCAGGAAGAGAUAUUGCAUGGUUCUUGGAAGCUCCCAUCCCUUUCUGUAUAUUUUCUUUGCAUAUCAUAGGGCAAUACAUGGCAACCUCUUGUUCCACUUGUUGGAUUGAACCGUCGGUAGUCUGAAGCCAGAUAUAAGACUUCAUCAUCUGAGAAUGAGUUGGCACCGAUGUGGCUUUAGAAUUCCAACAUUACAAAGUAAACGAAAAAUAUAAAACAGUUAAACAACCCACCCACCUUCACCCCCUCCAAAUAAACAAAAACAAAAAGAGAGAGCAAAUUAACACUCAACAAGUAGAGGCAGCUACAAGCAUUCAAAAGAAACGAAAAACAGAAAACAAUUGAUUCGACUAUGGCUUGAACAACAAAGAAAAGAAAACAUAAUGCAUUUAUCUAUUAAACACUAGACAAAGACGACAUAACAUAGUGGAAAAAAAGGAAGAAGGGGCAUAAAAAGAAUCACGAAGAAUGCGUACGGAAAAGUGAUAAUACCUCAGGUUUAAUAACAGUCAUGUCACCUUCUGACAUUUGAACAAUCCCAAGUUCUGAGGCUUAAAAACUGGAGUGCAUCAGGCAAAAGAAAACAGCUUUAUGCUUCUCAUGCAACAACUUGCUGAUACUCUGUUAAGUCAAACAAAAUUAUAAUUAGCAGCCCUUCUAUGCAAAUCCUUACCCAAAAUUAAAGUUUACACAAAUUUAACAUAAACCCAAGUUAGCCAGGGCAGUAAACCACCCUUUGCAAUCCCCACUCCGUCGUCUAGAUUAAAUUAGAAUAUCGCUCUCAAAACAUAAACCCAGCUCUUACUUGCCAUGAACAAUACAAGUUCCAAUUUUUCUUAACAAAUCUAUACUUACAUUUAUAUUUCUACUAAACUUAAUUCCAUUUAUUCCCAAGUCCAUGAAAAAGCAUUCUGGUGAUUAUACUGCUCUAAAUCAAGGGAGAAAAAUUGCAAUUCAUUGGUAUUUUAGUUGAAUUUCUCGAUUAAACUAACUGUUAUUACCAAUAAAUGAUUGUUUUUCCUAAAGAUUUUAGUUCACCGAGCUCCGGAUUAAAGGGUACUUAGGAAUUUCAUUUUUCUAUUCAAUCAUUUCCAUUUUUCCUGCACUUUCUGGGCACCAAACAGGCAUACAGAAGAGAAACAAAACAUGGUAAAGAAAAGAAAAAGGACAGACAAUUAAUUAACACGAAGGAGACAUACGAAAUGUACGGAUUCCAGGUAGGGGGAGCUUUGAAUUGCAGAGAUUUGGCGGUUGUCGGCGAAUCCCAAAAAUGGAUAAAAUUGCGAAUAAAUUUUAGAAAAAAAAAAAAAAAGAGAAAAAAAGCAACUCUUGUGUGACUGAAAUUGCGUCAAAAAUCAAAAGGUCUGCAAAUCACACGUCAGCGUUUCGUUAGGGUUUCCUGACCUCUUGUAUUUAUUUUGAUUUGAUUGAUUAGUGUUGUUUGUUUGUACACUUCCUGGUGCGGGCCCACCUUAAUAAACGGAUCAUAUUGAUCAUCAAUGUGAGCUGGUAAUUAGCAGCCCUUGAUUGAAAAUGGUUCUUAUCAAUGAGGCCCGUACGCCCCUUACAUAGUUGGACACCGAGAGCAACCCUCCCCAGACAAUAUAUUAUGCUAUUCACCCAUUUAACAGUAAUUGUUCUUACUGAACAGUAAUCAUCUUUACCGUUACACUUCAAUAACCCUGGUAAUAGGUAAUAAAAUAAUAAUAAUUUUUUUAUUUAUAAAAUAAUACUAAGAUAAUUAAAAAAGACAAAGCAAAAGCAGCAUCUGACUUUCUCUCUCUCUCUAUGUUGAAAUGAAGACCACAAACACAAAGCUUAUCCUCCUCCACCCCCAAGCAAUCCACAAACGGCGGAAGCCACCGCCUGUGGCUCCUCUUCUUCUUCACCUUCUUCACCCUCACUCUCAUCAGCACCACCAUCCCCCAAACCCUCCCCACCUCCGUACUCCCCCUCCCGCUCGCAGUCCUAGAUGCACUUCUUCACUACGCCAUUUCAUCAUCAAACACCUCGUCAGCACCCCACAUGCCCCCGUCGGAACUCACCUCCAUAUCCUCCGCCCUCACCCGCCUCUGCGCACCCAACUGCAAUUUCCUCGUUUUCGGCCUCACCGAUCCAGAACCUGACAGAAAAAAAGAUUAAAAAAGGCGUCUGACAUCAACUGACGUUAGAACCACCUUAGGCGCCUGGGCCGGCACGAAUCCACGGGCCUGGCGCUCGGCCCUGCUAGGGCUCCCUCGCCAGCCAACGCUAAAAUUCCUCUCUUUGGCAAUCAGGCCCUGUGCUGAAGCCUGUCCAUAGAGCAAAAGCUCCCGCUGGAGCUGCUCUGAAUAUUGAGUUAAACUUGUCGCAGUGAAUAUUGAAUUAAAUCUUUUAAUCGUAUCAAUUCAUCGCAGUGUUCGAAAAAACGGCCUAGGCGGAUUGGAACCUUGUGCAAAACGGCUAGGCGGGCUAGGCGGCUGGGCGGUUUUUUUUUUUUUUUUUUUUUUUUUGAAAUUAAAAAAAAAAACUUAGAUUAAGCCUAAUUCUAACAUUUGACUCAUUUAGCAUUCAAACAUUUGACUCGUUGUUAAUUUUAUCCUAUGAAAACUUGUUCUGAAGUAUACCAUAUUAUUAUGAUUCGCAGAUGUGAACUUGUUUUUGAGAACUGCUUUGUUCUAGAAGAAAAUGUUCUCGGGCAGGAAGGAAAAAGUGUAGUGAUGCUUUUAUUACAACUUUGUUAUUGGAAGGAAAGAUCAUUUGGAUUGGUUGCAUGUUAAAAUUCGCAGCAAGAAUUGAUAUGUUAGUUAACUUAUAACCUGAUUUCUCAUCUGUCAUAUGGCUUCUGAGCUGCUGUUUAGUAUUAGGGCGAUCAAAAUUUACCAUUAGCGAAGACUUUCACCAUGGGACUUAUUCAUGUAUUGCUGGAACUGCUCAACCAGACUUGUUCUAGUAAUAUAUGAUGCCAACAGUUUUGUUGCGCCACUGGCCUCCCAGAUUAUCACCUAAAGAAAAUAGACGACUUUAUGAAUUACUUCAUUUAUUGAAAGAAAUAUUUCUUUUGUACAUUUUCUACCUAUUUUGUAAGAGUCACUAUGCACUUAUUCAUAGGAUAUACAAAAAAAUUACCUAAAUCCACCUAGGCCGCCUAGGCUCCCGCCUAGGCGCUAGCCCGCCGCCCGACUAGCGCCUAAUUUUUUUUAGAACCUUGAUUCAUCGUACAUUAUGCACUUAAAAAUUAUUUUAAAUAUUUUAUUUAAAAUUAAACACAAAUAGUACCAGAUAAAAAUUGACAGUAUGAUUUAUGAUGAACGAACAAGAUUAAAGAAUUUCCUGAAUCCUCACAAAGAGGAUUAGAAGAAAAUCCUCAUUCGUAUGAGCCACCUAGUCUGGACUCUGAACAGAAAAAAUUUUCCUUCAUAGGACAUAUUCUCUUAUAAGUCACAUCACUAAUACAUCACGUAGUCAGUUGAUAAGUGUUUAAUCAGUCAUUACUUUUAUUAUCCUUUUCUUCACUAUUUUGUUGUUUCUUUUAUAUUUGAGUCGCUUUUUACAAUUUGUAAGUCAAUUGGAGUAAAGAGAGAAAAAGGAAGAAUUUUCAAGAGAUUUGAAGCAAGAUUUGUCAAAGUGCUAGAAUGUUGCUGGUGGAAUGUCACGAAGAUUAAUUUGCCGAGACUAGAUCAGGAAGAAUUUGAUGGCGUGCCAUAUGGAUGGAAUCUGGAUCUAGUUUUUGGAGGCUUUUACCUUUUGUGAUCCCGAUGUAUGAAACAAAAAUGAUUGUUGUUUUAGUAACUGCUGCUCAGUGUGAAGUUUCUUCGCGAACAUUGGAGAAUUAAAUAAACUAAUUCAAAUUGUUAAAUUGGGUUUAAGAGUUAAUGCUGCUGAAGUUAAAGAUUGGAAAAUGCUCUUUGAUGAACAGAUAGGAAUAACAAUGCUGAUGCGGAAUUGAAGUAAUCCUAAUCAUCGAACUCGUUGGGCCUCAACUAACUACCUUUUGGUGUGGGCUUUGGUCAUGGAUGAGUUCAUGCUCAUGUACUCUAAUUUAAAUUUGGCCCAUUGGCUUUCUAUAUGCAUAUUAGGGUUUUUAUUUUAUUUUUUUAUUACAAACGAUAUUACUCAUAAAAAAAAAAGUGUUUAUCCACCAGAGAGAAUCAACCACCUGUUGUAUAGAGUUUUUAAUUAGCUAAAGGGUGCAUACUUUACUUGCACACUGCAAUAUUUUACUUUAUUUGCUAAGACUUUAACGAUUGUUUGUUUCUAAGACUUGUGCUCAAUAUAUUGAGUACCAUGCGAAUUGGUAUCUGAAUUAUUACGCGAGUAGAAAUUAAGUCCUUAACACUCAUUUCUACUAUAAGAUUCAAAAUUAUUCUAUUUAUAUUAUUGAGGGGACUUUUAGGUUGAGUUGGACUUGAGUCUUGAUGGAAACCCUUGUACUUUCCUUGGUUCGUUCCAACACGAAGUCCCAAAAUACCAAAGAAUUAGCGCGUCUUAGGAAAUACUCUGCUUGUAAUAGUGGCACAAAAAUUGAAUGAUUAAGGCAAAUUAUGGCUUGCCUAAGAGAGACGUGGUGUGGAAGCUAAAAGCUUAUCAGUUUAGCAUGAGAUCAAACUUGUGCAUGGUUGCAUGGUUUUGAAAGAUGAAUCAUCUGGAUUUCCUAAGGGUCUAAGGGUGUUUAUACUGGCUAAGGAAGCUCAAAUGAAACCUCAAAUAACCCCUAAAACUCCAGGAAAGUGAUUUCCUAAGGAUUCAAGGCUUUCUGCACUUAGAGAAGAAUUUCCAUGCCUCGUGCAAUUUAGUCUUGAAUCCUCUCUACCUUGUCUCUCCUUUGCAUUGAGUUCAUCCUUCCCUUUUGUAGAUGCAGGGUCUCUUUCUAUCUUUCCUUAGGGAAUUCCUUGACUUCCUUGUUUCCUCUCGUUUUGGCUUAGUCUUCCUUUUUCUUUCCUUUGGCACAUCUAUGACCUUCCUUUUUGGUGCAACAUUGAGAACGUCAUUGCUCCCCUGAAGAUUGAGUCGCGCACUCUGCCCAUAGAGCCAUCUUCCCUGGUCAAUUAUCCACGGACGUUACUUUUAACAACGCUCUUCCUUGUUUUCCUUCCUCAUUUUUCUGUGUGAGCUAGGAAGAGAAAGAUCCAUUCUCUCCUCAUUAAGGAAUGCUUUGCACUAGGUUUUCACAUGAUCCUGAAGCUUUGGGUUCUUGUUUCUUCCUAAGUGGGUUGGUUUGCUUGUUAAGGGAAAGGGAAACUUGGUUUGUUCUCUCCUAGACCUACCUAUGUGGAACUCAAGAAUCAUGAGCUUGGACUUUUGGUGCUCCAAGAAGCUCAAAGUCUUCCACAAUUUUGGUUUCAUAUAGGUUCGAUAAUCUUUUGUAACCAUCCACACCACAAUCCACUUGUCAAGCCCCAAUAUGUGGCUUGGGCUCAUUUUAUCGUGUAGCAUGGUUAGCUUGACUUGUCUACAAUGACCACAUCAUACUUAUGCAUGGAUUUUCAUGGGCUUGUUGUGAUCAUGCAAACGUCCCGCUCACAGAUUAUUAUUUUAUUGGCGUGAUGUGAUUGUAAAUACGCUUCCUUCUUGAUUUCGCACCUUUGCAUGUGUUUAAGCUUGGAUUGGGGCAUUUUUAUGACAAUCGGGCUUUGAGAUGUGAUUGAGCUUGUAUGUGAGAUUUUUGGGCCCUAACACAUAUUUUGUCACUUUAAGUCACAUGACUUACAUGUGAGACACUUCAUGUGUUGGUCGGCUGAGCACCUGAGCUUUGUUAGGCUAAUGUAUCAAGAAAACAUGCACCACAUAGAGCAAUUGAUGGAACAGAUUCAUUGUAAUCGUGACAUUUUAGACAAAAUAUUAUUGUUAUUGUAGCGUCCUGUAUUAAUAAUAUAAGGUCAUGUAUAUAUAAACUUCAAUAUAUCAUUAUCUUAUUAAAUAGAGACAUAACGGUGAUAAUAAACCUGUUUCAUAUAAAUCUUCCGCAACAUGACAUCCGAUGGCUGCCACGUGGACUGUAGGGUUCAUGUACGGUCGAUGAAAAGUGCGUGGUGGUUGAACUUGAAAACGUGAAGUGUCAGCAUGAUUGAGAUGGUGCCCACGGAGGCAUGUGAGUAGGUCACAGGGAGGAUCACAGCAAUGGUAUGAGUUGGAUUGAAUGAAUGACCGGCCAAUCCUUUGAGACAAAGGAUUUUUAGAGGAGUUUCAAACAAAAGCGUUCGUGGUCUCUCCCUCGGUCCUACUCAUUUGUGUGUUUUUAGCAAUGAUUCAUUCCUACUAUCUUUUUUUUCUUUUUUUUAUAUAAAUAGGGCAUGGAUAAUGUUGAUAUAUAUAUAAAGAUAGAUAAUAAUUCUAUUAAUCAAUGGUUUAAUCAAUUAUAUUCGUAUUAGUAAUAUAUUGGGAUACCAAAGUGUUUGGCCUUAGCUCAAAUGGAGAGAGAAUGUAUGACACUAAAUUAGAAUUACGGUAUGUGUUAAAAAUUAGAUUAUGGUAUGAUCAAGUUUCUUUUUCCUUCAAUAUACACAAUUUGAAUAAGUCCACGCACCUCAUGUAUUAAGUUUUUUUAUAUUCAGCAACUAUUGUUAAAAAAUAAUUGCAUAAAUCCAAACAUUUAUUUAUCCAGCCUUGAGGUAGAUCGACUGCUACUCCUCUGAUAGGAAAUAAUGAUACAUCAUUCUCAUACCGAUGACAAUUUCGAAUAGAUAAAUACUAAUUCUCCUUCUCUCAAUAUAUAGAAAAAAGGAAGUUUGUGUACCAAUAUCCGCCAUAAAGGGAUCAAGUCAUAACAUAGGAGAAGCUAUUAUCUUCAAUAUAAAGAAAAAGUCAAAUAAGUCCAUGCAUGGUGCAUGAUUUAAUAAAAAUUGUAAAAAUUAGGACCGGCACAAGAUUUAGAAUCAUUGCAAGAGAACUUGUAUAUGCUUAAAAAUAAUUAAGCUACUUCUUAUAUUGCCAAUUGAUUUUAUAAUAUAAUCCCAACGUUCUUCACUUCGUCUUUGAGUAAUUCAAACUUCAUUAGUACAUAAUUUAUUUGUUUUAUAGUGUAGCGACUUUUGCACAAUGCAUGCGCCUUUUAUUUUUCUAGCAUUAAGGCACAUACCAUCAUUAUCACAUACUUGUUGAACUUUUGUUGUCAUUUUAUUUUUAUUUAGUGGAGAAUUUUCACACAAUGACCAAAGUAAUUGAUGGUGGACAAACUCAGAAGCUAAUUUUAUCAAUUUUAAAUCUUAGAAAUCAAAAUGAAGAGUUAUUUAAAUCUCAAAAAUUAUUUUGAUUAAAAAACUAUCAAAAUAUAAAAAUGUAGCCGUUGCGUUCCAUUCUAUUGCAAAAUGCUCUACUUUUCUUUACUAGAAGUAGAAGACCCUCACCUGUCGUUUGAUGCUUUAUAGGCUGCCAUGAUGCCAUCCCUUUCUCAACGGUCCUCAAAACGGAGGUGAAUAGUCUGCCUUCCAUUUCCAUGCUUUACUCAUACACUCUUGUGAUGUAUGGUCACAGUUAAAUCACGUCAAUAUUUUAUAUUAAUUUUUUAUAAAAAUAAUUAAAAAAAAAUAAUAAAAAUAUAAAAUGUUAACAUGAUUUAACCGUAACCAUAUAUACAAAAAAUAACAAAGAAAAUAUGAAAAUAGGAUGACAGAUAAUCCACCUCACCUCGAAACACCCAAAUUUCCUCAAACCUCUACAAAAUUCAUAACUUUACUUUUUCUUUCUGUGGGCCGUGUUCUAAUUCACAACUAAAAUUUAGCAAAUGGGACGGUUUUAUACCGUUAAAUUAUCUCAUUGCCCAAAGUUGCCUUUUGCUUUAUAAAUCUAAUGCCUCGGUAAUAGGGUCUUCUUUUUUUUUUCCUCUUUUUAAACUUAUCGUUAUCAUCCAACACAUAUUUUUUUAUAGUUUAAAUGGGUGCUAUUAGUUUAUCUUCACUGGCCUGGAUAACAAGAUAGUCCGAUCUUUUAUUUAUUAAAUUGGCAUGUUAAGAAAGAUAGUAGUUUCUUGAUUCAAUCAUGACCGUCGAUUUUUCAUACUACUAAGUACUGCUAAAGAAAAAUUGUUAUAUUAUAGCAAAAUUAUGUAUCGUUAAUUCACAUGAUGAGAAAUGCAAAUACAUGUAUAAAGUAUCUUCGAUAUGAACACACAAAAUUUUAAUAUUAGAACAUCAUUCACGAGAAUCAAACUUAAAAUUAAUGAAACAUAAUAGAUCACAUUUAUAAACCAUAUGAUGUGUCACCAAUAUAAAAUAAAGGGUAAUGCUAUGGAGACCAAAAUUUUCAAACCAAAUUUGCAAACCAAAUGAUGUGAUUGCUGAUGAUUGAAUUAUUACUUAAACGUUGGUUAACGUACUUAUUUUCUAUUGGUGACAAGACAUUUGGUUUGUAAAUUUAAUUUAAAAUUUUGAUAUCUCUAACAUUAUCCAAUAUUAUUCUAGACUAAAAUAAUAAUUCAAUUAUCAAUAACUAAAUUAUAUAAUUUAUAAAAAACGGUUUAAGUAGACGGUAUCCUUAAAUAACUAAAAUGAAACUUAGCUUUAAAAGAUUGGAAAAGUGGAUUAAAAGGCAAGGAAUAAAUAAAAGCGAAGAAGAAAAGAAAAGGUGGAGGGAAAUAAGAUUAAAUUGUCCAACGGGUCUCUGGAAAGACAAAGACAACCCACCAUUCAUGACAUGGAUUGGUGACAGCGACGUUGUCCUCAUCUUUCCUGCACUCUCCAGAAACAUCUCUUGAUUAAUCCACAUAAAACAUCCAUUACCACUAAUUUACUAGAAAAAGGCAUAAAGGUUAAGGUUAAGCACACACCUUUUGAGAAUAGUUCCAAAUAAUUCACCUACCAAAACUUGAAAAGGAUGUAACUCAUGUAUAUUUUGUUUUUCUGCUAGGAUGUUUGAUUUUAUUUUCAACACAAGAAAUACAAAAGAAAAUCUGUCCGAUAUACUGAGACUGAUUUUUCUUUCGAAUGCUGUCGUCUUGUUUGAUUUGAAUAUUCUCUUUUUUAUCUUACAAUGUAGUAGAAGGAUUAUUUAUUUAAUAGAUUAUAUUGAAAAAAUUAAUUAGGUAUGAAAUUAUUUAGUCAUUUUAAAAUUAUUUAAUAAAUAGACGAAUUAUAUCUUUUAAUUAAAUAAUUCCUUUUUACAAUAAUGAUCAAACGGUUAAAUAAUUUCUAGUUUGGUUAAGUUUAACUGGUUCGAAGUUUUCAAUCAUCAAGAAUAAUUGAAGAGUGAAAUGAGAGUAGAGAAAGGUAAACCGCAAAGAUUCUAGCGAGAUCCUUUUUUUUUUUUUUUUAAUAUAUAUUUUAGGGGGAUAAAGAAUAAAGGGAAUAAAAUGCCUUUUCAUCAUUUCAUUUGUUUAGCAUACUUUAACAUACUUUAACAGCUCAGGCAGACAAACAAUUUUCCUUUAUAAAUCUCACUCCAUUUCUCACUCGAUCAUCCAAAAACCAAACCCUUGCAUUCUUUCAAGAGAGAGAAACCACACAACCCCCCAAACCAGAGAGUUCUAGAGAGAGAAACACAAGCCCAUGGAGGGUAAAGAAGAAGAUGUGAAGCUGGGAGCCAACAAAUUCCCAGAGAGGCAGCCCAUAGGGACCUCAGCACAGACAGACAAGGACUACAAGGAGCCACCGCCGGCGCCGCUGUUCGAGCCCGGCGAGCUCAAGUCCUGGUCUUUCUGGAGGGCUGGGAUUGCUGAGUUCAUGGCCACCUUCCUCUUCCUCUACAUCACUGUCCUCACUGUCAUGGGGGUUUCCAGGGCACCCAACAAGUGUGCCUCUGUGGGUGUUCAGGGCAUUGCCUGGGCCUUUGGUGGUACCAUCUUUGCCCUUGUUUAUUGUACUGCUGGUGUCUCAGGUAUACUUCUCCCUCUCUCUCUCUCUCUCUCCUGUUUUUUCUUUUGUUUCUUUGGCUUGAUCUGUUGCUUGCUAUGCUUCCUUUUAUUUUGGUGUUUUUUUGUAAGUUUUUGGUUAAGUAAGUGCAGAUAUGUACAAGAAUAUUUGGGUUUUGAGUUGUUUCUUAAGUUGAUGUUUGGUUCCCAGGAAAAUGAGGGAAAGAAAAGUAAUAGUGGAGAAAGAAAGUUUCUUUUUCUUUUACUUUAGCAUUCUGAGAGAACCAACUGGAGGAUUGGAGGACUUUACUGUUUUACUUGGGUGUGUGAAAAUUGAUGAAAAAUAAAUAAACCACUUACCAAAAAGAGAAGAAAAAAGUGAGAACUUUAGAUUAUUGGGAUUAACUGUAAGGGUUAUUUUUCUUAAACUCUUGUAUAGUUAGCAAUUUUUACUGCUGAAAAUCAGAGUAGUAGAGUAAAAAAAUUUGGAUUUGUUAAAGAUAUCAACUUUGUUACUGAUCUUCUUGUUGGAUUUACUGGUCUUUAUAACUUUACCUCACAAAUCCAAAUUUCUGGAAAAAUGAAAAUCUGCAUCUUUAUUUUGCAGUAAAAAUUUGAGAGUGUAUAAAUUAAGCCAAAAAUGAAUUCAAAUCAUAUGUUCCUCACCAAUUUUCAUAUUUCGUCGUAACAGUAUAUUAACCUUUGAUAUAUUGAUAAUUUGGACAGGUGGUCACAUAAAUCCAGCUGUGACAUUUGGUCUCUUCCUAGCAAGGAAGCUCUCCCUGACCAGAUCCGUGUUCUACAUCAUCAUGCAAAGCCUUGGGGCAAUGGCUGGUGCCGGGGUGGUGAAGGGGUUCCAACCGAAGCAGUAUGAGUUGCUCGGCGGUGGAGCUAAUGCGGUGAACCAUGGCUAUACCAAGGGUGACGGCCUAGGCGCUGAGAUUGUUGGCACUUUUGUUCUUGUGUACACUGUUUUCUCUGCCACUGAUGCCAAGAGAAAUGCCAGAGACUCUCAUGUCCCUGUAAGUAUAUCUCACCUUUGAUGAUUGAGUACUUGUUUACACACUGCGCUCAUAACUAUUUUCUGUAAAUGUUGUAACUAUGCAUCUGUCUACUUGUAUCAUUGUAAUGCCUUGGUUACUAAGGCAUAGAUUUCAUUGAGUUUUGAGUAUAUUGUGAUUGACUGUUUAGCUAACCGCCGCUCAAUCGUUGUUGCUAUUUGCAAUAUCUUUGGUUAAAAGUUAAUGUUUUAUGGCUCUGGUACAUGAUUACAAACUUUUUCUUUGUGCCAAAAUUACCAUGCCGAUUAGUCAAUCUUCUCUGUGAUUUAGAACACUUUAUCUACAAUAAGCAUCACACGAAACUCUUUCAUGUAGUAGCAACUGGUAUCCCUAUUGCAGCUAUGUCGAUAAACAUGUUCUUAUAUACGAAUGGAAAUGCAGAUCUUGGCUCCACUCCCCAUUGGGUUUGCUGUAUUUUUGGUGCAUUUGGCAACCAUCCCCAUCACCGGAACUGGCAUCAACCCUGCUAGGAGUCUGGGAGCUGCCAUCAUCUACAACAAGGGCCAUGCAUGGGAUGAUCAUGUGAGUAAAACUAAAUUGUUUACAUCAUGAAGUUGCAUCGAUCUAAAUGCACGGGAGAGGAUACAUGUCUUACAUCUUCAAUGAUUUUGUUGUGUUUGCAGUGGAUCUUCUGGGUCGGACCAUUCAUCGGAGCUGCACUUGCUGCACUCUACCAUCAGAUAGUCAUCAGAGCCAUCCCAUUCAAGACCAGGGAUUGACAUGGUAAUCCCCGUCGGGCCUUGUUCUCCCCGUCGGGCCUUGUUCUCCCCGUCGGGCCUUGUUCUGUCUAAAUGCUGCGAUUGUGUUUAUUUCGUUCGUUGUGUUUUAAUGUCGAGAGUGGAGUAUUUGGGGUGCUAAUGUGCAUAUUAGUUAUUUAUCCUGUUACAUUAAUGGAAAACUUUAUUUAAUUUAUUUAUACUUUGUUAUUAUGUUAAUCCUUACUUUUGCAUUGGAAGGCUUUAGGCAUUUGUUACCAAGUAAUUUGGGACUCGAAAGCUUUAUUUAAUUCAUGACUUGCGUAGCCACAUUUAUAACAAGAGACAAUGCGUCUCCUCUGUCUCGUUUGGAAAUGGAUCUUCAUCAAAUCUCUACUUAAUCUUUUUCAUCAAAUAAUCUGGAUUUUUGGUUACAAAUAGGGGUUUAUUUUAAAAGUUAUAAUAACUUUAACCGUUUGAUCAAAUGAAUUAUUUGAUCCAUAAAUAAUUCAUUUCCGUCUCAUUUCUAAUUUGUUGACACAUGGUCCGUAAUUGGUAAUUUUAACACUGUUACUUUACAUAGAAUUUGAUUGGAAAAAAAAACCUGAAAAAUUAAUGGUACGUAGACGGAACGGGAUGAAACGAAACGAAGGUGUAAUUUUUGAAAAAGACAUGGGGUAUAUUUGUCUUAAAAUGGUAAAACAUUGUGUUCCACAGACGUGGAACAAACCCGUUCCAGGGGGGAGGUGUGACGCAAAAACACCCAAAAUCUGUCUUGUGGAACAGCCCGUUCCACCCAUUUUUGACGCACCAAACGCGGGACGGAACGCCUCGUCCCGUUCCGUCCCGUCCCGUCCCACGUACCAAACGCACCCUAAAGGCACCACAGCUGAUGAAACCCUUCAGCAUCCUUCCCCACGGGAUGGAUCAAUUAGAUUAGAUAUUUUCAAUCUAUCACCGCAGCAACCAACCCCAACCCUUCAACAUCCUCCCCCAAUCGAUCGAUAUGAUAUUCUCAAAUUUCAAACUUCACACACUGUUUGCCAGCUGUGACUAGAUGGAUUGAUCACAUACCGAUCGAUUAGAUAUUCCAAAUUUCAAACUUCAAACUUCACAUGUAUUGACGAGAGUAAUUUGAAAAGAGAGAAAGGAAAGGAAAGAAAGCUUCGCCGCUGUGAGGAGCAUCGUCGGCAGCGAUGGGGUGGUGUCACUGGUGUGGUUGCAGUGGUCGGCGGCGAUAGGUUGUGUGGUUGCAGUGGCCAUCGGCGGUGUGAUUCUGUAGUUGCAAUGGAUAGUUAUUGAGUGGGUUUUUGUUUUCUUUAAUUUUUAAUUUUUCAAUUAUUUUAUAAAAAAUUACAGUGUUAACUUUGGUGUUAAAUUAAUAGACAAAUGUUAAAAAAUUAAGAAAGAGACACAAAGGAGACAUUAUAAAUUCAGAAAACAGAUCCCCGGCCCUUGAAAGCUUUAUUUAAUUAAUGACCUGGUUAACCACAUUUAAAUUGUUUAUAACAAAAUCAUGCUCAAACCGAGUUAAUAACAAGAGAAAAUGUUAUUGAUUCUCUAAAAAAGUUGUUACUUAAUUUCCUCAUUAUUUUCACAAGGGUUAGAUGGUUAGACAUUAGGGUUUGAUGAUUCGUUUUGUUUGAGAGGAAUGAAGAAAAGAAGAAAAAAAAUUAUAUGUUAAGUAAAUAGGUCGAAAAAAUUGUUAACGACCGUAUUUUUACUUUAAAAUCUAUUUUGGUCAUCAGUAGUUUCUAAAUUCUCUUCCAUAUGUUUUGUUUGUUCUUUUAUUGUGUCACCUAAGUUUUCUUUAAGUUCAUUCACAGUGGAUGAAUUUCAUACUUACUAUUAUAGUCUUGAAUAAAAUGAUAAAAAAAGGAACACAACAAAGUCGUUCGGGAUGUGACAAUCGAUUAUCACUCAUACUAUUCAACAAACCACGAUUGAAUUAAGCAUACGGUUGGGAAUGACAGAAUAUCAGAAUUAUGAUUCAGCAAAGGACAGCAUAACGAGCAAUGCCAAAUUUUGUCAAUUAGGAUCAAACAUUGUGACAGCUUACGAGCAUUUUCUUUUACUUUAAAAUCUUUUUUGGUCAUCAGUAAUUUCUAAAUUCUCUUCCAUAUGUUUUGCUUGUUCUUUUAUUGUGGCACCUAAGUUUUCUUUAAGUUCAUUCACAAUGGAUGAAUUUCAUACUUACUAUUAUAGUCUUGAAUAAAAUGAUAAAAAAAGGAACACAACAAAGUCGUUCGAGAUGUGACAAUCGAAUAUCACUCAUACCAUUCAACAGACCACAAUUGAAUUAAUGUACGGCUGGGAAUGACAUAAUAUCAAAAUUAUGAUUCAGCAAAGAACAACAGAACGAGCAAUGCCAAAUUUUGUCAAUUAGGACCGAACAUUGUGACAACUUAUGAGUAUUUUCAAAGGAGAUGUCAAAUUUCAAACGUAAAUUUAAAUUUGACAGCUUAUAUAACACUUUGACAUCUUUUAAAGUUUUGUUCUCCACCUAAUAUGUCAAAUUAAACUAUUAUUUUAUUAUAAUAAAUGUUUUUUUUAACAAACGAUAUUUAACAUUGAAGGGGAGGAGAGUGAGCUUAACCUUCCAAUGGGUUAACAAUAAUGUAGUUCAAAUUCGCCUUUGGUGAGAAUCGAACCUUAGUACUGUCACAUUCCAGGCUCGACUCUACUGUAGCACGAUAGCUUUGUGCCCCGACCACGCUCUCACAGUUUUGUUUCUGGGAACUCACACGAGAACUUUCCAGUGGGUCACCUAUCCUGGGAUUGCUCUUGCGCAAACUCGCUUAACUUCGGAGUUCCGAUAGAACCCGAAGCUAGUGAGUUCCCAAAAUGCCUCGUGCUAGAUAGAGAUGAGAAUAUACAUAUAAGACAUAGAGGAUCCUCACCCUUGGGCGAUGUGGGAUAUUACAAGAACUCUCGCUUACAAGUGAAGAGGAAUACCACCAGACCGUAGUAUUUAGUGGCAUUAUAAUAAAUGUUUUAAAACAAAAAACAAUUAUAAUAUUAGUAAAAUGCAUUUAAUAAUCAAUUAAUAAAAGAUUUGAAGGUGAUGUCAAUUUUGGCAACAAGAGUGAGGGCUGCCAAUUCAUGUCAUGCCGCUUUAGAUUUGGCUUUUCGUUAAAAAACAUUGUUGUUAGUUUUUUUAUUGUUAAUACUGAUUUGAACAUUUCUUUUAGAGAUGCUCUAAGAGUAUACGGUAGAUUUCAAUGGCUGAGCUUUGGUAAUUUGUAGUUGGAGUUAAUGCCGUUGAGUGGUGCACUUAUAAGAUUUUCAGGUAAUUCAGAUUAGGUUGCAUCUUUAGUUGAGAUUGAGAGCACCCUUUACACGAAUUUAAUUAUGGCAUUUUUCCCUUUCUAUUGUUGAUUUAACUGGAGGCAUUUUAUUUGAAGAUACCUUGGCAUAAACAAGAUCCUUAAACAUAUGUGUCGUGCUCUCUUUUUCCUAGUUCGACUUUUUCUGAGAUCCACUGCAAUGCAAUUUUUUUUUUUUAACAAACUAUAUUAUCUACAUUAACAGAGAAAGGACGUUAGCUAAGUCUUACAAUGGGUUAGCAAGGAAGUGGUACAAAUUCCAUUUUGAGAGAAUUGAACUUAAAACAUAUCACUUAUCGAUGACGGAGAAUACCAUUAAACUGUAGUAUUAAGUGACACAUUCAUAUGUUCUAUCAAAAGUUUUUUUUUUUUGAAGGCAGAAAAAUUGGGUACCAAUAGAGGGCACCCAAAAACAGACACAAAGCGCGGGCCUUUCAAUUCUUCCCAUACAAAAGCCCAAAUUCGAGUAACCCAAACUCUGCUGUCACCCUUUCUCCCACUUCUCCCUCGACAUUUUUCCAUCUCUCUCUGACGCCACCUCUACCAGGUAACACCGCCACUCAUCCUCCACUGCACUUGCUGAUUUUUCAGUCUCUAGCUAUUUUAUCGGAAUAAGUUCAAUUUUUGUUUUUUUUUUUUCUUUUCAUAUGGUUUCGAUCAGUGCAUAUCCAAUUCUCCGAAAUGAACCUUUCUGCUUUGAUUUGUGCAGCGAAGUUAAUAAAACCCAUAUAAUAUAAAGCUUCAAUUUUGAUUUGAGUUCCAGUCUUUGAAUUGUUUUCUUUCAAUUUGGUAGCUUGGUAGAGCAAUUUGCUAAAGUGGGUAGUUCCUGUUCCCCUCAAAUUUGCCGAAAGAUUUGAAAUUUUAGAUGAUGUUAGGAUUCUGGAUAUGGGAUUUGGUGGGUUUUGAUUAGUUUGGCAUCAAUUAGAUGGGUUUUGAGCAAUGAUGGAUUGAAUGGGCUUUUGCUGGUUUUUGUGUUUAGUUUAUCUUUGGGUUAUCUGUGAACUAGUUUUUCUUUUAGUACGAAAAUAAAAUUUAAUUGAUGGCAAGGGCAGUUUAAAUAGGGUUUUAGUAGACAAUGGAACUUGUUUUUCAUCAAAUUCUCCUUGUUAUGUAGUUUUUGUAAGUCAUCCAAGUUUGAAAGAUGAAUUCUUCUUUUAAUGAUUCAGUUCUGUGUUGAAAUCAAUUCCCGGUGUUAAUCUUCCUUUCGUUGUUCUUUGGAUUACAGAUUCUACUCGUUUUGCAAACUUUUAAAUCUUUAAUUUGUUGUAAUACUUGGUUGUUCUCUUGAUUCCGAAUAUUUUUAUUCUGUUAAUUUUUUUUUUGUUAUCGCUAGGAACAGCACUUAGUUUCUCUAGCAAUGGCUUAUGAAAUUUUUUCAUAAAUUGCCUUGCAUAAUUUAAUAAUCCUGUAAACUUUUUGAUUUAUAAUGUAUAUCUUGUUGGAAAAAAAAAUUCUCUCCAUUAAACUUUGAGUUUCUUCUCUUGGUGGUUAAUAACAGAUAAUACAAACUAUAGUCAACCAAACAGCUAUUACACUUCUGUGCUAAUCUACUGCUUUCUUGUUUCUAGGUAGAAAUUAAUCAUUGGUUGGAGAACCCAAGGGGAGGCAACUAUGUCGUUCAUGAAGGGAGAUUUACUUACGAGAACUAGAAAGCUGGUGAAGGGCCUGGCCAAGGCCGAGCCUGUUUGGCUCAAAGCCAUGGAAAAGUUUGCCCCUCUCUUUCUCACCAUUUUGUAAUUCUUGGAAUGCCUUUUCGUUUUACUUAUUUGUUAAAAACAUCAUGUAUUGUGAAUUUUUCAGGGCACCGCCUGUAACGUUUCCUCGUGCAAAUGCAAUUCAGAAAAUCACUCUCCCAGAGGAUGUUUACAUAAAGAAGUUUUUCCAGAAGCAUCCAGAUUCCAAACAUGAAGAUGCCAUCAAGUAUGGUUUAUCUUUGUUUUUUGGUAUAAUAUGAGUUGUUGUCUCGUUACUGUUGUUUGGUCUUGUCAUGAGUUUAUCCUUGGCUAGUAGAUGUGGUUGGUAAUUCAGGAUUGAACAUGUUGCGUGAAUCCGAAGACUUAAUAACUUCUUAUCAGAAAACGCAGGGCUUAUUAACUUAUCCGUCAUGUUUGAAUAGGAUUUCUUCUUUUGAUCCUCCUCCAGCCCGUAUAUUUGGUUUGCGGGUACUUGUGUUGAAGGAGCAAGGUGUUGCUGAGGAAGAAGCAAUGGCAGUAGCUGAUGUAUGUAUUUGGAUUUCCUGUCCCUAAAUGUGUGCUUUUCUAAGUUGUUUUCUGACUGAUGUUUCACGUUGUCUCCUAGAUGGAAUACCGGAUGGAGAGAAAAGAGAAGAAGAAGGCAUAUUCCCGCUUGAAGAAAAUUGCACGCCUUCAAGGGAAGAGGCCUCCUCCCAACCCAUAUCCCAGCGCUAUCAAGGAAAUACAAGCUGAGGAGAAGAAGUUUGUUCGUGACCGUUUUUACAAUCCCAAAAUUAUUCAACUUGUAAGGCAAUUGCAAGAGGACAAGGCAGCUGAAGCGCAGGAGAGAUUCAGAGCAGGAGGAGGUUCCGGGUAACUUAAAGUGCCGUCUUUUGAUAAUAAUUUAGUUCAGUUAGCUUCCUGAGAUUUUUACUGAUUUGCUCUAGCUUUUGAUCAAAUAUUAGCCUAGUGUAUUGGAAAUGAUUCUUAGGUACUUCUCAUUUGCAUCCAUUUAUGGUCAAUGAAAUGCUAUACAUUUGUGAAAAUCAUGGAAUAUGAAUGCUGCAUUUUCCGUUUUCCAGUUUGUGUAUUUUUAUGAACUGCUUAUCCUUCCAGACCACUGGUAACGUCUUUCGUAAUCCCAUACUCAAUAAUAGAUAUUUCCAGUGUUCGAAAUGUUAGCCACUUGGUUUUAAGAUGCGACUAACAACUCUUGGUCCAUCGGUACUUCUCUCUAACUAUUUUGCAGUAUGGCAAUUCAAUUGUUAUAGAGCUUCGGGUUCAUUUCUAAUAAAUCAUUAGGCAUGAAUCAUACCAUAUUUAUCGUAGACUUGCAUCCAAACUUGUUGAAGAUGGUAGAACUUCUAUGCUAGUAAAUAAGGGGGCAGUGUAGAACAUAUCAAUGGAGAAGAACCAUCUAACUGGGACGCCAAGGUGACUGUUUUCCAACCAAAUCACGUUAAGCCAUGUGAGCAAGUUAAAACACAUGACGUCGGGUAAUAGGCUUGACAUACCACCACCUUGGCGUCUUGGUUCGACUCUCAUGGUGAAUGGUUAGAUAUGACAAAGAAUCCAGCUAAUGAAUGUGUUUUGUAUGCGUUCCAUUAAUGUGUGAAGAUUGUGCAUCAGCAUGUCUUUUAUCAUUUCAUAAGCUGAUUCACCGUCGGAAACUAGUGCUUUUUUACAAGUGAUGAUAUUACCAAUCUAACGUUUUAGAUUGUCUUACAAAAGAACAUUUCUCCGAGCGAUAAAAGAUACACUCAUAAUAACAAUUCAUUUGAGAUUGACUCUGUUUGAAGUAAUAUUGCUUGUAAGCGAUUCAACUAAAAGUUUCUUUGCCAAACAUAAUUCAAAGCGUUCUAAAUUGCUAGAAAGCACUUUACUUCUCACAUCCCAUUUUACUUCUCACACACUCCCUGAUAAUUUCUGUUUGUUGAUCUUCAAUUUAUCCGAUCUAACGAUCUAAAAUUAAAAAGAUAUGUGAGAAGUAAAAUGAGAUGCAUGAAUAUCACACGAUAUCAAUUCCCACCAAAAAAUAUAAGCUGAUAAAUUACACCUUCAAUUACAAUCAACUUCUACCAGUUCAGAUUGAUAACAUUUUAAACUAUCUAACAAAAGAAUAUUUAUUCUAAAAAAAAGAGAAAAUAUUAUCAGCGAGAUAAUCAUAAAAGAGGAGAAUAACGAUUCAUUUGAGGUUGCAAAAUACUGCCCAUAAGCGACCCAACCAAAAGUUCUUUUACAAUAAACAAAGUUUAUUAAAAAUUGAUUCUACAACCCGUAAACGCUUUCAAGGUUUUGUUUUUUUUUUUGCAAACAUAGUUUAAAGCGUUUUUAAUUGCUAGAAAGCACUUUUAGCAAUUUCGGAAGUAGUCUCAAAUAGAUUGGAAACCAAAAGAGGUAUCAUUUGCUAGUGCUGAAAAUAGUAUGUAUUGGCAAUUGGUGUUAACCUAAUGGGUGAUUUUCCUCCUAAACAAUGAAUUUAACAACAUUAUCACACAUAACAAGGGUAAUAAACAUUUUCUAGGCAACCAAACAAGUCCUAAAAUUAAUUCCUUGCACGCAUUCAUAGAAGUUGAAACAUAUUAGAUAAGAUAGACCAAAAUAAAGGGGAAAAGUAUGGCCACCAAUAAAAAGCAGAGAUGAAAUAAACAUUUAACAAUACUAUCGGAUUCUCUUUGUGGGAUCGGAUGAUUAAUCAAUCAUAUCCGUUUAUCAUAUAUUAUACGAUAAAAAAUCACUUUGAAUUUUUUAUUUAAAAUUGAAGACAAAAAGUAUAUAAUGAAAAUUAGCCGCAUGAUAUACGAUAAUUGAUCUUCUAGAUCUUCACGAAGAGGAUCCGGAGAGGAUCCUCAUUCACUUUAAGGCUUCACCAACUCCAACCAACCCCCUAAAUAAAAGUAUUAACUUUGCUCGGAUUGAUGAUCUAACUUCCAACAGUAUUUAGCUCCCUCUAUGCUUCCUACAUUUAAUUUCUUGGGAGACAAUUUUCUUCACUACAAAGUCAAAUAGCAAAUCUAGAUGAGCUGCCAAGGCAAUGUGGUUGCUUAUUCGAAUUCAUUUGUUCGUAAAUUAGACUAGUUUAUGACAUUGUCUUGUCAAUCUAUUAUUUAGGCCCUUUACAAUGUGUAGAAAAAUUGAGUUUGACUCUAAUUUAAAGUCAAAAAUUUUGAGUUUGAUUUCAAUCUACUAGCAGAUGCUAUUUAAGUUAGUUGGUCAGAGUAAUGUGCUCAUCUACCAAGUUUAAAAUUAUCUACCAUUGAUUAAAUUCGAGUAUUUUUGAAUAUUGAAUUGUAAAAAAAAAAGAGUAUUUUUGCUCACCAACACAUUUAUCACUGUUAAAUAAAUUUAAAUUCAAGAUAUGUACAGUGAACAGACACAAAUUUUAAAAUUUAAAUAACUAUCCAUCACCAAAGUUGCACAUCAUCACACAUUAGAUUGUAAUGUUGGAAGAUUUUGCCAUACAACAAUGUUUGUCAUUGUUCAAUUCGACUGAUUCAAUAUUCUCUAUCGUUCUGUAUAUCUCUUAACUAUGUCUUGUGAUUUUGAGCAGAGAGGUUUUAGCAAAAAUAAUAAAAAUCUUUUAUACACACUUUGCUUGUGAGGAAUUGAAUUAUAUAAUAAAGCUGUAAACGCAUCAACAUCUCCGGUCCCAUGGGCAUUUUUGGGUGUGGGCAGCAAUUUAAUGCUCGCUUGAUCCUACAGCUAGCUAGCUGCAGGUCAAUUAUUUUGGCGGUAAUGCUUUGAAGACAAAAUUUACAAAUUAAAUGAUAUGUCACUAAUACAAAUAAACACGAUUAUCAAUACUUAAGUAGUAAAUCAAUUAUCAACUUCCAUGUUUUUAGUUUUCAAAAUUUUAUCUACAAAUUAAGUCCCUUAUCAUUACCCUUAUUUUGGUGACAAAUGAUAUUAAUCACUUAGUUAAAAGUCAAUAGAAAUCAAUCAUAUAUACUAAAACCCAGUUCGGGUGGGUACUGUUGAUGACCAGUGAGAUGACCGCUUUGCCCCUCAGUUUAUCCUUGCUUUCCUCCUUUGUGGUCUGCUUCAUACAAUAAAUUUACGGUUUUGCCCUUUUCCAUGCGUCUCUUAUCUUUGAUAUGUCCGCUUCGAGUAUGAGUAGGGAUGGGCGCGGUGCGGUUUGGUGCGGUUUUAAAGGCAAAACCGAAAUGAAACCAAACCGUUUGGUUCGGUGCAGUGCGGUUUCAAACGGUUUCGGUUCGGUUUUUGAGAAAAAAAUGUACAAUUUAAAAUAUACACUUAUUUACGCAUAAGACGGUCUUAUUUUUCUUAUAUAUUAAUUAAUGAACAUGCAGAAAAAACAGCAACAAGAAUGCAGUAAAAACAGCAACAACAUUGCAGCAAAACUGCAGCCAAAAACUGCGGAAAAAAAAAACUGCAGCCAAAAUUGCUAAUUCCUGGUCUUUAUCUAUGACUCUGCUAAUUCCUGAGAAGUGGUCUCUAUUUGCGACUCUGCUAAUUCAAUUACAUAACUCAAGCCAUGCUUCUGAUGAACAAAAAUCCUAUGAGAGUACCUCUAUCGUGACUCUGGGAUUUUGUUGCAAGUGUUUUUUAUACAGUUAUUUGGCUUCAUCAAUGAUCAGAGGCUUUUCUUAUAAUAAAUACCAAAUUUGUUGAACUCCAAUUUUCAUGAUACAUUAGUGGUUUUUGUUACAUUUAGGCAAGCACACAAGGCAAUGCCUAAAGAAAUUAAUAAUUUAGAACUUAAAUUGAUACUUUAAGAGAUGAACAUGAGUUUUGAGAGAGAGAUGAAGAUGAGUUUUGAGAGACAGAGAAAGAUAAAUGAAUAUAAUGACUUGAAUAGUGUAGUUGAAGUUGAACUAAUUAAAAGUUAAAACAUAACAUUCAAAAUAUAUGGUGCGGUUUCGGUUUUGGUAUGGUACGGUUUUGAAAAUCUAAAACCGAAACUAAACCGUUUUCUUUGUUGCGGUUUGGUUUCGAAACCGCAACCGUUUUAAAAUCGCAAAAUCAAACUGUUCGGUGCGGUCCGAUUUAAUUUGUGUUUCGAUUUCGGUUUUCGGUUCCAAAUGCCCACUCCUAAAUGUACGAGAGUUUUCUAUUUCGUUUAAACCUUUAUUUCUUCUGCUCAUUCUCUGAUCCGUGCCUUAUUCUCACUGUUUUUCUUUGAUAUUGUGGUGUUUUGAACCCAAAAUUUUUCGUAUUUUAAGUGAUAUACUACGAGGAAGACAUCCUCCAAACCCUCUACAUAAGCAUCGAGGUAAAUCCCGCUUCUGCUCUGCUGCACAAAUUAUUUGUUAUUUUCCGUAAUAUAUUUGAUUUCUAGAACUGUAAUUUCAGAUUAUUGCCCCUUUCGAUUUUUGUCAGUUUGGACCAAACCCUAACCGUUUGGUUUUGUGAUCAGUAGCACUCUUUGUUAUCUCACUUCAUAAAUCUCGGAUUUGGCAGGAAUUGGAACGGCGCUGUUAUUUUUUGGGUGUGUUAUCUCUGCUUCUGUUUAUCCCAAUUUUAAUAUGUAUUUGCAAUUGUUGGAUUAAAAAGGGUUUGUGAUUUGUGAAAAAAGAUGAGUCAAGCGACUCCAAUUUUUGAAAGUUAUCUGGUUUUGGUUUGUAUCGAAAACAGGGAACACUGAGAGGGAGAUGAUGACAUAAAGUAUUAAGUUUAAUUGUGAUUUAAAUUUUUUUAUGUUGUUAGCGGAUGAAUCCAUCUGUUGGUUGAAGUGAUAGGUGUAAAAAAAUGAAUAUGCCAAGGUGUAAAUAGUUGGAGGUUUAUGGUAUUUUGCAGGUUUUCUGUUGGUUCAUGGUUUUGGUAGUUUUGAUUUCGUGAGAGGCAUAGAGAGUAUACACUGAGACAAAUAGGUGGGAAGACAGAACAAGGGAAGGGGAAAAUGAGAGAGACACGGGUUGGGCCAUUUUUUUUUUAUAAUUGAUUUGGGGUUUUGUUUGGGUUUGGGGUUGUGAUGUUUCUGUAUUUAAUUUGGUAUUUCAUAGUUUGGGGUUGAGUCGUUAUUUUUUUGGACUUUAUGAUCUCAUUUGUGAUUAUCAAGUGCAUAAUGGUUAAUUGUAAUUUUCAAAUUUUUAUGCUAUUAGUAGUUAAAACUAGGGGAAUGGCUCCAAUUUUGUUAGUCAAUUAAUUUAUUUUUUUGUGUAUCUCAAGCUUCUAAUUGAUUUCCUGCAUCAUUGCUUAGUUUUAUUCACUGAGAUUUGAGUGGUUAAUUUUUUUUACCUUAUGACCUCAUUUGUGAUUAUCAAGUACAUAAUGGUUAAUUGUAAUUUUCAAUUCUUUAUGUUGUUAAUGGUUAAAAUUAGGGGAAUAGCUCCAAUUUUGUUGGUCAAUUAAUUUAAUUUAAUUUUUGAUAUAUCUCAAGCUUCUAAUUGAUUUCCUGCAUCAUUGCUUAGUUUUAUUCACUGAGAUUUGAGUGGCUAAUUUGGAUCAAACUCUAAUGAUUUUCCUUUUCAACAGUUGUGGUCCUCUGUUAGGAUUUUCCUGGAAAAGAGUAUAUUUUCCGUUUUGGUUGCUCAGUUGCUCAAUCACAAAUUUGCAAAUAGCUCUGGUGGUGCUAUUAUUUUUGGGUAUGUUUUCUGUCAUUUUUUCCCCUGUUUGAUCAUGCAUUUAUGAAUGUUGGAUUAAAAUGUGUUUAUUUUUGGGAAGAAAUGAGACGGCUAGUUAGAGUUUUAGAAACCUUUGUCUUUCUUGCUUUUUAUGGCAAUGAGAAGAAGGAAGAAAACAUUGAUCUUAAUUGUAAUUUUCAGUUCUUUACACUGUUAGUGCUGAAACCUCUGUUUUGUAGACAAAUAGCUGACAUGUGAACAUUUGCAAAUCCAUGUUAUUUUCUAAGUUGUUUUUUAUUUUCCAAUGUAUUUUUUUCUUCAUAUGAACCUGGAUGAAAUGAUUGUUGGUGGUUUUUAACCAGAUGCUUUGUUUCAAAAUGAUUAAUCCUAUUAAGAAUAAAUAAUUGCUUGGGGUAUAAAAUGUGUAUUGUUGAUGCUUUGGUCAAUCUGACCAUAAAAAUAGAGUGCAUUUUGGUUUCUUUGACUCUUUUGUUUGCUUUGUUUGUUGUUUGGACCUAAGCUUAAAAUACUUACACAAUACUUGACAAGAAAAAUAAUAUUUAGGAUUAGGUUAGUGUUUAUGCAAUGAUAACCAUAGACAAUUAAUUCUCUGGUGACUUAUUUCAUGCUUUAGUUUGGAAACUCUUGUUUUUGUCAUAUAUAGAAUACUAGCACGGCGUGCAAAUGCGUUAUCGAUUGACUUCUAAAUGGUGGUUAAUUUAGUUUAUAAAUUUGUAAUGCAUGUGUUCUCUAACCUUGAGCGACUGUACAUGAGGACAUAAGACGUCUUUUGGGUGAGAAAUCUGCUUCCUUGAUAUGGGCAGCGAGUCAGUUUGGUUCGACUCUUGAUCCGGAGCAGAGACUAACUGUUCUUCACAUCCAAGCUCGUCUUGUGAUAGGGUCCUUAGGUCUGUACAGAAUCUGAACAUAGAAAAGCACCCUAGGCAUUUUGUUUUGUUUUUCUCUGUACUUGAAUGAAAUACAAUCAGUAAUAUGUAAGAGAAUGGUCGGCUUCAAUGAAAUGUUUGCCUUGACAUUUUGUGCAGUAUAAUUUCAAAAUCAUACAACAUUCUACGGACUAACGUGACGGUAGGUAAAACUCCUCAUGCGAGUCUGGAAGCCCUCGCAUUGACAAUAAUCACACAAUGAAUGAACAGUCACAAGUGAAUAAAACGCAAGAAACCGUUGUCGCUAAAAGACCAAAUAUCAAUAAUAAUGUUCCAAUAGUAUUGCAUUAACAACACUUUAGCAUAAUUUCUAUGCAAAUACAUUUAAGUCAGUCAAUUAUUGUGUGAAUAAAUCUGUAAAGACCGAGUAGAAUAAAGUCGGUCAAUUAUUGAAGUAUCACAUGGAGUGUCGCAUGGGGUCCAAGUCAAGACAAUAGUUUCACUUGCAUCGUGGAAAUUUUGGUUUGUAAGUCCCUAUUGUUCUUAAUUUGUAAUUUAUUUUGAAGCGUGAUUAAGAUAAAUGACAAACGAAAGUGGAGAAGAAUCAUUAUUUUAUGGGAGUCAUUCAUCCUUCCUCUUAUCCUCCAAAACGACUUUUGACUGUUUGCAACUUGUUUGAAAAGAAAAAAAGUGAUGAUUCUUCAUUAACAACACUUUAGCAUAAUUUCUAUGCACAUACAUUUAAGUCGGCCAAUUAUUGUGUGAACAAAUUUGUAAAGACCCGAGUCGCGGUAGAAUAUAGUCAGUCAAUUAUUGAAGUAUAGCAUGGAGUGUCGCAUGGGGUCCAAGUCAAGACAAUAGUUCCACUUGCAUCGUGGAAAUUUUGGUUUGCAGGUUCCUUCUCAACUUGUAAUUUACUAUGAAGCGUGAUUAAGAUAAAUGACAAAUGAAAGUGGAGAAGAAUCAUCUAUUUUGUGGGAGUCAUUUAUCCUUUCUCUUAUCCUCCAAAACGACUUUUGACUGUUUGCAACUUGUUUGGAAAAAAAAAAAAUGUGAAUUUGUCUCUCAAAAGUUGAGGCCUUUUUUUGCGUAUUUUAGCCUGAUCUAAAUAACAUAAAUUAUGCAUUCUGACUAUUUGCAACUUGUUUGAAAUUAAAUGUAAAUUUGUUCUCUCAAAAGUUAAGAUGGUGUCUGUGCUUUUUAGCUUGGUUCAAAUAACAUGAAUUACGCGCAUAUACGUUGUUUUCUAAUUUCACAAAAAACAAAAAAACUUCUAAAACGUAAACAGAACGAACAAUCAACGCGGAAUUGUGUUGAUUGUUGCAGGCUUUGCCAUUGUUUUGGAGAGACGAGUCAUCCUCUAAUUACUACACCUACCUACAGAAAAGUAGCUGGUCCACUCACACAUGUUAAUUACUACACCUACCUACCUACAGACGAGUCAUCCACCUAUCUACCUACGGACGAGUCAUCCUUAUAAUACACUCGCAGCUUUCCUUUUGCUCCUAAAUCAAUUCUGAUUGUACACUUCUUCUUCUUCUUCAAUCUUCAAUCGUCUUUGCCUUGAUUUUGUUGAAUUAAGAUGGAGAACGACGGAACGGCGCUUGAAGAAACUCUUUCAUACUUCCAUUGUGGUGCUACUUUUUCUACAAUGUUUCAACCCUUCCCUAUCCUCUGGAUUCAAUCAUGUUUCUUUCGGUUUCGGAGCAAUUGCCCACCGGGUGGUGACGAGGUGCAUAGAGAGUGAAAGGGAAACACUCCUUUCUUUCAAACAAGGUCUGAUUGAUGACUACAAUCUCCUCUCCUCGUGGGGAAGAGAAGAACACAAGCAAGAUUGUUGCAAAUGGGUAGGCGUCCACUGCAGCAACCGAACCAACCAUGUUACUCAACUUCAUCUUGGAUGGUCUUCUAUGCGUCAAGCUUACUCACUUCAACACAAAGGUCACCUGGAAGAUACCGAAUAUUAUUUACAAGGUAAGAUGAUGAGUCCUAAACUGAUUGAGUUGCAGCAUUUGAAAUAUUUGGACCUUUCGUUGAUUAACUUCAAUGGAAGCCAAAUUCCAGAUUUCAUUGGUUUUCUUUCCAACUUAAGACACCUCGAUCUCUUUGUUGCUUAUUUUGGUGGUCGAAUUCCAACUCAGAUUGGAAACCUUACUCACUUGCAAUAUCUUAAUCUCAGCUACAAUAACUUUGCUAAUGUAGAAAAUCUGAAUUCAUGGCUGCCUCAUCUUUCUGCUUUAACAUAUUUGGACCUGACAUACAACAAUCUCAGUAAUGUUCCUGACUGGAUGGAAGCAGUUAAUAAACUCCCUAAACUUACAAACUUGUCUCUGUCUUAUUGCAGUCUUCCUUCUCGUCUAAUUCAUUCCAGUACUCUUUUUAACAUAAAUUCUUCUAAAUCUCUUGCUCAUGUUAAUCUCAGAUCCAACCAACUCUCAUUUUCUUCAUCUUCUUCCAUAUUUGUGUGGUUAUCCAAAUACAAUGCCGGCCUUGUUCAUCUUGACCUCUCUGAAAACCAAAUUGAAGGAGGGAUUCCGCAAUCUUUUUCCGGGUUAUGUAAUCAGCAAGAAUUGUACCUUUACAAUAACACUUUGAGUGGACAGUUUUCCUGGUUGGUUCAAAUAUUAAUGUCUGCAUGCCCUGAUCAGAACUCAUUAGAGACUCUGUCCCUCUCAAAGAAUCAUCUUUCUGGAUCAAUUCCUAAUCUCACAAACUUUUCAUCAUUGAAAGAAUUAUCUCUCGAUGACAAUCAAUUGAGUGGAACAAUACUUGAAAGCAUUGGGCAUAUGUCCACGCUUGAGGCUAUCUACCUUGGUAUGAAUGCUUUGGAAGGUGUGGUUUCGAAAAGCCACUUCUCCAACCUCUCCAGAUUAAGGAGUUUGGAUAUGUUCAAUACCUCACUAUCUUUAAGCUUCAGUUCUAAUUGGUCUCAUCCUUUCCAAUUAGAGUAUAUAAAAUUAUGGUCUUGUAAGGAGGGUCCACAUUUUCCAAAAUAGCUUCAAAAUCAGAAAAGUUAUAAGAGACUUGAUAUUUCUAAUGCCAGAAUUUCUGAUAUCCUUCAAAGUUGGUUUUGGAGCCUUCUGUCUCAUCAGGAUCUUAGAUCUAUUUCUAUAGAUUUUUCCCACAACCGAAUUAGAGGAACAAUUCCAAAUUCAAGAUUUGAGUUUUCCUCAUCUUCCUUUAGUCUAGUGAAUUUGAGUUAGAACUAAUUGGAAAGUCCAGUCCCUUCAUUCAUUUCCACAUCGAUAUCUUUAGAUCUCUCCAACAAUAAGUUUUUAGGGUUAAUUUCUUUCAUGUGUCCAAGGACUUCGAACAAGGUUAGUCAUAUAGCCUUUCUUGAUCUCUCAAGCAACAAUUUGUACGAACAACUUCCUAAUUGUUGGACACGUUUUGAAAAUCUUGCCUUUCUUGAUUUGAGUGAUAAUGCUCUUUUUGGAAAAAUUCCUACCACAAUGAGCUCUUUACCUUCUAUUCAAACACUAAAGUUAAACAAGAAUAGGUUUGUGGGGAAUUGACUUUAUCCUUGAAGAACUUUACCACACUCAGUGUUUUUAAUGCUAGAGAAAAUAACUUAUCAAGUUUGAUACCUGAAUGAUUAGGGGUUGAACUUCCAAAUUUGGCUAUCCUUAUCCUCCGUUCUAAUCACUUCUAUGGAAGCAUUCCACCACAAUUGUGUAAACCCAACCCCUAACCAUUCAGGUAUCAAACCUGAUAAGUUAUUUUCUCCAACAUCAAAAACACUGAGUGUGGUAAAGUUUUUCAAAGAUGAAGGCAAUUCCCCCACAAACCCAUUCUUGUUUAACUUCAGCGUUUGAAUAGAAGGUAAAUAGUCCGUUGUGGUAGGAAUUUUCCCAAAAAGAGCAUUAUCACUCAAAUCAAGAAAGCCAAGAUUUUCAAAACGUGUCCAACAAUUAGGAAGUUGUUUGUACAAAUUGUUGCUUGAGAGAUCAAGAAAGGCUAAAUGACUAACCUUGUUCAGAGUCUUUGGACACAUGAAAGAAACUAACCCUGAAAGCUUAUUGUUGGAGAGAUCUAGGGCUAUUGCUAUGGAAAGGAAUGAAGGGACUAGACUUUCCAAUCGGUUCCAUCUCAAAUUCACUAGACUAAAGGAAGAUGAGGGAAACUCAAAUCUUGAAUUUGGAAUUGUUCCUCUAAUUCGGUUGUUGGAAAGAUCUAUAGAAAUAGAUCUAGGAUCCUGAUGAGAUAGAAGACUCCAAAACCAACUUAGAAGGAUAUCAGAAAUUCCUGCAUUAGAAAUAUCAAGGCUCUUAUAACUUUUCUGAUUUUGAAGCCAUUUUGAAAAAUGUGGACCCACCUUACAAGACCUCAAUUUUAUAUACUCUAAUUGGAAAGGAUGAGUCCAAUUAGAACUGAAGCUUAAAGAUAGUGAGGUAUUAGACAUAUCCAAACUUCUUAAUCUGGAGAGAUUGGAGAAGUGGCUUUUCGAAACCACACCUUCCAAAGCAUUCAUACCAAGGUAGAUAGCCUCGAGCGUGGACAUAUGCCCAAUGCUCAACAAUUUGGCUAAAAAAGUAAGUUCAAGUAUAGCAUCCUUGAUAUGGAAAGGCAUUCUAUCCAAAUACAGAAGUACUAUGGGGCUUGUAAGUGUAUUCAUCUGUCAAGUAAUCGAUUAAUAGGGGAGAUUCCUAGGGAAAUCACUGAUCUUGUGAGGUUGGUUUCUUUAAACCUGUCAAGAAACAAUUUAACAUGUCAAAUAACUCCAACGAUCAGGAAGUUGGAGUCCUUAGAGUCCCUUGAUUUGUCAAGAAACCACAUAUAUGGUGGAAUACCAACAAGCCUUUUUCAAAUAUAUGGUCUUGGUGAUUUGGACUUGUCAAACAACAACUACAACAACAACAAAGCAUUUUCCCACUAAGUGGGACUCGGCUCCAAAGCCUUUUCAAACAACAACUAGUUUGGAAAAUUCCAAUUGGGACUCGGCUCCAAACCUAUGAUCCAUCUGAUUUUGCUGGAAAUACUCUACUUUGUGGAAUUCCACUUCAACAGUUGUGCUGUCCUGAGGAAACAAGUCCAGAGGAGCAACCAAUGUUUGGGGAUCAAGUUAAAGAUAAUGAUGGGCUUAUAACAACAUGAUUUUACUUGAGUUUGGCGCUUGGUUUUGUUGUUGGAUUUUUGGGAGUUUGUGGGAGUUUGAUAUUCAUCAGGUCAUGGAGAUACACAUGCUACAAGUUCUUGAAUUGUGUGUACGAUUGGCUUUUUGUGAGGGUGGCGUUGAUCAGGUGACGAAGAAUGAUUGAUGGGUAAAAUGUAAGUACUCUUGCACAUAAUGAAUAAUAUUAUUGCAGUUUUGAGUCUAUUAAAUUAUGACUAAUAUAUGUUGCGUUUGUUUUAAUCUUUUUAGCUCGUUCAUCUACCGUUGGCAAGCACUGCUCCCUUUAAACUAGAGAAGAAGGAGAUUGAAGAGUGCAAUUUGAAGUUAUAAUUUAGUGAAAGUGUUGUGUUUAAUUUAGUGGCCUUUUUGAGGCUAUUUACAGUGACCGUAUUCUUUAUGCCGACACCAAACUUUAAGUUCAUGUGGAAAUCUAUUUAUACGUUGAAUAACACACUAAUCUGUAAAUAUUUUUUUACAGAUAGUGUGCAAAUUUCUUUCUUUCAGACUGUGUAUGCUUAUGACGUGAUAAACAUAUUAGAAGUUUGCGAUUUAAUAUGUUACUCCCAAAUGUGAUUGUUAUUCUGUGAAUUCGCUAAAAUUUAAGGUUGUGUGUAUUGUUGUUUUUAAAACCCUUUGCUUAGUAAUACAUAAUUGAAUAUGAGCUCUUCCAUUUGAUAAUAUCUUAAACUGCUUAAGAUAUACAUCAUAAGCAACCAUGCUUACAAAUUUCAGCACUCUUAGAAACAACAUACACUAAUCUACAACGGUUUCUAAUCUUACUCAAGGCUUCAAAUACACUCGUGUGUCACAUGAUUUGAAACGUGCAAUUUAAUUACAAUGUAUUUGGAUUGCACAUUUCAAAUCUUGUGACACACAAGUGUGAGUGUUUUAGAUUGAUGAAUUUUAGUCAUCUAACGAGAUAUAAACUUGUUUCGUUCCAAGUGAGUAAUUAAGCAAAAAUAGUACUCAUGUGACCAGCAGGCAGCAAGGAUGUGAGGCAUCUGAUAUACAUGCAAUGGCUAAAGUUACUUACAAAACUAAACGAAACGUCGUCGUCUGUUAGCUGUGUUUGGGCCAAAAGCGUGGUCGUUUUGAUCAGAACAUUUCCGGGGCAAAAAGCAGAAGAGAAAGAUUGAAAUUCUAAAAAGAGAGAGUAAAAGACUGGGGCGAGGUCACGCUCCAGACCGCCGUCCACCGCCGUAGGCGAUCCGGCCAACUUGUUGACCUGCAGAGAUUCUAUAGCGAGGUCACGCUCGCGUUCUGGAGCGGCCUCCGCGACCUUCCGCCGAGUUCUCGUUCCUCCGCGUCCGCGGCCUCCUCAAUUUCCUCCGAUCCGUCGCCGAGUCCGAUUCCACCGUCAACCUCUUCUCUCAAACGCAAUUGCUCCCCGAGCUUCAAGGUAACCAGAAAAUUACAAAAUUCCUAGUACAUGGCGAGGAGGUUUGGGGAGAGAACGUGGUGGCUGCCUCAGUGAGUCACGUGGUUGCCGAAGUGACAAGGUUGUUGAAGGUUCAGCGCGGGAAAGUUUGGUUGAUUGGUGCAACGGCUAGCUAUGGAAGUUACUUGAAGUUUGUGGGGAGGUUUCCAUCUGUUGAAAAAAAAAAAAAAACUGGGACUUGCAGCUUCUGCCCAUCACUUCUCUCAGAGCUGCUUCCAUGGCUGAAUCAUAUCCCAGGUCCAGCUUGAUGGAGUCGUUUGUUCCAUUUGGUGGAUUCUUUUCAGCACCUUCUGACCUAAAGCUCCCACUCGCUGGGCUCUGCGGUAUUUGUAUGGAAAGUUUAGUUGAUUGGUGUAACGGCUAGCUAUGGAAGUUACUUGAAGUUUGUGGGAAGGUUUCCAUCUGUGGAAAAAAAACUGGGACUUGCAGCUUCUGCCCAUCACUUCUCUCAGAGCUGCUUCCAUGGCUGAAUCAUAUCCCAGGUCCAGCUUGAUGGAGUCGUUUGUUCCAUUUGGUGGAUUCUUUUCAGCACCUUCUGACCUAAAACUCCCACUCGCUGGGCUCUGCGGUAUUUGUAUGGUAGCCGAUGCAGCGGGAGUGGAGCAUCAUCGUUGGGCAGAGGAGAAGAAAACUGGAGACGAUGGAGACUGCCUGGCCAUCAUAGUAACUCGCUGCUGCUGACCAAUCACGAACCUUUGUUGGUUGUCUAAAGAACUUGACGUUUGACUGUCUCAAUGCUGACUUUUGAAGUUUCUGAUUUUGUAUUAUGGAAAUCGUAAUAAGAGCAUACGUAGGUUACAAAUAUAUAUGGGAGUUUGAGUGAGUUGCAAACUACACUCAACACUCAAGUUAUCUAUCCCAAAUCUCCUUGAAUCAUGCUAAACAGCCGGCAUAGGUAACAUAACUAAGCUCCUUGGAUUAAGGAGUUGACAACAAGAUAAGACCCUUAUACAAGUUGAUGAGAACAAGAAAAUAAAUGGCUAUUAACUAGGUAAAACACUAAUAAGGUUGACACAAACCCUAUUACCCAGAUAAUACUGAGAAACACUAAUCAUGAGGAACCUUAAGUAACCAGAGGUCUUUCAAUACUCCCCCUUAAGCUGGAUCCAGAAGUUUGAUGGAUCCAAGCUUGCUGAGAAGCUUUUGAAACUGAUGGGAGGCUAAUGGUUUGGUGAAUAAGUCUGCAAGUUGAUUGUAGCUCCUGCCAAAAUGAGUUUUGAUGACCUGUGAUUGUACUUGUGCACGAACAUAGUGACAAUCAACUUCAAUGUGCUUGGUUCUCUCGUGGAAGACGGGGUUGGAAGCAAUGUGCAUUGCUGCCUGGUUGUCACAGAAAAAGGGACAUGGAGUGAGGAGUGAAGACAUCUAAGUUACAUAGUAGACCUUUCAGCCAUAUUAGUUCACACGCAAUAGAUUCCAUGACUCAAUAUUCAGCCACAUCACUUGAUCUUACAACGACUGCUUGCUUUUUACUUUUCCAUGUAACAAGGUUGCCUCCCACAAACGUGCAAUACCCCAUUGUAGACUUACGAUCAAUAGAGUUGGCAACCCAAUUAGCAUCAAAUAACCUGUGAUCUAAGUGCUCUCAUUCUUCUUCAUGAUUAUGCCACGACCCACUGAACCUUUUAGGUACCGAAGUAUUCUUUUGACAAGAUUAAAAUGCUCUAUCGUGGGAGAGUGCAUAAAUUGGCUAGCAAUGCUUACUGAAUAGGCUAUGUGAGACCUUGUAAUAGUCAAAUAUAUCAACUUACCAACAAGUCGUUGAUAAUAGCUUAUGUUUAGAAGUGGUUGCCUCUUCAAGCUGAGUUUGAGCUUGAUGUCAAGAGGUGUAUGGACAUGUUUAGCAUCACUCAUGUUUGCUUCCUUGAGAAGAUCCAUGACAUAUUUCCGCUGGUUGAGAAAGAAACCCUUGUGAGAGGUUGCCAUUUCUAUUCCAAGACAAUAUCUCAGUAUUCCAAGAUCUUUGAUUGCAAAACGUUGUUGUAGUGAAUGCUUGAGCUUCUUUAUUUCUUCAGGGUUGUCUCCUGUAAUGAUCAAAUCAUCUACAUAUACAAGGACUACCAAUUUCCCAGCAGUUCUUGUGCACACGAACAAUGAGGAGUUUGCGUUGCUUCUUUUAAAACCAACACUUGUAAGGACUAAACUGAGCUUGGCAUACCAAGCUCUCGGUGACUGUUUAAGACCGUAAAUUGAUUUGUGCAAUUUACACACAACAUCAUGUUCAUGACUUUGAGGAUGACUUGGGGGUAAUCUCAUGUAGACUUCUUCUUCAAGAUCACCAUGUAAAAAGGCGUUCUUUACAUCUAUUUGAUACAUAGGCCACCCUUUGUUAACAACAACUGAAAUGAGUACUCUCACUGAGUUCAUCUUUGCAACAGGAGAAAAGGUUUCCUUGUAGUCCACAUCAAAUGUUUGAGUAAAUCCAUGAGCCACUAAUCUUGCCUUGUGUCUUUCUAUGGACCCGUCUGAGUUGAAUUUAACCUUGUAUAUCCAUUUACAACCUACUGUCUUAUUUCCUUUGGGUAGUGUCACAAUGCUCCAGGUUUUAUGUUGAUCAAGGGUAUGCAGUUCAUCUUGCAUAACUUGCUGCCAAACCUGUGAUUGAUUUGCUUCUUGAAAUGACUGAGGCUCAACAUGCUCAGAUACAUUACAAACAAAAGCAGUGUAUUUAGAUGACAAUUUUUGAUAGGACACAUAGUUGGACAGUGGAUGCCUUGGCUUGUAAGUGACAAAGUCUUGCAGUCUUGUUGGAUGAUGUCUUUCACGAAUGGGAUUUCGUUGAGGCGCAGCAGAAUGAGACUCGUAUGAAGAUUCCUCAGGUGCAACAUUAUGGAGAGAUUCAUCUUCAACAGAAGUGUUGGUGUCAUCACUUGAAUCUGGUUGGUCAGUUGCAGCGCGGGACUUUGUGUGAUGUGCAGACACCAUUGCAUUAGAUUGAGUGACUUCAGUGGCAAGUAUCUCAGUCCAUGGCAAUGGAAAAAGGUCCAAGAAACACUUCCCAUGACUUAUACUAUCCAGAGAUUUGCUGUAAUAAGGGUUAGUUUCAUGAAAUCUAACAUCCUUGGAAACAAUUAAUCUCUUAAGUUGUGGAUUGUAACAUUUGUAUCCUUUUUGUGUGGAUGAGUAACCAAGGAAAAUACAUUUGGUUGCCCUAGGAUCUAGUUUGUCUCGAUGCAAGGGCUGAACAUGGACAAAACAAAUGCAUCCAAAGACCUUAAGGCGUUGCAAGUCCACUUUUCUAUUUUUGACCAUUUCCAUUGGUGAUUUGAACCCCAAAACCCUGCUAGGUAACAUGUUGAUCAAGUAAGCUGCUGCCACAACACUUUGAGACCAAAAUCAUUUUGGUACAUUCAUUUGGAACAUCAAGGCCCUAGUUUUUUUAAGAAGAUCUCGAUUUUUUCUCUCAACAAUACCAUUUUGUUGGGGUGUGCCAACACAAGCAUGAUGCCAUUGUUGCUCAAAUAUUGAGUCAUGACUUGGGACAUCUAUUCGGUGCCAUUAUCAGACCUUAGAGUUUUGAUUUGAGAGGAAAAAUGAUUUUUAACAAGGUUAUGAAAGUCCUUAAACACUUCCAUCACUUCACUCUUUGAUUUUAACAAAUAUAACCAAGUGGCUCUUGAAUAAUCAUCAACAAAGGUUAUGAAAUAUUUGUAACCAUCAAAAGAUUCACUAGUUGGUCCCCAUAUAUCAGAGUGUACAAGUUUAAAAAGAUGAAAAGCUCUAGACAAAGAUGAACCUUGAGCUAGUCUAGUUGCCUUUGACAUAUGGCAAGUUUCACAGUGAAUUUGUUCUUUGCUUAGGUCGGGAAACAAGGUUGACAAAACAUGUUGAGAAAGGUGAGCUAGUCGCUGGUGCCACAAGGAAUGAUCUUGAUGGAGGCAUGGAUGAACUUAGACUUGGCUUGGAAUCCAUUGGGAGAGCUUUUCGAUAUGUAAUAGAGACCGUCUAGGUAAAACCCCUCACCAAUCGUCCUCUUGGUGACACAAUUCUGAAAAAUGACAUUUUCUGGUGAAGAAAUGGCUAAAUAGUUUAAGGAAUUUGUGAUUUUUCCCACUGAGAUAAGUUGGAAUGGAAAUGAAGGAACAUAUAAGGCCAUAGACUCUAUUUGGUCUGAUAUCAAGUGAAUUUUUCCCUUUCCUACAAUCCUAGCACCUUCACCAUUAGCUACAGACAUAUGUGAUGGUUUAUGAAGUUUCUAAAAUUUAUGCAAUUUUGACACUUGAUUAGUCAUAUGAUUUGUGGCACCUGAAUCUACAACCCAAAAAUCAUGCAACUUAUUGAUUGUAAGAGCAGUUUCGAAAGCAUUCACGAUACCUUUCAUGUCUUGUUGAGGUAAGCGAUCAGCAUCGACAAAAAAACUUGCAAACUUGCCCAACAAUGCAGUGGCACUUCCAUAUGGUCAACAACUCGAUCUUCCCUUCCCGUCUUCUAUUGGAGAUAGGCUGCAAACUUAUUUAUAAGAGUAGCAAGAUUUGUAGUGAACUGUUGGUAAGAAUUUGAACUGUUGAUAGAUGAAGAUGAUGCAGUGUUGGCAUGAGGAUAUGCUUGACUUGUCUUCUGUGCAAUCUUAUCCUUCAUGACUUCAGGCUUGAGCUUUGGAUGCAGGAUCCAACACUUAUCUCUCACAUGCUCGAUGUUGUCACAGUGUAAGCACUUCAGAUGAGGGUUUUUUCCUUUGUACCUUUUUUCAUGUCAGAUAAGCCCUAGCUUCAAUCACAUUGGUUUUUGUACCACUGUUCAUGACUUUUCUUCUCACUUCCUCACGUUAGAUGGUUAAACAAAUGCUAGUGAAGGAUGGUAGCUCAGGAUUCAUGAGGACAUGACUUCUCAAAUCCUCAUAUUCUGAGCUCAAGCUAGACAUCAAUUGAAAUUUUUUAUCUUCUUCAGUUCUUUUAAGAAUCACCUUGGGAUCAGUUGUAUGAGGUCUGUAGACAUCUAGCUCAUUCCACAUGCUUCUUAGAGAACCAAGAUGUUGAACAAAAGUUUUACCUUUUUGUUGAAUGUUGGAGAUAUCAUUCUUGAGUUGAAAGAUGCGUGCAAAGUUGUUUUAAUUACCAUACAUCUCCUUCACAAUUGUCCAGAGAGUGAGAGAUGACUCAGAAUAGCUGAAGAUUUCAGCAAUCUUCCUUUCCAUGGAAAUAAGCAACCAUGACAUGACCAAUUGAUCUUUACAAAGCCACCCUUCAUAUUUUGGAGAAGUAACUUCAAGAGCAGAAUGACUGCCAUUGAUGAAACCAAGUUUGGAUCUUCCACCAAGCGCAAGACUAACAACUCUUGCCCACGACACAUAAUUAAACUCAUUCAGUAACACUGAACUAAGUCGUUUAUUUGGAUUGAUAUCCAUUUUAGAGAUGCUAGCAGAAGGAGAAGCAAUGAUGCUUUCAUCCUCUAAAUUCUCAUCAGUUAUAUUUUUGCUGAAGGAAAAUCACAACAAGUGAGAUAUACAAAGAUAGACUCAGAAGGAUGCCCGCUCUAAUAUCAUGUUGACUUUUGAAGUUACUCAGAAGGAUGCCCGCUCUAAUACCAUGUUGACUUUUGAAGUUUCUGAUUUUGUAUUAUGGAAAUCAUAAUAAGAGCAUACGCAUGUUACAAAUAUAUAGGGGAGUUUGAGUGAGUUGCAAACUACACUCAACACUCAAGUUACCUAUCCCAAAUCUCCUUGAAUCAUGCUAAACAGGCGGCACAAGGAACAUAACUAAGCUCAUUGGAUUAAGGAGUUGACAACAAGAUAAGACCCCUAUACAAGUUGAUAAGAAUAAGAAGAAAAUAAACGGCUAUUAACUAGGUAAAACACUAAUAAGGUUGACACAAACCCUAUUACCUAGAUAAUACUAAGAAACCCUAAUCAUGAGGAACCCUAAGUAACCAGAGGUCUUUCAAUACUCAACUUGUACAAUUCCUUGUUGAAUAUGGGCCCACGAGAGAUGUGAAGAUGAUUGAUUGGCGUUUGAAAGCUGUCCCAUGAAAAUAGUGUUGAAAGCCCAACACCAACGCCAAUCCAAAACAAAGGCGACCCUACAUUUGUGGGUGGGGGAGGUACUGAGAUUUGUGGUUUGACACCAACUGAAGAUGUUUCUUGGGUACUCGAAGAAGAAAUGCUCGCAAAACAUUCCGCUUCUAACUUUGUUGGGAGGCGAGUGGCACUGAAGCGACCAUUGGCUCUGGAAUUCUGGUGAUUUUUGGAGUUUCUGAGAUUCGCAGAGCAUUGAAAGAGAGGGAACCGACUAGAGUCUAUCUUUUUUUUUUCUUCCAAAGAAUAUGUUGCCUUUGUAAUAAAAUUGACUUUCAUUAGUCAAGCCUUUAUUUUGAUGUGACUGAACUCGAAGUUGAAUGUUCGAGCUACCUACAUACCCUUCCAAAGAAGAGAUCAAGUCAGAACGUAGUUCAAAUAUGUUUUGUUUUUGUGCUGUACGCAGUUUAUGCUUAUGCGGGCCAGGAGCAUUUGGUGCCAUUUGCAGUUUCAACUCAUGCAGGCAAUAAACUCUUGGUGUGGAUUUGGUGCUGUUUGCAGUUUCAGCUCGUGUAGGCAAUGAGCGUUAGUUGUCGCCUUUUAGGCUCGUGCGGACGAUGAGCUCUUGGUGUAGAUUUGUCAAGCGAUCUUGGAGAGGUGUUCAUCGCAAUCUUUAUAGCAAGAAGUCUUGAUCGAGGGAUUGAAGAAGUCUUCGGGGAAGAAAUCGCGCAUCGUGAUGGGGAUGGACGAUCUUCGUGUCGAAAUUUCAUCAUCCUCAACACUUUCACGUUGCCUUGGAGGUUGACAAGAGCUUCUUUGCCCUAUUUUCGAUUGUUGAACUUGUGGACGACAAGUGUCACGCCCCGAUCCCGACAUACGUCCAAGAUCGACACGUGAUGUCAACAAAUACCCAUAUCUCAAAAGUCAACCCUCGGUCAACGGUAGGGUCCACAACUCUACAUAAUUCGAUCCGAAAGAUCAACCCAUCAGAUUUCAGAUCCGUAACUUCUUAAGGUCUCAUUAUACUCAUAAAACAUCAUACUAAAGUCUCACCAUAAUUCGACGGUUGGAUCUUCGCCAAUUGCUAGAAUUAGGUGGCGGUUAACAAUUAAUUUUACUAACUUAGAAAUCUAAUUCGGGAAAACCCAUACGUCGGAUUCCCGAUCCGUCAGCUCCAGCUAUCCUCAAAUAUUACGUUCUAUAACGCAUUAAAGUUUGGUGACGAUCCAACGGUCGAUUCAUAUUUUGAUCAAGUAAUGUAUCGUAAUGAAACGAAGUUCAAACAAUCAAACCACUUCAUAUGGAUAUCAAUUAUGAAUUCAGGGCAUUUAAUUGGACUUAGAAAGACAUCGUCGGCCCACUGGCCACGCGUCGCCGCCGAUGGUGGUCAGCAGCCACGACUCGCCGGAAAAUUCAACAAUUUCCAAAAUUUAUCAAAACUCAUAGAAUUGUAGAUCUCAAUGAGUAUAGCAAAUUUUGUACCUGUGACCAAGGCCAAUUUGGCCUGGAAACACUCCAAAUCACCACGCACCCGCCAGAACCCUAGAAAGAGUGUGCUCCAAUUCUUCCUCCUCGGUGUUCCACCACCCCUACAACUGAUUGGGAUUUGUUCAGGGGCUCAAUGGGAGUCUAAUGGUGGUAGAGAUAGAGGUAAUUUGCAUCAAAAAUUGGCGGAUUGUCACCAAGAACACCAUAGUGCUGCCGCACCCUACGAUGUGGUUUUUCACAAAAUCAAGGCCAAACAUCUUCAAUUUUUGGGUGUAAUAGGUAGAUGAAACGAUAAGGAAUGUCCCGAUGGUUAAGUGACGGGAUUUGCCGGAAAAACCUACGAAAUCCACCGGAAAGAUCAAGGGGAACCGGUAGAGUCGAAAUAAAGGGGGACGAGUUGAUGAUCUCAUGCCUUCCCCCACCCUAAUUUCCCCACCUUUCUUCUCUUGCUGAUUGGUUCUCCCCUCCUAUCCUUUAUUUCUAAUUGGUCCCUAAAAGAAACUGAUUGGUCUCUUUCUCAAUAUUGAUUGGGCCUCUUGUGGGAAUUUAUUUAACUUAAAAACUAUAGUAUAGUAAGACGACUUCAAAUGUCCGUAACUAUACCGUUAUAAUCCGGAUUCUCAAACGGCUUUCGCCUAUGCGCUCGUGGUUUCGAGAUCUAUUCGAAAACAUUAACUGUGACCUCGAAAGGUCUAUAGAUUUUAAUUAAUUAAUUUCCAAACUUCAAACUUUCUAAUUAGUUUAAUUAAAAUCUAAAUUCAAAUAAAUUGAUAUAAAUUCUCGAAAAAAUAAUAUACAAUCUUAAUAAUACCAAUACGUAGAUUAUAAUAGUGAAAUCCAGGAACGGGGUUUCACAACACGUAUGCUUUUUGUGCAGUUUCUUUGGAGUGACAUGAGUUCAUCCUUCAACUUCACUUGGCUUGACUGGUAUGGUUUUGGAGCAUGCCCCCAACGAUUGAGGUGAAGAUAUUGAGUUGGAAGAGCCAAAAGUGACGGUGGUAUGGUUUGACCCUAACACAUCGUUAAGAUCUAGCUUGAUGAUUCCUUUUUGGGCCAGCUUCAUGAUGAGAUCUUUUAGCACGAAGCACAUUUCCGUCAAUGACUGAUGAAGCGGUGGUACUUACAAUAUAUUGGGUUGCCGGUGCGAUUCAUCUCUUCCAGCCGUUUGCACUCGGGUAAAUCGAUCACCUUUUUGUUGAGCAAGUCCUUCAACAUGGCAACCACAUCAGAGUCGGGGAAUGGAUAAGUCUUCUUCUCAAGCUCCUUCAAAGUGCGUUUACGCCUUUCUUGGUCACUAAAAGCUUUGGUCCGAAUCACCUUGUCUCGUGUAAAGAUUUUAACGGAAGCUGCGUUGACCACCAUUGCUUUAUUGAAACCCUCACGAAUUUGUCCAUUUUCUGCCCAAAGACCUUGUCAUUUCUGUAGUUAGCAAUCGGUUAUUUCUUCUCAUGAUGGGCAAUGCUCAACUCAAUGUCGUGGGCGGGGGUGGCUAACUCCUCGAAGGUCCACGGUUUGAUGCCUUGAAGAAUGUAGUGUAAUCCCCAAUGCAUGCCUUGUACACACAUCUCCGAGAGUCUGUCUUUGCAGUCAAGACUUAGAGUGCGCCAUCGGUUGAUGUAGUCGACGAUUGGCUCAUCCUUCCAUUACUUUGUACUUGUGAGCUCCAUCAUGCUGACAAUGCGACGAGUACUGUAGAAACGGUUUAAAAACUCCCGCUGCAAUUACUCCCAGCUGUUGAUGGACUCGGGUUCUAGGUCCGUGUACCAAUCGAAUGCAUUCCCAUUCAGACAGCGGACAAACUACUUUGCGAGGUAGUCUUUCUCAGUCCCCGCAUUGUUGCAAGUCUCGACGAAAUAGGCGACGUACUGCUUUGGGUUUCCUUUUCCAUCAAAUUGCAUGAACUUAGGUGGCUAAUACCUCAUCGGCAUCCGCAAGCCAUCAAUCCGCCUGGUAUAUGGCUUCGCAUACAGCAGUGUAUCCCGCGAAGUGUCUCCUACCUGUGUUCUGAUGGUGUUCGCAAUCAUAUCCUGGAGCUGCUGGAUGGAAAGAGAGCCCAUCGAGGUAGCUUCAGUCUCCGGUUAAUGUGAUUGAUUUAGCUUUAUAGUUGUUUCUUGUGGUUAACACUAUGUUGAUCUAUCAUAAUAUAGUAUAUGGAGAAUCAAGUCUUGCCCUUAAUUUUGGGUAUAAUAAAUUGGUAUUGAAAUCACUAUUCACGAGGUUCGAACGUAAGACAUUCACUUACAAGUGAAGUUGAAGUACCAUUAGACCGUAAUACUAAGUGUCAUUUGAAAUUGAUCAUAAAUUAAAAUCUCAAUUGCUAAAUUAAUCAAAAUUAAAUAUUGACCACAUAAUAUCAAAGAUUGACAACAAUACAAUCACGUAUUGACGAUGUAUAAAAAAAUUGGUCAUUUUAGUAAUUAGAAUUUGAAAGAUGAUCAUUUUGAUCAAUUUUUCAAGUAACUUAACAAUUAAAAACAUAAGGAAAAAAAAAGAAUGAAACACGAGUAAUGAUAUGAAUGUAGUUUGUUUGUUUUGUUUUGUUUAUACUCCAUUUCUUCCAUGUAACUUCACUUCAAAUUCAUAAACAAUGAAGUUUCUUCAAUUUACAUUGUUAAAACUAGAAGAAUUGGGAAUAAGAAUUUUUUGGCCCAUCCUUGUCUACCAUUUUUAGACGAGGAAAUAUUGGAUGUCAUUGAAUAUAAGGCAUAAUGAUCUCUGAAAAUUUAAUUUACAUUCCAUUCGACGUAACUGCAAUGGUUAAAUUGAUGAAUUUUCACUUAUUUAGUAAGAUAUAAAUAAACUACAACCAAUUACCAAUUGAAACGUGUAAAAAUAAACGGAAACGUCGUCGUCUGUUAGCUAGGGUACCAAAAUGUCGUCGUUUUGGUCAGAACAUUUCCGGAGCAAAAGCCAGAGGAGAAAAAAAAAUCUCCAGUGUGAGAGUAAACAACUGAGGCGAUGUACUUGAAGAAGCCGCUAUGGAGCGAGGGGAUAACGCUGAAGCCCUCGUCGGAAUCUGAACCAGAGCCGCCGUCCACCGCCGUAGGCGAUCCGGUCAACUCGUUGACCCAGCAGAGAGUGUACCGCGAGGUCAUGCUCGCGCUCCGGAGCGGCCUCCGCGAUGUUCGCGCCGUGUUCUCCUUCCUUGUGUCUGCGGCCUCCACGACGUCCUCAAGUUCCUCUGAUCGGUCGCCGAGUCCGAUUCCACCAUCAACCUCUUCUCUCAGACACAACUCCCCGAGCUUCAGGGUAAUCAGAAAAUUACAAAAUUCCUAGUUUCUGCUUAAUAUUUUGUUUAAUUUUUCUGAAUGUUGAAAUUGAUUUAUUCAUCGUUUUACAGUCGUGGCGAUUCUGUUUGGGCACUCGCUGAAAGAUUCGGGCGAUGAGAUAGUGCGGAAUUUGGAUCACAUAUUCGGCGUCGAGCCGCUGAAGAUCACAAGCCCUUCAACCGAUUUCGAGGUCUCGCUUGCGCUUAGGGUUUUGGAGGGUUGCUGCCUGCUUCAUUCGGACAGCGCGGUUUUGGCUCAUCAGCACAAGGCCAUUCAGGUACUCAAUGUAGCUAAAUAGCUUAACCAAAAUUUAUGGAGGUUGGAUUUCUGAGAUGAGAACGCAGUUUCUGUAAUUGGGUAUUUGUAGGUUUUGAUGAAUAUAUUACCGACUAGCGGCGUGAUUGAGCAAGGAGCUUGUUUGGAUGCUUUGAUUGCUACUAUGUUGGACUCAUCAGCUAAUCAAAUGGUAAAGCUUCAAACUUCAGUUUCGCGUCAAAUUAAUGGUGUAUAAUUGAUUUGUAGAGAUUCUGUAUAAAGUUUUGAUUCAUUUCCCUCGAAAUCUCAUGAGAAGACGUGACAUAUGUUGAUGCUUAAAAUACAUCCCAAUUGAAUACACCCCUUAUUGUGAUUGGUUUCGAAGCGGUGAUGGGUUUUUUAUGAUUGAAUUGUUUUCUUGUGUGUAAUGUGUAGGAUUUUGAGGCUUUUCAUGGUAUUGAGGAAGUUGCAGAGCUCAUAAUGGGCAAGCAAGUUGAUGAGAAUCUCAGGUUUUGAUUUAUUUCUCUUUGCUUGCUUGAUUCUCGUUGUCUCUUUUCAAAAAAAAAAAUUCUCGUUGUCGUGAGUUGUGAUUUGAAGCUCCAUCUACUUAGUGUAGUUUUCAAAGGGUAAAGUCUUUUGAAUUAGUCCUCUUGAUAAAUUCUUUGGUAAAAAUGUUAAGUUUUUUGCAAAAAUAGGUUUGUGGUAGCCACACAGUUGCUGUGUGUGCUACUACUUCUUCAAAAUCAUCAUUAUCACAGGCAAUGCCAUUUUUCGACUUGUUCAUCGGACGAUUCUUAAUAGAAUCCCGUCUUUCCUUAUUUUCUAGGAUUUUAUUUAAACCAUGUUGUUUUGCUCAUUUUCAUGUUUGUCAAUUGAGUAACGAGGUCAUCUGCUAUGAAUGAAUUAGAGUUGAGGAUUCUGAACACUGGUGUGCCUAGGCUGGAUCCUUUCUUUGCUAAUAUAAUGCACACUGAAGAAAAACGUGUGUUGCUUUUGAUUAGGUUGAAAUGUGGAGAGUUCUUGCUGCUUCCGAUUGGUCAUGUAAAUGGGAGGGAUAGGCCACCCUUGGCGACUGUACAUGAGGACAUAUGAAGUCUUUUGGGUGAGAAAUCUGCUUCCUUGAUAUGGGCAGCCAGUCAAUUUUGUUUUGUUUUUCUCUGUAUUUCAAUGAAGUACAAUCAGUAAUUUGUAAGAAAAUGGUCGGCUUCAAUGAAAUGUUUGCCUUGACAUUUUGUGCAGUAUAAUUUCAAAAUCAUACAACAUUCUACGGACUAUCGUCACGGUAGCUAAAAUUCCUCAUGCGAGUCUGGAAGCCCACGCAUUAACAAUAAUCACACAAUAAACGAAAGGUCACAAGUGAAAAAAAUGCAAGGAACUGUUGUCGCUAAAAGACCAAAAAUCAAUAAUAAUAUUCCAAAAGUAUUGUAUUGAUCAAAUGACAGUGAUGAUUCUUUACUAACAACAAUUUAGCAUAAUUUCUAUGCAAAUACAUUUAAGUCGGUCAAUUAUUGUGUCUUCUAAUCUACUAACUCCAAGACUAAAUUUGUAAAGACCCCAGUCGCGUUGGAAUUAUUUGAUAUACCGGAAACUCUUGAUAACUUGGUGUCAAUAACCUUGAAGUAUCGCAUGGGGUCAAAGUCAAGACAAUAUUUCCACUUGCAUCGUGGAAAUUUUGGUUUGCGGGUACUAUUGUUCUCAACUUGUAAUUUACUCUGAAGCGUGAUUAAGACAAAUGACAAACGAAAGUAGAGAAGAAUCAUCUAUCUUGUGGGAGUCUUUCAUCCUUCCUUGUAUCCUCCAAAACAACUUUUGACUGUUUGCAACUUGUUUGGAAAAUAAAUGUGAAUUUGUCUCUCAAGAGUUGAGGUGUUUUCCUGUAUUUUAGCCUGGUCUAAAUAACGCGCAUUUUGACUAUUUGCAACUUGUUUAGAACAUAAAUGUAAAUUUGUUCUCUUAAGAGUUGAGACGAUUUCCGCGUUUUUUAGUGUGGUCCAAAUAACGUGAAUUGCACGCAUAUAUGUUGUUUUUUAAUUCCAAAAAAACAAAAAGACUUCUAAAACGUAAACAAUACAUAAAUGUAAUUCAAAGAAGCAGAUGUAUCGGUACAUAAGUUUCGGUACGAUAUAUCGAUACAUAAGUUUUGGCAUGAUGUAUCGGUACAUAAGUUUCGGUACGAUAUAUCGAUACAUAAGUUUUGGCAUGAUGUAUCGGUACAUAAGUUUUGGUAUGAUUGCAUCAGUACAUAAAUUUCGAUACGAAUGCAUCGGUACAUAAGUUUUGGUACGUUGUAUCAAUACAUAAUCGGUACGAUUGCAUCGAUACAUAAGUUUCGGUAAGAUGUAUUGGUACAAAGUUUUGGCAUGAUGUAUCAAUACAUAAGUUUCGGUACGAUUGCAUCAGUACAUAAGUUUCGGUACCGAUGCAUCGGUACAUAAGUUUCGGUACGAAUGCAUCGGUACAUAAAUUUCAGUACGAAUGUAUCGGUACAUAAGUUUCGGUACGAUUGCAUCGGUACAUAAGUUUCAGUACAAAUGCAUCGGUACAUAAAUUUCGGUACGAAUGUAUCAGUACAUAAGUUUCGGUACGAAUUUAUCAAUACAUAAGUUUCGGUACGAAUGUACCAGUACAUAAAUUUCGGUACGAUUGCAUCCGUACAUAAGUUUCGGUACAAAUGCAUCGGUACAUAAGUUUUAGCACGAUGUAUCGGUACAUAAGUUUCGGUGCGAUUGCAUCCGUACAUAAGUUUCGGUACGAUGUAUUGGCACAUAAGUUUCGGUACGAUUACAUCGAUACAUAAGUUUCGGUAAGAUGUAUUGGUACAAAGUUUUGGCACGAUGUAUCGGUACAUAAGUUUCGGUACGAUUUGCAUCAGUACAUAAGUUUCAGUACGAAUGCAUCGGUACAUAAAUUUCAGUACGAAUGUAUUGGUAUAUAAGUUUCUGUAUGAAUGUAUCGGUACAUAAGUUUCGGUAUGAUUGCAUCGGUACAUAAGUUUGAGUACAAAUGCAUCGAUACAUAAAUUUUGGUACGAAUGUAUCAGUACAUAAGUUUUGGUACGAAUGUAUCAGUACAUAAGUUUCGGUACGAUUGCAUCCGUACACAAUUUUCAGUACGAAUGCAUCGGUACAUAAGUUUUGGUGGAAUGUAUUGGUACUUAAGUUUCAGUACGAUUGCAAUGGUACAUAAGUUUCGAUACUAUGGCGAAGCAUCUGAAGCAUAACUGCACACUCACACGAUCUUUGUUGAAAGGUAGGAGCAUUCGGUAGAACCGGUGAACUAAAGUACAUAUGUAUUAAUAGACACCUCAUGGGGAAGAGAAGAACUCAAGCAAGAUGGUUGCAAAUGGCUUGGCGUCCACUGCAGCAACCGAACCAACCAUGUUACUUAACUUCAUCUUGGAUGGAAACAUAUGGGUAAAGUUUACUCACUUCAACAUAAAGGACAACAGGAAUAUCUCGAAUGUUAUUUGCAAGGUAAAAUGAUGAGUCCUAAAUUAAUUGAGUUUAGGACUCAUCAUUUUAAUGUUUGCAUGCCCUGAUCAGAACUCAUUAGAGACUCUGGACCUCUCAUCCAAUCAUCUUUCUGGAUCAAUUCCUAAUCUCACAAACUUUUCAUCAUUGAAAGAAUUAGUUCUCUAUGACAAUCAAUGGAGUGGAACAGUACCUGAAAGCAUUGGGCAUGUCUACGCUCGAGAGUAUCUACCUUGGUAUGAAUGCUUUGGAAGGUGUGGUUUCGGAAAGCCACUUCUCCAAUCCCUCCAGAUUAAGGAUUUUGGAUAUGUUUUAUACCUCACUAUCUUUAAGCUUCAGUUCUAAUUGGACUCCUCCUUUCCAAUUGGAAUUGAUACAUUUGAGCUCUUGCAUGAUGGGUCCGCAUUUUCCAAAAUGGCUUCAAACUCAAAAAAGUUAUCAGGACCUUGAUAAUUCUAAUGCAGGAAUUUCUGAUAUGUUGUUUUCUAAUUCCGCAAAAUACAAAAAGACUUCUAAAAUGUAAACAGUACAUAAAUGUAAUUCAAGGACGUAGAUGUAUCGGUACAUAAGUUUCGGCACGAUGUAUCGGUACAUAAGUUUCGGUAUGAUUGCAUCAGUACAUAAGUUUCGGUAUGAAUGCAUCGGUACAUAAAUUUCGGUACGAUGUAUCAGUACAUAAUCAGUACGAUUGCAUCGAUACAUAAGUUUCGGUAAGAUGUAUUGAUACAAAGUUUCGGCACGAUGUAUCAAUACAUAAGUUUCAGUACGAUUGCAUUAGUAUAUAAGUUUCGUUACAAAUGCAUCGGUACAUAAGUUUCGGUAUGAAUGUAUCGGUACAUAAGUUUCAGUACGAUUACAUCGAUACAUAAGUUUCAGUACAAAUGCAUCGGUACAUAAAUUUCGGUACAAAUGUAUCAAUACAUAAAUUUCGGUACGAAUGUAUCAGUACAUAAAUUUCGAUACAAAUGUAUCAGUACAUAAGUUUCGGUACGAAUGUAUCAGUACAUAAGUUUCGGUACUAAUGUAGCAGUACAUAAGUUUCGGUACGAUUGCAUCAGUACAUAAGUUUCGGUACGAAUGCAUCAGUACAUAAGUUUCGGUACGAUGUAUUGGUACAUAAGUUUCGGCACGAUGUAUCAGUACAUAAGUUUCGGUAUGAUUGCAUCCGUACAUAAGUUUCGGUACGAUGUAUCGGUACAUAAGUUUCGGUACGAUUGCAUCGAUAUAUAAGUUUCAGUAAGAUGUAUUGGUCCAAAGUUUCGACACGAUGUAUCGGUAUAUAAGUUUCGGUACGAUUGCAUCAAUACAUAAGUUUCGGUACGAAUGCAUCAGUACAUAAGUUUCGGUACGAAUACAUCGGUAUAUAAAAUUCAGUACGAAUGUAUCAGUACAUAGUUUCGAUACGAUUGCAUCGAUACAUAAGUUUUAGUACAAAUGCAUCGGUACAUAAAUUUCGGUACGCAUUUUCCAAAAUGGCUCCAAACUCAAAAAAGUUAUCAGGACCUUGAUAUUUCUAAUGCAGGAAUUUCUGAUAUCCUUCCAAGUUGGUUUUGGAGCCCUCUGUCUCAUCAGGAUCUUGGAUCUAUUUUUAUAGAUCUUUCCAACAACCGAAUUAGAGGAACAAUUCCAAAUUCAAGAUUUGAGUUUCCCUCAUCUUCCUUUAGUAAAGUGAAUUUGAGUUGGAACCGAUUGGAAAGUCCAGUCCCUUCAUUCCUUUCCAUAGCGAUAUCUCUAGAUAUCUCCAACAAUAAGCUUUCAGGGUUAAUUUCUUUCGUGUGUCCAAAGACUCCGAACAAGGUUAGUUGUUUAGCCUUUCUUGAUCUCUCAAGCAACAAUUUGUACGAACAACUUCCUAAUUGUUGGACACGUUUUGAAAAUCAUGCAUUUCUUGAUUUGAGUGAUAAUGCUCUUUUUGGAAAUAUACCCAAAUGCAUCAACAAUUUGGCUAAAAAAGGAAGUUCAAGUAUAACUGUCUAUCAUAUCUAUAAUAGCUCAAUUGUUGGACAAGGUUAUUUUGAGGAAGCAUCCUUGAUAUGGAAAAGCAAAAUGUCCAAAUACAAAAGUACUUUGGGGCUUGUAAAGAGUACUCAUAUGUCGAGUAACCGAUUAACGGGAGAGAUUCCUACGGAAAUCACUGAUCUUGUGGGGUUGGUUACCUUAAACCUAUCAAGAAACAAUUUAACAAGUCAAAUAACUCCAAUGAUCGGGAAAUUGGAGUCCUUACAGUCCCUUGAACUGUCAAGAAACCACAUAUAUGGCGGAAUACCAACAAGCCUUUUUCAAAUAUAUGAUCUUGGUGAUUUAGACUUGUCAAACAACAACCUGUCUUAAAAAAUUCUAAUGGGGACUCAGCUCCAAACCUAUGAUCCAUAUGAUUUUGUUGGAUAUCCUCUGCUUUGUGGAAUUCCACUUCAACAGUUAUGCUCUCCUGAGGAAUCAAGUCCAAAGGAGCAACCAAUGUUUAGGGAUCAAGUUAAAGAAAAUGAUGGGCUUAUACCACAGGGUUUUACUUGAGUUUGGUGCUUGGUUUUGUUAUUGGAUUUUGGGGAGUUUGUAGGACUUUGAUAUUCAUCAGGUCAUGGAGAUACACAUACAAGAAGUUCUUGAACUGUGUGUACGAUUGGCCUUAUGUGAGGGUGGCGUUGAUCAGGCGACGAGGAAUGAUUGAUGGGUAAACUAUAAGUACUCUUCCACAUAAUGAAUAAUAUUAUUACAGUUUUGAGUCUAUUAAUACGAUUGGCUAAGUGCACUUUUAUACAGAGAACUGCAGUAUAAUGAUAUGGCAUCAUUGCCAUCAUGGUUAAUAUCAUUUUGGUCUCUACAAUUGUCUUUAAAUUAUGACUAAUAUAUGUUGUGGGUUUUUUGAAUCUUUUUAGCUCGUGCAUCUACCAUUGGUAAGCAAUGCUCCCUUUAAACUGGAGAAGAAGGAGAUUGAAGAGUGCAAUUUGAAGUUAUAAUUUAGUGAAAGUGUUGUGUUUAAUUUAGUGGCCUUUUUGUUUUUGCAAUGACGUUACUUAGAUUAUCGUUGAGGGGUUAUAAAUUAGGUUCUUUUCAUCCUCCUUUACUAAGUGUACCAGUUGAUCCUUUUCAAUAAAUUUCUUUGAGAAACUUGCAAGAACUUACUAAUCAAUUAGUUACAGAGAGAACAAGCAGACAGAUAAUUCAAUAAAAGAUUGGAUACAUUAACAUUGAGAACAUCAUACAUUUAACAGAUAAUUCAAUCAAUAUAUCUCACAUCAUCAAUUGUUGAUUCUUUACAGUUCAAGUCUGAUCAGACCGCAUUAUCUUGACAACCGAGAAAAAACAAUUCGAAUUAUUAAAAUCUGAUUCGAGUAAGAGCUCACUACUGGUUUAAUUGACUAUCUCAUCAUUCAUUAAUUCUCAUUGCCACCUUCAGCCAACGUAAAAAAUGAGGGUUAUCGAGUGCACCAACUGGGCAAUUAGCAUGACAAACGUUGCAUGCAGCAUUGCAAUAACGUAAUGGAAACUUCAUUUUCGUACACAGCGCCCCCAAUAAUGCAUCGGUUCAGCUGCGCAAUGUUAGAAAAACAAAAUAAGGACCAUAUUUGUGGGUUCCAAUUCCAAAUCCAAUUGCCUUUAUAAAAACAACAUGAAAGUACAAACCAAAGACCCCAUUAAAUUUUUUCAGAUUCAUCAAAAACCCGAACAUAAAAGAACAAAGGUAUCGGAAGAGAACCAUGAGAUGAAAAAAAAAACACCUUUUCACCAAUUGAAUUAGAAGGUCCAGCUUCAGCAGCAGUCUCCAUCCCCAGUUGACCUAAACCAUGUAUCACUUCAAGUGCACUUGCAAAUCCCAUGAACACAGCAACUAGUAACCUUGCGAACAUAUAAGUUACUAAUUUCAAUACAAAAUUCGUUGUAUAAACACGAGAAGAAAAGCAAUGAAAUUUCAACAUAAUUAACAAAACACCAAAAACUCACCGAAAAACACAUGCAUGAGCUCUAAAAAGGUUUUAGAAAACAUGUUUUUGAGGCUAUUUACAGUGACCUUAUUCUUUAUGCCAACACCAAACUUUAAGUUCAUGUGGAAAUCUAUUUAUACGUCGAGUAGCACACAUCUGUAAAUAUUUUAUAUAGAUAGUGUGCAAAUUUUUUCUUUCAGUUUGUUGUAUGCUUAUGACGUGAUAAACAUAUUAAAAGUUUGCGAUUUAAUAUGAUUACUCACUCCCAAAUGUGAUUGUUAUUCUAUUAAUUCGCUAAAAUUUAAGGUUGUGUGUAUUGUUGUUUUUAAAACCUUUUGAUUAGUAAUACAAAAUUGAAUAUGAGCUCUUCCAUUUGGUAAUAUCUUAAACUGCUUAAAAUAUACAUCAUAAGCAACUAUGCUUACAAACUUCAGCACUGUUAGAAACAAUAGGCACUAAUCUACAAUGGUUUCUAAUCUUACUCAAAGCCUCAAAUGCACCCGUGUGUCACAUGAUUUGAAAUGUGCAAUUUAAUUAUGAUGUAUUUGAAUUGUUGUUUUCAAAUCUUGUGUCACACAAGUGUGAAUGUUUUAGAUUGAUGAAUUUUACUCAUCUAACGAGAUAUAAACUUGUUUCAUUCCAAGUGAGUAAUUAAGUAAAAAUAGUACUCAUGUGACCAGCAGGCAGCAAGGAUGUGAGACAUCUCAUAUGCAUGCAAUGGCUAUACUUACAAAACUAAACGAAAUGUCGUCGUCUGUUGGCUGUGUUAAGGCCAAAAGCGUGGUCGUUUUGAUCAGAACAUUUCCGGGGCAAAAAGCCAAGGAGAAAGAUUGAAAUUCUAAAGAGUGAGAGUAAAAGACUGGGGCGAUGUACAAGAAGAAGCCGCUAUGGGGCGAGGGAAUAACACCGAAGGCCUCGUCGGAAUCUGAACCAGACCGCCGUCCACCGCCGUCGGUUAUAUGCUAAAACCAAGUUAGCUAAAAUUCCUCAAGCGAGUCUAGAAACCCUCGCAUUAACAAUAAUCACACAAUAAACGAAUAGUCUCAAAUGAAUAAAACGCAAGGAACUGUUGUCGCUACAAGACCAAAGAUCAAUAAUAAUAUUCCAAUAGUAUUGUCUAAAUGACAGUGAUAUUCUUCAUUAACAACAAUUUAGCAUAAUUUCAAUGCAAAUAUGUUAAAGUCGGUCAAUUAUUGUGUGUCUUCUAAUCUAAUAACUCCAAGACUAAAUUUGUAAAGACCCCAGUCGCAGUGGAGUUAUUCGAAAUACGGAAAACUCUUGAGAACUUGCUUGAAGUAUCGCAUGGGGUCCAAGUCAAGACAAUACAUUUCUACUUGCAUCGUGUAAAUUUUGGUUUGCAGGUCCCCAUUGUUUUCAACUUGUAAUUUACUUUGAAACGUGAUUAAGGCAAAUGACAAACGAAAGUGGAGAAGAAUCAUCUAUGUUGUGGGAGUCAUUCAUCUUUCCUCUUAUUCUCCAAAACGACUUGUGACUGUUUGCAACUUGUCUAAAAAAUAAAUGUGAAUUUGUCUCUCAAGAGUUGAGGCGUUUUCCGUGUAUUUUAGUCUGGUCCAAAUAACGUGAAUUACACAUUCUGACUGUUUGCAACUUGUUUGGAAAAUAAAUGUAAAUUUGUUCUCUCAAGACGUUUUCUGCGUUUUUUAGCUUGAUCCAAAUAACGUGAAUUGCGUGCAUAUAUGUUGUUUUCUAAUUCCACAUAAAAAAAUAUAAUAAAAAAAAACCAAACAUACUUUUAGAACGUAAACAAAACGAAACAAUCAACGCGAAAUUGUGUUGUUUGUUGCAGGUUUUGUCAUUAUUUUGGAGACGAGUCAUCCUCUCAUUACUACACCUACCUACAAAAAAGUAGCUGGUCCACUCGCAGCUUUCCUUUUGAUCCUAAAUCAGUUCUUAUUAUAUAGUUUAUAAAUCAACUAACCUCUCCCAACGCACAUGAGACUUUUUUUUUAAUCACGUCUUUAAAAGUGUAUUGAUGCGCAUGCAAGAAACAUUUUUAUUAUCAUAGACACUACGUGCACCUAUAUCCCAAGUGCCGUUGAAACGACAUGUCAUUUGAAAUUGGCCGUACUUGUAAUUGCAUAGGAUCAUGAUUAUUGGCAUAAAAUUACUAUAACUCAAGUUCACUUCACAAUCACAAAUGAUCGUAAUUGCAUAGGAUCAUGAUCAUUUGGUAUUGGCAGUACUUGUAAUUGCAUAUGUAUGUUGAAACAACAUGUCAUUUGGUAUUUGCUGUUUUUUUUUAAUAAAAAAAACAAUAUUAUCUAUACUAAAAAAUAAAGGGUGGGCUUAGUCUAGCAAUAAUGUGGUUCAAAUUCGCUUUUGUCAAGAAUCGUACGUAAAACCUCUUACUUACAAGUGAAUAGGAAUACCACUAGACUGUACUAUUAAGUGACAAUAGUUGUUAAAAUGGAACAAUUUAACCAAAUAUUCAAAUAUGUUUUUCUAAUUGGCAAGAAUGGAAAUAGAAAACUUGGAAGCAAUUGUAAUUAACAAAAGGUUUGUGCAGAUGGAAUCUAACAGAAUUAGCUUUCUUACCACUGAUCAAUCCAAAAUAUUGUUAGGCAAAAGAGGAAGAAAAAUAAACGUAAAACCAAAAUGAAAUUAAAAUAUAAUGCAGAGCACCCAUCUCAACAUGUAAAGACAUGAUUGCCAAACCAGUUCACCUUCCAAAGCCAACCAAAAAAGAGAAGUAAAUUGUAUAUUCCACAUAUAUAUAUUAACAAUUUAGAGAGAGAAAUUACCAACCUGCAAACUGCAAACCACGUUCUGAUUCCUCCCCAUUCUUCAACAGAGCUGUCUCCAAAGGCCUCACCGUUAGCGGCUUAGCACUGCGAGUGAAAUAUUGUCAUCUGUUUGGUUGCUCAGGGCCUCACCGUUAGCGGCUCCAACUCCACAUCCAGGCACCGGUCAAAUUCGAACUCCCACCAUCUCAGUUACGCUUCUCUUCCUCUCUCUCUUCAAUCUCUUUCUCUCUCUACUCCCUAAACUCUUUCAUCUAUAAAAUUCUCAAAAUUCAACCUGCCUGAUGAAUUGAUUGAUGGUAAUUUUGAUUCAAUUUCAAACUUGUGAAGUUGCAGCUCCAAAAAGGGCAGCAACGCCUUGCCCUGCAACUCCAGCUCCAUCACCGACCACCUUCUUCAGCCUCCACCAACUUGUUAAUCAGGUUUGUGUUAAUCAGGUUUGAUAAAAUAAUGUUAAUCAAGAUUUUAUUAAUUUUUGGAUUAAAAUUUGGCACUUGGAGUGGAUUAUGGAGGUAAUUUUUGCUUCUUUGCUCAAUGUACUUCAAAGGCGUGUCGUCACUUUAGAAAGAUGAUCUGGUUUAGUGUUCUGGUCUUGAUCUUAAUGCAUCAUGCGUGUGCUGCUAUUGCCCCAACUUUUUGAACCUCAACUUGCUUAACUAGUAUGCAGUAAGUUUGGUCAUAGACUAAUGGAUUCACAAUUCAUCUCUUAUAUAUUGCAUAAGAAUAUCUGGGUCGCGUUUUCUGUGAGGUUUUAAACAAUCUAGCUUAUGUUUAUGUCAUGCGGAAUAUAUUUUUCUUAAUUGAAGCUUGCUGAAUGCUUGAUUGCGUUGUUGACUGCAGAAGUCGCCGUGUGACCCAUGCUUGACACACUGCUGCUUGCACUGGUGGCCCUUGUGCCAUGAGCACAUGGAGAUGAAGGGAUAAACCCCAAAGAUGUUGGGUUUAGUCACACUACAGUAUAGCACUGGUGAAUUGAAGGUAAGAUGCCUUAAAAAUAAGUUAUUUGAGUAUUAUAAAAUCAUACUUCUUCAGGUUUUUGUUAUAUGGAAACAUUACAUAUUUAUGGCAUCAACUUGUGUCCACCAGUGUUCUUUUUCUCAGCCGAGGAAAAUUGUUAGAAAUUGCAAAACUGUUGGGAUCUUUUGCUACCCUGUUUGAGUUCCCACAAAUGAAUCACAUUUUCUUGAAUCUUGCUCAUUGAGUGUUUGCAGCCAACCCUCUAAUUGUCAAUCUCUAUUUAUAUUCAAACUUGUACUUCUAUUCUUAAUACAUUCAAUUUAUCCUCAUAAACUAUUGCGGGAAUUAUAGUUCCCAGUGAUUGAUGUUGUGAAACAACUCUGCUGCUGUACUAGUUUUGUUUUCCUUCUCUUUUUUGUUUAUAAAGUUAACAAUUCUUAAAAAGAUACAACCCCUCGUUUAAAGCCACUACUGCUUCUCAAUGUCAAUCUUGUUUUUUCUAGCGGCCACAAUUGGUGAAAGGAAAUUUGCAACUGUUGUCCGUGGAUUAAAUUUUUAUUUUUAUUUUUUUUCUUGCUGCAGCUGCGGCUCCACUGUUAUUAACAGCCGUUAGCGGCGAUUGUUAGUCGCUGGGAGAAGGUGAAAUCUAUUGCUGAGCUACCUCAACUCUCUUCAGAACACAAGGCAGCCAGCAACCACUGAAAGCCAAUUGCCGUAUACACUCAAAAUGUUGCAGAGUGCAGGAAGUUAUGGAUUUUCUGAGUUCUGAAAGCGAAUUGAGAGUGCUGCAAAUCAGAAAUGAUGUUACACGAGGAUGUGUCUUCGGGGCCAAGGAAGCGAAGGACAACACAUUUUGUUGUGUAGUUAUUUUGUAAAGGCUGGUAGUAUUGCAUUCGUUUAUUCUUUUUCCUCAUUAUUGCAAUAAGAAGCCCAAGCUGAAGAGAAAUAACAGGUUGAGUGAUAUGAAUUAGGAUUUGUUGUUGUAGGUUCUUCUUGGUUGUGUCUCAUUUUUUGUCAUCCAUUUCAAAUGAGCCCAAAAAGAAGGGACAAGAAAUGGGAGUGUAAAGGAAAACUAGAACAAGAAAGAACACGUUCUAGUUUGGUUUUGUUGUUUCUUUGUUUUAGUUUGUAGUUAGAAGUUGAAAUCUGGUUAUAAGAAUUGUGAGUGUAAAGGAUAAGUGGCUUAAAUUCACCUGUUAUAUUUUUUUUGGAAUUGUUUCAUUGAUUUCUCAAAUUUUUCCUAAGAAUUGCUUAUAUUUAGCUUUGUACCUCGGUUCAGAAUUGCUUAGGUUUCUGCUACUUUGGUGUUGGAAUGAAGCAAAUAGCAUUUAAUAUUUUUUAUACAUCAUUGGUUUUUUUUUCUCUUCAUUAUCUUGCUUCUUAGUCUGACAUUGCACCAAACGCUUCACUAAAUCAGUCCAGCUUAGUCUAUUCUAAGCUAGUCCAGCUUAGUCUUAGAAGUUAGUCCAGUUCGAGAUAGUCUGGUGUAAUAAACAUACCCCAAAAGUAUUCAAGUGGGACAAACAUUACAUCAAUCACUUGAAUGAAAAGGAAUGAACUGAGUUUGAAUUACUUAAUUCUGAUGAAGAAAGUUUCUAUAAAAGGUAUAAAAAUAGUAAAGAAAAUGUCACUCCACUCAAUACAAAUUCAGUCAUAAAAAAAUUAUAAAUUAAACUCGUCAUUCGCGUGCCGAAUGUAUCACCAAAUAUCUUUUUAACUGAAUAGUUUUUUACUUCCAACUAGAAUUCUCCUUUUCAAUUGAAAUACGUAAGAUUGAGGUCCUACCAAGACUCGCAAGGCACCUGACAUUCUCGCUCCUUAAAAAAAAAUUGAAAUCGUUGAUUAAACCAACAUGGAGAACUCAAUCCACAGAUGACUCUUCCCUCCAUUAUCUCAUUAGACUGUUCUUUCCCAUUUUACCCCUCUUGUCAAGUCUCACUUUUAUUUACCAAUUGAGCUCCUCAUCUACUUUUUGUAGUAUAUGUAUAAUGUAUUUAGUAUUUGACGAGUUCCUUUCAAAUAGUUUUUUUUUUUUUUUUUUUUUUUUUUUUUUUUUUUCCAACCAUAUCAGAAUGACAGAAUGGGGUGGUGGAUUCUCGAAACUAGCUGUAGUGAAUGUUGAUACCAAAGUCUAAGCAUUGAGGUAAAACAUCACUUACAAAGCCACAACUUAUAUGAAAUGGGUUAAAAGUCACGCAGCGUCUUGAUCUAUGAAACGAAUGACAUGUGUUGAAAAAAAUUACUUGUCAUUCUUUUGUGGAAAGAGACGUCAUGAUGGUAAUGAACUCGUUCCAUGUAUUAGAGUACUAGAUUUUCAUCACCACAUACAUCAAUUUCCUCGUCACAAUCUUCAACAUUUGAGUUUAAAUCAGCAGUCCACAGAUGAGAUUGACCAAGCUUCUGCUUCAUUGCAAGUUUUCCCUUUCAGUUUCAGAAAGAGUUGUCAUUUUGGUUAAGUGAAUGACGAUAGGAACAUGACUGAGGGCAUUGAAGUUUAAAGCGGUAAAAUAGGAAAGAGAUGACCGAUGAGAUAAUGGAGGGAAAAGUCAUUCGUUGUUUGAGUUCUCCAUGUUGAUUUAAUAAACAAUUUCUAUAUAUUUUUUAUUUUUUUUUAUUUUUAAAGAAGUUGUUCCGAGCUAGAAUUGAUGAUGGGAUAAAAAUACCAAAUGCCUAGCGAGUCUUGUAAGCAAUUAUCAUAGCCUCAAACUCAUAAUUUGGAUCGUAAUCUUUGGAUUGAGGUCGGUGGUAGACUAAGAUAACUUAGUGGUUAACUCACUCAAUAAAUUGUUAAUUUUCUACGCCCCUCAUAUGAAGUCAUGAUAGAGAGCUCAGUGGUUGACUCCCCCAAUAAAUUGUUCAUUUUCUAUGCCCCAUAUAAAGUCAUGAUUGCUAUAUAUAUUUAGUCUUUGUAGUGUGUUGAUCUUUGGUCUUUGUAAAGUUAUUACUCUAGUUUUUCCAAGGAAUAUAAAGUAAGACACUCUCAAGUUUGAAAUACAUGCAAUAAUGCAUAACACCAUUCACUUUGUUUUUUCUUUAGUCUAUAACAAUAUUAGUUCACUCCGAUUCAGCACAUUACAGAUUCCGAACCUAUAUCAAAAGAACAAAAAACUAAGAUACAUGAAUUUUCUUUUCCUUUUUCCUACUUACAUAAAACCAGCAUGCAUAGUCUUGUUGCAUAGCCAACUGGGCAUACGCCUCUUUGUGGAUUGCAAGAUUUGAAAGAUUAAAUACAAUUAAAAUAAAAAAUCAACCAAAUCAAGGCAAAAAAAUAUGUAAUUUUGCGUCAAUAUUUCAACUAGUAAAAGUAUAGUCAAUACCUGGCCACUUGCAUUGAGCCAAGUCAAGCAGAUAUUGUGGGUUGGUUGGCCACUUUAACUUGCUUUUUCCAUGUCACUGUUUUAGCUACAAUUUGCUUCAACUAAUUGUGUACGUAUAUUCGAUGCAAGCUUGUUCGUGAAGUACUCAUACAUCCCCAUAUACUUGCACCUUCAUUGUGCUCCCAUCUUUUUUGAUAUUACAUUCCAUUAACAAACCCCAAAUAGUUGUGCUGCUUCUUGAUUAUUCAAUCGCCUCUACGUUGAUUUGAAUAUUAACAUGCACUUUUAUGCUUUGAUUGCGGUGCUAAUCUCAUUACAACAUUUCAACCCUUCUCUAUCCCUUGGAUUCGAUGAUAAAGUUUCUUCAGGAGAAGCACUUGGCCACGGUGAUGCUUCUGGCGGAGUGGUGAGGUGCAUAGAGAGGGAAAGGGAAGCACUCCUUGCUUUCAAACAAGGCCUCGUGGAUGAAUACAACCAACUCACUUCUUGGGGAUCUCCUUAUUGUUGCACAUGGGAAGGAGUUUUCUGCAGCAACCAAACCAAAGGUGAUCCUGUUAUCAAACUUGAUCUUCUACCAUAUGAUUUGCAAGGUAAGACGAUAAGCCCUAAACUGGUUGAGUUGCAGCAUUUGAAAUAAUUGAGCCUCUAUGGAAUUGACUUCAAUGGGAGCCAAUUUCCAGAUUUCAUUGGUUCCCUAUCCAAUUUAAGAUACCUCGAUCUCUCUGACGCUUCUUUUGGUGGUCGAAUUCCAAGUCAGCUUGGAAACCUUUCACACUUGCUACAACUCAAUCUUGCCUACAACCACUUUGCUACUAAUGUUGUGCAAAAUCUCAAUUCUUGGCUCCCUCGUCUUUCUUCAUUAACACAUUUGGAUUUGAGUUACAACAAUCUCAAUAGCACUUACGACUGGCUUGAAUCAAUUAAUAAGCUCCCUAAGCUAAGGGACUUUUCAUUAAGGGAUUGUUCUCUUCAUUCUCCUCCAAUGCCUUCCACUCUCUUUACCAUAAAUUCUUCUAAAUAUCUUGCUCAUGCUGAUUUCAGUUUGAACCGUCUCACAUCUUCUUCAAUAUUCGUAUGGUUGUCAGCCUACAGUACAAGCCUUAUUUAUCUUGACCUCAUUGGCAACAAUUUAACUGGUCUAAUUCCUGGUGUUAUUGGAAACAUGACCUCGCUUUCCUAUCUUGAUCUCUCUUUUAACCAAAUUGAAGGAUGGAAUCCGCAUUCUUUUGCUAGGUUAUGUAGUUUGCGAUCGUUGGUCCUCAGGAGCAACAGAAUGAGUGGACAAUUUUCCCAGUGGGUUCAAAUAUUAUUAUUAAUGUCUGCAUGCGCUCAAAACUCAUUAAAGUUUCUGGACCUCUCUUACAAUCAUCUUGUCGGGCCAUUUCCUAAUCUUAUAAAGUUUUUGUCGUUGAAAGAUUUAGAUCUCUCUGGCAAUCAAGUAAGUGGAAUAAUUCCUGAAACUAUUGGGAAAAUGUCUAAGCUCGAGAGUAUCGACCUUAGUACGAAUCAUUUGGAAGGGGUGAUUUCCGAAAGCCAUUUCUCACGACUUGCCAGAUUGAAAUAUUUGGAUUUGUCCUUUAACUCUCUAGAUUUAAACUUCCAUUCGGAUUGGAUUCCUCCUUUCCAAUUGGAUUAUAUAAUACUAGGUUCUUGCAAGGUAAGUCCAAAUUUUCCACAAUGGCUUCAAACUCAGAACUUUUAUUCUAGACUUGAUAUUUCAAAUGCUGGAAUUUUCGAUAUCCUUCCAAGUUGGGUUUGGGGAGGAAUGUCUCCUAAUUUGGCCUUCAUGAAUCUCUCACACAAUCAAAUUGGAGGACCAAUACUUGCAAAUUUGACAUUGGAGUUUGCAUAUUACCCUCAAUUACAUUUGAUUUCCAACAAAUUGGAAGGUCCAAUCCCUCAUUUCUAUCACAAGCGUCAUUCCUCGAUCUCUCAAAUAAUAAUUUUUCCGGGCCGAUUACUUGGUUGCGUGCACCUACCGCAUCAAGUUUAACCUUAAUCUUUCAAGUAACAAUCUCUAUGGACAACUUCCGAUUUCUUGACAUAUUUGGACAAUUUGGUCAUGCUCGAUUUGAGUUACAAUGCUCUUUCUGGAAAAAUUCCUGCCACAAUAGGCUCCUUAUUUCGGAUGGAAACGCUGAAGUUAAGAAGCAACAGGUUUUUGGGAGAAUGGCCUUGCUCCACUUGCCAAGUUUAUCAACGACAAAAGGACCGAAGAGGUAGAUGUGCCUCUUCCUUCAACAUCAUUCCUAGCAGCACUGGAGCCACCAAGGCCAUUGGAAAGUCAGGUUUGAGAAAGCUACAACAUAUGAACAGAUCAAGGCUGCACUUUACAACCAUUCAUACAAGUUUCUCAAUGGCUUUCCAAACCAUGCAUUAUUCCCAUUUGUUACAAGAGAAAACAUGACUUGGUGGCAAGGCUUUUUCCAGGUGAUCUUCAUGCUCAAUGUCUCUUAUGAUUAUUAUAUGCUCAAUCUUCUAGGAGAGCCUAUGAGAGUUGUAAAUUUCACAAACUUUGCUCAAAUUUGUAAAACUUGGGAGGCUUCUGUUUGCACCUAAUAUGUGCACCAUUUCACUUAUUUAGAUCAUUUGGGUAAAAUAUGACAUUUGAAGGAUUAAUGUGCAAGAAGGCUAACUUGGAAGAUAUUUAGCUAUCAAGUGGGAUAGUUUGGCAUUAAAAUAAUGUUUUUCCCUUUUUAUGUGGGUGGUGGAGGUUUGCCAAGAACUUUAUUUAAUCAAAACAAAUGUUUGCUUAUGGAUUGGAAGAUAACAUGCAGACAUGGACGUGGACAUAUGGAUGAAACAAGCCACCUUGCUUCUUUUAAAUGUUAGUUUAUUGCAAGUGGUGGAGACAUGUGGCGAAAACAUGUAGUAGAGAUACAAACUUGCUUAUUUUAAUAUUAUUUCAUAAUGCAAGCUGUAAAGGAGUUUCUUUCGGGCAAGUUCAAUAUUCUCAGCAAGGGCUCUUUCAGAUCUCUAUAUAAAGAAGCAGAGACAGAAAGAUUAAGGACACUCAAACAACCAAGCAAUCAACUCUACUCAAAUUAGCUCAUCAGCUUCCUUGUAGACAUUUAGCUUUAGCCAAGCAUCCAUUGCUUUCCUUGUUUAUUAGCUCUGCUGCUCACUAGUAGUAUCAAUCUCAUUUGUAGUUUAUAUACAACUCUUUUUCAGUCAUUUAAAUUAUAAGUGUUGGUACCAUAUAUUGGGCCUUGUCUUUGGGCCUCACCCCUAAGCCCAUGACAAAUGUAAAAGGGGAGGGAGCCCUUAUUCUAUAAAAUAGACUCGCCCUCACCCUCAUUGGGGAGGCCUCACAUCCAGAAAGAAACAAAGGGUCUCAGAUCCACCCCUCACAACAAUGGAGGGCAAUACCCUCUCAGCCAAACAGAGAGCAAAAUGGCAAAGGUUGCAUCCACGGAGAGCUCCUUUGCCAAUCUAUUGUAAUCCAUACAGUAAAUGGAAUCAACAUCAGUGUGGACGUAGCCCAAACAUUGGGGUGAACCAUGAUACAUCUUUGUGUUCUUGAGCGUUUGUGUAAUUCACGACCGGAUUUACGUUGGUCCAAGAUCCUCCGGAUUUUGUGCAUCAACAUUUGGCGCCGUCUGUGGGGAACGACACGAAAAGCUAUGUCGGUUAUCUUUCAUUUUUUUUAUCAAACCUCCACCGUGAAUCUGCACAACCCAAGAACCCAGAACCUCCCUCCUUGGGCUUUUUUCAGAAAACAUUCACUAAACUCCUAAACUCAACCACAGUUUCUUCUCCCCCUCUUUCUACCCCUUCGUUAAGUCUCUGAAGCAUUCGCUUCUUUGCGUGCUGCAGAGAACCUCCUGCUUCACUCACCUUCCCCGCUUCAAUCCCCACCGCAUCGCAUCGGGAUUAUCAGGUGCUCCCAUGGCUUCCACAUAGAAGGAUGCGCAUGUUGCUGCUACAAAAACCCUCGGACCCACAGAGAGAUGAGAGUAGAUCACAAUCGGAGAAUGGCUACCGCUCAAGCGACGCCCGACGGCGGCGGGCGCCAAGUAUUGGAGUCUAUGUACUCGAUGAUUGUGUUUGCAUCUCGAGCUCAUCUUUGUCUCUCCUCUAGAUUUCUAUUUCACCAUAGAGUUCGGCAAUCUAUUUAUUGAGCAUGUGUGUUUUCUUGGCAUUGUUGUGCUCCUGAACAAGAUCCUCCAGCUCUAAUUGCUCCUCAUCCUCACUUGUCCCACCUUUAAAGAUGGUUGCCUUCAACCCGGCAGCAUCCCCGCAGGAUUCUGGCCUGCUGGAAAGAUUGGCUAUUUCACUAUUUUUCUGCUCCAAAAUUUCUUCCAGGUCUCGUACUGCAAGAAUUAAAUCAGAAUUUGAUUCUUGCGUCUUCUGGAGCUGUAAACGGAGAUUGAAAUUCAGACUUUAGUUUCUCACAUUCCGCCUUGAAAGAAUCUCGUUCGCCUGCGUUGAGCUCUGCGACGCCGCCACCGUCGUCGACGUGUAUCGGCUGAUCCAGUACGACAUCUCUGGUGCUCCUUUCGGAUCUCGGCUCGCCAACCUCAACCACCAUGCUGGCUCUUUGAACUUCGCUUCUGACUCUGAUCUCUCCCGCACUGUCCUCAUCAUCCCUUUACACGAACUCAACAUCUCCUUCGUCACUGAAUACAAUACCCAGAAGCAGCCUCUGGGAGGUUUGCUGUUUUUGCUGUGGAUUUCAGCCAAGGUUGCAAGAUAGCCAACUGUGAAAUCCCGUUCCUGGAUUUCAUUAUUAUAAUCUACGUAUUGGUAUUACAGAGAUUUCAUAUUAUUUUUUUUGGGAAAUUAAUUAUUUAAAAUCCGUAGACCAUUCGAGGUCACAAUUUACAUUGUUGAAUAGAUUUCGAGACUACGAACGCAUAGGCAAAAACCGUUUGCGAGUUCGGAUUAUAACGGUACAAUUGCGGACAUCUGAAGUUGUGUUUCAAAACUAUAGAUUUUAAUUUUCUUUAAAACUCCCCGUGGGAAUGAUGACCCAAAAAAAAAAAAAGGGGAGGACCAACCCAAUUAUGUAUGGGAGAGUUAAGGGAGCCAAUUAGAAGGGAGGAAGGGAGCUAAUGAAAAGGAGAAGGGGAGGGCGUCGGAUUGGGCAGCGAGAAAGAGGAAAGAAUAGAGUGCAGGAGGGAAAGGAGGAAAAUGGGAGGACGAAUCAGGAAGAAGGAUAGGGAGGGAAAUGAGGGAGUGAGAAGACACACAAUCAACCCCCUCUUCCCUUGACCCAUUUCCAAACCGUGACCCGUUUUUAGAAUUUGGAAAACCGUGUGUUUUUCUGACGGUUUUAAGUCAUUUUUCAGGUGAAUUUAGGACCCCUCAUCACCACUAAACAUCAUCACAACCUUCCAUCGUUCCAUUCUAGCCAAAAUAGACAAGAAUUGGUUGAGAUUUCACGAAGAUUGAAAGUGUGGGUGUCGCGACCCCCUUGUUCGAAAUCCACCAAAUCUGAAACGAUUUGGAUCAAAUAGCAGCACCCCUAGACUUAUCUUGAGGUCUGGAGCAAGGCCCAAACAAUUUUAGGGGCGGCGGUGCACCGGAGGUGACGAAUCGAGAACACCAAUUUCUAGGGUUUCCAGCGAGUUUGAGGGAAAUUGGAGCUUUUCCCGGCCAAAUUGGACUUGGCCACAUGUAUAAAACUUGCUCUACUCAUUGAGAUCUUCAUUUCUGUAAAUUUUGGUAAUUUUUAAAAAUAGUUGAAUUUUCCGGCAAGUCGGGGCGGCGCGUGUGGCGGAGGCCUGGCUAGUGGGCUGACGAUGUUCUUUUAAGUUCAAAUAGAUGCCUUUAUUUCAUAAUUAAUAUCCGUAUGACGUAAUUUGAUUGUUUGGACUUAGUUUCAUUACGAUACCUUAGUUGGUCAAAAUAUGAAUCAACGAUCCGACCGUUGGAUCGUCACCAAACCGUAAUGUGUGAUAGAGCAUAAUAUUUGUGGGUCAUAGAAACUUACGGAUCGGGAGUCCGACAUAUGGAUCUUCCCUAAUGUUGUAAAAUUAAUCGUUAACCGUCACCUAAGUCUAGCAAUUGGCGGAGAUCCGACCGUUGGAUCGCGAUGAGAAUUUAGUAUAUGGUUCUAUGAUCAUAAUGUGGACUUUGGGAGGUUAUGGAUCGGAAAUCCGAUAUACGGAUCUUCCGGAUCGAAUUUGCAGGGUCGUGGACCUUACCAUUACCCGAGAGUUGACUUUUGGUCAAUAUGUCUCGAAAUGUUUUAAAUACUAAAUCUAGUACCACGGGAUACGAAGUUAAGUCUAACGGGGUCACAUUGGUUAGAGAGUGACUGGAAUAUAUGUGAUGUAAUUACUACCUUAAUUUCUUAUAUUAAUAUCAUUUGUGAAUAUGAUUUGGGUUAUAAAUGACAUUUAUAUUGAAAUGUGAAUUAUAUAUAUAUAUAUGCCAUAGACCUAUGUUUAUUAAAUGUAAAUUCUAUUGAAGUGUUUUCUAACCAUUGAUCUAUUUUCAUUAAGUAUGAUUUAACUUGUGCAUUGGAAAUAUGGUUUGUAUUGUAUAAUUGGAUUGAUGUAAUAAAAUGCGAGGGCUAAUAGUGGACCGUUAACCCAUUGUCAUGGGGUUUGUUGCUUCGAAACAUGUUUCACCCCUCGUGUCAUUAUUUCAUUCUCGUUUCGUUGAGUCUUUGUAACUUGAGUAACUUGAUUCAUGUCUUGGUUCAUUGAGUGGUGUUAUACAUUAUACUCCGCGAUUCUGUUGAGUGAUGGUCCGGAAUCAUGUCCUGGUUUGGAUUUCGUUGAGUGAUGGUCUGGAAUCCCUUCUACUCCGCGAUUAUGUUGAGUGAUGGUCCGAAAUCGUGUCCUGGUUUGGAUUCCGUUGAGUGAUGGUCCGGAAUCCCUUCUACUCCGUGAUUAUGUUGAGUGAUGGUCUGGAAUCGUAUCCUGGUUUGGAUUCCGUUGAGUGAUGGUCUGGAAUCCCUUCUACUUCGCGAUUCCAUUGAGUGAUGGUCCGGAAUCGUACCCUGGGUUGGAUUUCGUUGAGUGAUGGUUCGAAAUCCCCUUUGUUGUCUUGGCUCCGUUGUGUAGUUAGAAAUCUCGUUCUUUUGAGAUGUAGGCUUCAACCAAACUGUGUCGCUCUAACCCUGCAUUUCGAUGAGUGGUAUGUGAUAUUGAUGAUGCGAUGGUUGGCAUUAUUGUUCGAUGUGAUUAUGGAAUGAUGUUGGCUAUGGUUAUUGUAAUUAUGAUUAGACUCGUUUACUAUUGUGACUAGUGAAUAUGAUUGUGCUCCGUCAUUUGUUCUUUGUAAUAUUGUUUGAUGCAUUGUGAUAUAUUGUUGAGACAUAACGUUCUAUGUGAUGAAUAUUCGAUUGUAGUGAAAUGACGAACUACGAAUGGCUUGAUCCCUGUUGAGGGUACGUAGGCAGUCUAACGAGGAAGUUAGAUGCAGCCAUAAAGUAUAUGCAAAAUUAUUAUGCAUCUGGAUCUUGAAUUAUAUUUUGUACAUAUCAAAAAGGCGGGGUACGUUGAGUUAUGUGCAUUUAGUGAACUCACGUGUCGAUCUUUGAUGUAUGUUGGGAUCGGGGCGUGACACCAAAUUUCUACUCAAAUGGGGCUUCAAAACUGUCGCCUUUGAUAUCAGAUACGUCGAUAGAUUCGCAGCAAUGCCUUCAAGCUUCACGGUGUAGUUGCUGACUCAAAAGGUCCCUUCCAAUUCAUCUGCAGAAUCGGAUUUCGUUUGCGUUGUUCUUCUGCAGGAACAUUGUUCUUGCAUCAAGAUCCAUUUACCAAGUAUAUGGAACUAUGUUAAGAUUUGUAAGGGGAGCUCUCAUCUCAGGCUCUACCCUCAUCCCCGGCUCUACCGGCACCCAGGACAGGAUGAAUGCACCAAUUUCAUGAUGGCAAGCCCAGGCAUCUACCUGGUGUAGUAAAGUCUACUAAUCGAAUUCAUACAGCUCGAAUUACUGCAAUUCAGCCCAACAAUCGCUUCGUGUUCAGAAAUGUCAGCCUAGAAGCAAUCAGAGGAAACCAUAACCUUCAACCAGACCGACAAUAGAGAGGAAGAAUAUAAGCUUUCUCAUAACAAUUCUAUUAUUAUUCCCUGCCAUUUGCUAAAAGAAAAAAAGAAAAGAGCUUUACUUUUGUUUUGUCUGCCAUCUGCCAAAAGAAAAAAAAAGAGCUUUACUUUUUACAUCAUUAUGUUUUCUUAAAUUAUUUAUUUAUUAUUUUAUUAUUUUGUGAUAUUUAUCACAUGAUCACUAUCAACAACGUGGCAAAGCACAUCACGCAAAGUUUUAUUUUUAAAGUUGUGGUGAUGUAUCACUGGCUCCUGCACACUGCACAAUACAGAUAUGUAUGUUUAAAUAUUUUAUUAUAAUGUUAAUAGUCUUUCGGCACAUCACUAUUCCUAUGCCAUGUGACAUAAUCAGACAUCACAUCCUUUCAUUUUGUGGUAUUCACCUCAUAAUUAUCACACAUAUUUACAUAAACAAUAUUUAUUCAUGGCCUAGAAUAUUGUGACUGCCAUUAAACUAUGUCACUUAUACAACAUGUGAUUUACCACACGACUGAAUAAAUUAUUUAUUUAUAGAAGGCACAUAGUACAAUAUUUUGCCUUGACAAACUUUGUCAAUUUGAUUUAUUCAGUAUACGGUCAUACUUAUACUGUCAUUUAUUGUUAUGAAUUAUUGAGCAACUAGAUCCACUGAUCAACAUUAUUGCUGAUUAAAGAAGCCUACCGACACUAUUGAUCAGCCUAUGAAUCACUGAGCCACAUGCUUAUAGUGACAAAUAUUUAGUCCGAACAAUGAUCUCUUGUCUAAUCCGACAAGCGGACUCUCCCUCACCCUCAUAACAAGGUCUCACCUUCACUAAGAGAUCCAAAGAGUCUCAUAUUCAUCCUUCACAACAAUAGAGGGCAAUACCCUCUCAGCCAAACAGAGAGUAAAAUGGCAAGGGCUGCAUCCACAUAGAGCUCCAUUGCCAAUCUAUUGUAAUCCAUACAUUCAUACAGUAAAUGGAAUCAACAUCAGUGUGGACGUAGCCCAAACAUUGGGGUGAACCACGAUACAUCUUUGUGUUCUUGAGCGUUUGUGUGAUUCACCGCCGGAUUUACGUUGGUCCAAGAUGAGUACUGGUUCAAGACAUCUAGUCACUUCGACCUGUACAUGGAUUGGAUUUGAAGUCUCCAGCCAAAAGACUCUCUUGCCUGAAGACUUGGGGGACUCCUGUUGGUACCAUAUAUUGGGCCUCACCCCUAAGCCCAUGACAAAUGCAAAAGGGGAGGGAGCCCUUAUUCUAUAAAAGGGACUCUCCCUCACCCUCAUUGGGGAAGCCUCACAUCCAGAGAGAAACAAAGGGUCUCAGAUCCAUCCCUCACAACAAUGGAGGGGAAUACCCUCUCAACCAAACAGAGAGCAAAAUGGCAAGGGCUGCAUCCACAGAGAGCUCAUUUGCCGAUCUAUUGUAAUCCAUACAUUCAUACAGUAAAUGGAAUCAACAUCAGUGUGGACGUAGCCCAAACAUUGGGGUGAACCACGAUACAUCUUUGUGUUCUUGAGCGUUUGUGUGAUUCACGGCCGGAUUUACGUUGGUUCAAGAUCCUCCGAAUUUUGUGCAUCAACAAUAAACAAUCUACAAUACCAGUAAUUUAUUUUCCUCUGUCAUUCACACUUCCAGUGACCUUGUGAUUUAGUUGUUCUUACAUUUCUCCAUAUAAGUAAAGUCCUUAUCCUUAAGGCAAAGAAAGAACCUUAAUUUGAGCCACUCCCACUCAAUCGCACAAUCUCUUGGUUUGAAGUCGAAUUCAGGUGCAGCCUCAAUCAUUCAAAACCCGUUUACUAGCGGCAUCUAGUAGUGGCACGCCCGCACCCACCAAUUUCAUGUUUGAGUAAAUUCCCAGCAUGCCCGCGAGACUCAUGUCGAAUUUAGGGAGCAAACAGUAUCUAAAUAUUUUAAUUUAAAAUGUUAAUUUUGAAUUUAUGAAAUAAUUGUUAGGUUCUAUGCGGCGGAUGUGAGGGCGGAGAGUUUCGAGGUGUUUGACUAGUGCAAGUGGAAGGUGGUGGUGACGGCGAAUCCGACAGUGAUGGUGGAGCCGUUCGUGAAGGAUUUUCUGGGCGGGGACAAGGUGCUGGGGACGGAGAUCGAAGUGAAUACAAAGACGAAGAAGGCGACCGGGUUUGUGAAGAAGCCCGGGGUUUUGGUGGGGAAAUUGAAGCGUUUGGCGGUUCUCUCGGGAUCGGCGAUCGGAGCUCCGAUCAUGACUACAUGUCACUUUGCAAGGUUGGAUACUUCACAAAUUUAUCUAAUUAUUUGAUACUUUUGUUGUUAAUUUUGUUGUAGUAAAUUUCAUGCGACCCAUAAUCUUAACAAUCCCAACAACCAGCCAGCUAAAAUAUUGAUCCCUGUGUGGUCUAUUCAAGAAAACCUAAUUAGAAAUAAAGGAAAAAAAAGGAAAAUAAUUAAGGCAGUUGUUGUUCCAAUUAAAUUGGAGUAAACAAUCAUAACAUACUUUGUACAAUUGUUACUUUUCUAGUACACCACAACUAUAUAUAUAUAUAGCGUUUUAAUAAAAUUAUAAGUAAAAUAUAUAGGUAAUUGUUUUAUGAAAUGAAGUAAUUGACACAGUAAUAAAAAAAAAUUAUGAAAUCAUGUGAAUAACAACUUCUAACACAUUCAUUACAUGAAAAAUGUCGAAUUUUGACUUUUGUAUAAUAUUUAACAGUUAAAAGCCUCAAAGGGGAUACUCCGAAAUAUCAAAUAAAUCCUGUGAAUAACAAUUUCUAACACAUUACACAUUCAUGACAUGAAAAAUGUCAGAUUUUGAUUUUUGUAUAAUAUUUAACUGUUAAAAGACUCAAUGUAUUUGAUACUCCGAAAUAUCGAAUAGAUCAUGUGUAACAACUUCUAACACGUUACGCAUUCAUAACAUGAAAAAUGUCGGAUUUUGAUUUUUGUAUAAUAUGUAACUGUUAAAAGACUCAAAGUAUCCGAUACUCUGAAAUAUCGAAUAGAUCAUGUGCAACAACUUCUAACACGUUACGCAUUCAUAACAUGAAAAUGUCGGAUUUUGAUUUUUCUAUAAUAUUUAAUGGUUAAAAGACUCAAAGUAUCCGAUACUCCGGAAUAUCGAAUAGAUCAUGUGUAACAACUUCUAACACGUUACGCAUUCAUAACAUGAAAAAUGUUAGAUUUUAUUUUUUGUAUAAUAUUUAACGGUUAAAAGACUCAAAGUAUCAAAUACGACGGAAUAUCAAAUAAAUCCUGUGAAAAACUUCUAACAUAUUAUACGUUCAUGACAUGAAAAAAUUCGUAAAGUGAACGGCAUUGUUUAUAUUUCAUAUGCUAUACAUAUGAGUAUCAUUGUUAUUUUAUAUCUUCUGGUAAACUUCAAAUUCUCGUUUUCUAUGGAGUUAUGUCGGUACAUUUUUUGUCACUAUAUGUUUGUGGUAAUUAAUAUUGAGCAGAAGGCUACAUGGUGCCGCCUAGCAAAUCAGCCCGUCCAAUUUCAAAGAACCGUCUCAAAAACCAAAUAAAUUAGUAUUGAUAUUUGUGGAGAGUAGUUUAGGUAGUAAAUUUGAGUUUAAAGAGAUAUUGAUAGUUUAAUUAAAAAUGAUAUGAGUGUAGAGGUAAGUUAUAUGAGUUCAAAUAAAAUUUUCCUAAUAAAUUGGUAUUGAAUUCACCAUUCACGAGCUUUAAAUGUAAGGCAUUCAUUUAUAAGUGAAGAUAAAACAAAACUACAUCGUAGUACUAAGUGUCGUGUGAAAUUAAUCAUAAAUUAAAAUCUAAAUUGCUGAAUUAAUCAAAAUUAAGUAUUGAUAUUGACUACAUAAUGAUCAAAGAUUGACAACAAUACAAUCAAAUAUUGAAGACAUAUACAAAAUUGGCCGUUUUAGUAACUAAAAUUUGAAAAAUAAUCAUUUUAGUCAAUUUCUCAAAUAACUUGACAUUUAAAAACAUAAGGAAAAAAUAGAGAAAAUAAUGAAACAUGAGUAAUGAUAUGAAUGUAGUUUGUUUGUUUGGUUGUUUAUACUCCAUUUCAUCCAUGUAACUUCACUUCAAAUUCAUAAACAAUGUAGUUUCUUCAACUUACGACGUUGUUAAAACGAGAAGAACUAGGAAUAAGAAUUAUUCGGCCCAUCCUUGUCUAUCAUUUUUGGACGAGGAAAUAUUGGAUGUCAUUGAAUAUAAGGCAUAAUCUUUAAAUGAUCUCUCAAAAUUUAAUUUACAUUUCAUUCCAGCGUAACUGCAAUGCUUAAACUAAUGAAAAUAGCUUGAAAAUUAUAAGUUUUAAACUACAACCAAUGCUUAAACUAAUGAAAAUAACUUGAAAAUUUUAAGUUUUAAACUACAACCAAAUGAAACGUGUAAAAAUAAACCGAAACGUCGUCGUCUGUUGGCUAGAGUACCAAAAUGUCGUCGUUGUGAGAGUAAACGACUGAGGCGAUGUACUUGAAGAAGUCGCUAUGGAGUGAGGGGAUAACGCCGAAGCCCUCGUCGGAAUACGAACCAGAGCCGCCGUCCACCGCCGUAGGCGAUCUGGUCAACUCGUUGACCCGGCAGAGAGUGUACCGCGAGGUCGUGCUCGCGCUCCGGAGCGGCCUCCGCGAUGUUCGCGCCGAGUUCUCCUUCCUCCGUGUCCGCGGCCUCCUCAAGUUCCUCCGAUCGGUCGCCGAGUCCGAUUCCACCAUCAACCUCUUCUCUCAGACACAAUCGCUUCCUGAGCUUCAAGGUAAUCAGAAAAUUACAAAAUUCCUAGUUUCUACUUAAUCUUUUGUUUAAUUUUUCUGAUUGUUGAAGUUGAUUUAAUUAUCGUUUUACAGUCGUGCCGGUUCUGUUUCGGCACUCGCUGAACGAUUCGGACGAUGAGAUCGUACGGAAUUUGGAUCACAUAUUCGGCGUCGAGCCGCUGAAGAUCACAAGCCCUUCAACCGAUUCCGAGGUUUCGCUUGCGCUUAGGGUUUUGGAGGGUUGCUGCCUGCUCAUCCGGACAGCGCGGUUUUGGCUCAUCAGCACUAAAUAGCUUAACCAAAAUCUAUGGAGGUUGGAUUACUGAGAUGAGAAUGCAGUUUUUUGUAAUUGGGUUUUUGUAGGUUUUGAUGAAUAUAUUACCGACUUGCGGCGUGAUUGAGCAAGGAGCUUGUUUGGAUGCUUUGAUUGCUAUUAUGUUGGAUUCAUCAGCUAAUCAAAUGGUAAAGCUUCAAACUUCAGUUUCGAGUCAAAUUUAUGGAGUUUAAUUUUUGUAGAGAUUUUAUAUAAAGUUUGAUUCAAUUUCCUCGAAAUCUCAUGGAAUACGUGAGAUAUGUGGAUGCUUAAAAUACACUACGAAAUCUUUCCAAUUCCCUUGAAUUCUUCAACUUUUUAAAAUUCUUUAAAAUCAAUUUCUAAUUGAAUACACCUAAAAUGUUAUAAACUUCUUUAAAAUUUUAAUUGAAUACACUCGGAUUUCUAAGCAUUUCAAUAAACUAUCUCAGAAUCUUGAUUGAAUACACUUCGAAUUUCAGAAGAUAACUUAGAAUCCUGAUUGAUGAUUGAAUACCCCUAGAUUUUUUUAAAGAAUUAAAAUCCCACAAAAUCCCAAUUGAAUACACCCCUUAUUGUGAUUGGUUUCGGAGCGGUGAUGGGUUUUUUUAUGAUUCGAUUGUUUUCUUGUGUGUAAUGUGUAGGAUUUUGAGGCUUUUCAUGGUAUUGAGGAAGUUGCAGGGCUCAAAAGGGACAAACAAGUUGAUGAGAAUCUCAGGUUUUGAUUUAUUUCUCUUUGCUUGCUUGAUUCUCGUUGUCAUGAGUUGUGAUUUAAAGCUCUAUCUGGAUAAAUUCUGGGGUAAAUGUUAAAGUUUUGGCAAAAAUAGGUUUGUUCAUCAGACAAUUCUUAAUAGAAUCUCGUCUUUCCUUUUUUUUCUAGGUUUUUAGUUAAGCUAUGUCCUGUUGCUCAUUUUCAUGUUUGUCAAUUGAGUAACGAGGUCAUCUGCUAGGAAUUAAUUAGAUUUGAGGAUUCUGAACACUGGUGUGCCUAGGCUUGGUCCUUUCUUUGCUAAUAUAAUGCACACUGAAGAAAAACACUGUUGCUUUUGUUUAGGUUGAAGUGGAGAGUUCUUGCUGCUUUUGAUUGGUCAUGUAAAUGGGAGGGAUAGGCCACCGUUGGCAACCGUACAUGAGGACAUAAGACAUUUUUGGGUGAGAAAUCUGCUUCCUUGAUAUGGCCAGCGAGUCAGUUUGGUUCGACCCUUGAUCCGGAGCAGAGACUAACUGCUCAUCACAUCCAAGCUCGUCGUGUGAUAGUGUCCUUAGAUUUGUACUGAAUCUGAACAUAGAAAGCACCCUAGGCAUUUUGUUUUGUUUUUCUUUGUAUUUCAGUGAAAUACAAUCAGUAAUUUGUAAGAAAAUGGUCGUCUUCAAUGAAAUGUUUGCCUUGACAUUUUGUGCAGUAUAAUUUCAAAAUCAUACAACAUUCUACGGAGUGCCAUCACGGUAGCUAAAAUUCCUCAUGCGAGUCUGUGCCGACAUUCACCUCUCCCAGACCCUGCGUAAAGCGGGAGCCUUGUGCACUGGGUACGACCUUUAUACAACAUUCUACGGAGUGCCGUCACGGUAGCUAAAAUUCCUCAUGCGAGUCUGGAAGCCCUCGCAUUAACAAUAAACGAACAGUCACAAGUGAAUAAAACGCAAGGAACUGUUGUCGCUAAAAGUAAAAGACCCAAAAUCAAUAAUAAUAUGAGAGUGUUCAUGAAAAGAGCUUGGGUUAAAUUUAAUUUAAUAAAAAAAUCAUGCUAUAAUUUUAUUUAAUGAAAAAAACUUAAAUUUUAAUGAAAAACCCUUAACUUUUAAUAAAGAGGACAAAAGAACUUAAAUUUUAAUAAAAAUGACAGAAUUUUAAUAUUUAAAAAAAAAACUUGACGUGCCUAGGUGUGCGCGUCCAUCAUAGACAUUAUUUAUGAAAUAAUACUACACUGUUUAUGAAACUUAACAGUACUAUACUAUUUAUGAAACUGCAGUGCUAUACUAUUUAUAAAACUAAACGGUAUUACACUAUUUAUUAUCCAGAUUCAUAAAUAGUAUCUAGUUCUUGGUUCACUUUUGUAAAUAGUGUUUAGUUAUUGGAUCCUAUUUCAUAAAUAGUUUAUAGUAAUUGGUACAGUUUCUAAAUAGUGUCUCAUUUUUUAUCUGGUUUCAUAAAUAGUUUCUCAUUUUUUAUCCAAUUUCAUAAAUAGUGUCUAAUUCUUGGUCCACUUUCAUAUAUAAUGUCUAGUUCUGGAUCAUGUUUCAUAAUUAGUGUCUAGUUUUUAGUCUAGUUUCAUAAAUAGUGUAUAGUAAUUGAUACAAUUUCAUAAAUAGUGUCUCUUUCUUGGUCUUGUUUCAUAAAUAAUGUCUUUUUCUUGGUCCAGUGUUUUAUAUUGAACUCUUUCAAUUAUUUAUAUUUUCUAAUUAAACAAAGAACCAAUUAGAAUUGGAGGUAAUUGAAAAUUCAUAUGGUUCACAACUCAAAGUCUUUUGUUGGAGUUCCUUAUGUUAUGUUAAUGAACUCCACAAGUUCUCUCUAAGAAUGCUUUUAAGUUGGUCAAUUAUUGUGUGUCUUCAAAUCUAAUAACUCCAAGACUAAAUUUGUAAAGACCCCAGUGGCGAUGGAAUUAUUCGAAAUACCAGAAACUCUUGAGACCUUGCUGUCAAUAACCUUGAAGUAUCGCAUGGAGCAUGCAUUUCCACUUGCAUUGUAGAAAUUUUGAUUUGUUGGUCCUUCUUGUUCUCAACUUGUAAUUUACUUUGAAGUGUGAUUAAGACAAAUGACAAACGAAAGUGGAGAAGAAUCAUCUAUUUUGUUGGAGUCAUUCAUCCUUCCUCUUAUCCUCCAAAACGACUUUUGUGUUGAUUGUUGCAGGCUUUGUCAUUAUUUUGGAGAGACAAGUCAUCCUUUAAUUACUACACCUACCUACAGAAAAGUAGCUGGUCCACUCACACAUGUUCCAUACUUGACCAUUUAAGUCAAUAACCUUGAACUAUCGCAUGGAUUUCCACUUGCAUCGUGGAAAUUUUGGUUUGCAGGUCCCUAUUAUCAUCAACUUGUAAUUUCCCUUGAAGUGUGAUUAAGAUAAAUGACAAACGAAAGUGGAGAAGAAUCAUCUAUCUUGUAAGAGUCAUUCAUCCUUCCUCUUAUCCUCCCAGAAUGACUUUUGCUUUUUGCAACUUGUGGAAAAUAAAUGUGAAUAUAUCUCUCAAGAGCUAAAGCGUUUUCCGUGUAUUUUAGCCUAGUCCAAAUAAUGUGAAUUUCGCAUUUUGACUGUUUGCAACUUGUUUGGAAAAUAAAUGUAAAUUUGUUCUCUUAAGAGUUGAGACGAUUUCCGCGUUUUUUAGCUUGGUCCAAAUAACGUGAAAAAUUUAUGGAGUUUAAUUGAUUUGUAGAGAUUCCAUAUAAAGUUUUGAUUCAAUUCCCUUGAAAUCUCAUGGGAAGACAUGACAUAUUUGGAUGCUUAAAAUACAUCUCAAUUGAAUACACCCCCUUAUUGUGAUUGGUUGCGGAGCGGUGAUGGGUUUUUUAUGAUUGGAUUGUUUUCUUGUGUGUACUGUGUAGGCUUUUGAGGCUUUUCAUGGUAUUGAGGAAGUUGCAGAGCUCAUAAGGGACAAGCAUGUUGAUGAGAAUCUCAGGUUUUGUUUUAUUUCUCUUUGCUUGCUUGAUUCUCGUUGUCGUGAGUUGUGAUUUGAAGCUCUAUCUGCUUAAUGUCUUUUGAAUUAGUCCUCUUGAUUAACGAACAGUCACAAGUGAAUAAAACGCAAGGAACUUUUGUCACUAAAUGACCAAAAGUAUUGUCUUGAUCAAAUGACAGUGAUGAUUCUUCACUAACAGCAAUUUAGCAUAAUUUCUAUCCAAAUACAUUUAAGUCGGUCAAUUAUUGUGUGUCUUCUAAUCUAAUAACGCCAAGACUACAUUUGUAAAGACCCCAAUUGCAGCGUAAUUACUCGAAAUACCGGAAACUCUUGAAAACUUGCUGUCAAUAACCUUGAAGUAUCGCAUGGAGUAUCGCAUGGGGUCCAAGACAAGACAAUACAAUUCCACUUGCGUCGUGGAAAUUUUGGUUUGCAGGUCCCUAUUAUCAUCAACUUGUAAUUUACUUUGAAGUGUGAUUAAGACAAAUGACAAACGAAAGUGGAGAAGAAUCAUCUAUCUUGUGGGAGUCAUUCAUCCUUCCUCUUAUCCUCCCAAAAUGACUUUUGACUUUUUGCAACUUGUUUGGAAAAUAAAUGUGAAUAUGUCUCUCAAGAGUUGAGGCGUUUUCCAUGUAUUUUAGCCUAGUCCAAAUAAUGUGAAUUACGCAUUCUGACUGUUUGCAACUUGUUUGGAAAAUAAAUGUAAAUUUGUUCUCUCAAGAGUUAAGACGAUUUCCGCGUUUUUUAGCUUGGUCCAAAUAACGUGAAUUACACACAUAUAUGUUGUUUUCUAAUUCCACAAAAUACAAAAAGACUUCUAAAAUGUAAACAGAACAAAACAAUCAACGCCGAAUUGUGUUGAUUGUUGCAGGCAUUGUCAUUAUUUUGGAGAGAAGAGUCAACGUCUAAUUACUACACCUACGUACAGAAAAGUAGCUGGUCCACUCACACAUGUUCCAUACUUGACCAUUUGAGUCAAGACAACUCAGUGUGUGGAUCGUAUUGUGAACUAUUACGUACUCACCCAGCCUUAUAAGACACUCGCAUCUUUCCUUGUGCUCCUAAAUCAAUUCUGAUUGUACACUUCUUCUUCUUCGUUCUUCAAUCAUCUUUGCCUUGAUUUUGUUGAAUUAAGAUGGAGAAUGACGGAAUCAGGUGCUUGAAGAAAUUCUUUCACACUUUCAUUGUGGUGCUACUUUUUCUACAAUGUUUCAACCCUUCCCUAUCCUCUGGAUUCUAUAAUGUUUCUUUCGGUUUCGGAGCAAUUGGCCACCGGGUGGUGACGAGGUGCAUAGAGAGUGAAAGGGAAGCACUCAUUUCUUUCAAACAAGGUCUGAUUGAUGACUACAAUCUCCUCUCCUCCUGGGGAAGAGAAGAACACAAGCAAGAUUGUUGCAAAUGGCUUGGCAUCCACUGCAGCAACCGAACCAACCAUGUUACUCAACUUGAUCUUGGAUGGUAUCAUAUGAAUGAAGUUUACUCACUUCAACAGAAAGGACAGCAGGAGUAUCCUGAAUAUUACUUUCAAGGUAAAAUGAUGAGUCCUAAACUAAUUGAGUUGCCGCAUUUGAAAUAUUUGGACCUUUCUUCCGUUAACUUCACUGGGACCCAGCUUCCAGAUUUCAUUGGUUCUCUUUCCAAUUUAAGACACCUCAGUCUCUGGGAUGCUUCUUUUGGUGGUCGAAUUCCAACUCAGAUCGGAAACCUUACCCACUUGCAAUAUCUUGAUCUCAGCUCCAAUCACUUUGCUAAUUUUGAAAACCUGAAUUCAUGGCUACCUCGUCUUUCUUCUUUAACAUAUUUGGACCUGAGUUCCAACAAUCUCAGUAAUGUUCCUGACUGGAUGGAAGCAGUUAAUAAGCUCCCUAAACUUACAAACUUGUCUCUGUAUUCUUGCAGUCUUCCAUCUCCUCUAAUUCAUUCCAGUACUCUUUUUAACAUAAAUUCUUCUAAAUCUCUUGCUCAUGUUGAUCUCAGUGACAACCAACUCACAUCUUCUUCAAUAUUUCUUUGGUUGUCCAAAUACAAUGCCAGCCUUGGUCAUCUUGAUCUCAGAUACAAUAACUUUGCUAAUGUAGAAAAUCUGAAUUCAUGGCUGCCUCAUCUUUCUGCUUUAACAUAUUUGGACCUGAGUAGAAGCAAUCUCAGUAAUGUUCCUGAUUGGCUGGAAGCAGUUAAUAAGCUCCCUAAACUUACAAACUUGUUUCUGUCUUAUUGCAGUCUUCCUUCUCCUCUAAUUCAUUCCAGUACUCUUUUUAACAUAAAUUCUUCUAAAUCCCUUGUUCAUGUUGAUCUCAGUGACAACCAACUCCCAUUUUCUUCAUCUUCUUCCAUAUUUGUGUGGUUAUCCAAAUACAAUGCCAGCCUUGUUCAUCUUGACCUCUCUUCUAACCAAAUUGAAGGAGGGAUUCCGCAAUCUUUUUCCAAGUUAUGUAAUCUGCAAGAAUUCAACCUUUACAACAACACUCUGAGUGGACAACUUUCUUCGUUGGUUCAAAUUUUACUGUCUGCAUGCCCUGAUCAAAACUCAUUAGAGACUCUGGACCUCUCAAGGAAUCAUCUUUCUGGAUCAAUUCCCAAUCUCACAAACUUUUCAUCAUUGAAAGAAUUAGUUCUCCAUGACAAUCAAUUGAGUGGAACAGUACCUGAAAGCAUUGGGCAUAUGUCUAUGCUCGAGCGUAUCUACCUUAGUAUGAAUGCUUUGGAAGGUGUGGUUUCGGAAAGCCACUUCGCCAAUCUCUCCAGAUUAAGGGAUUUGGAUAUGUCUGAUACCCCACUAUCUUUAAGCUUCAGUUCUAAUUGGACUCCUCCUUUCCAAUUGGAUUUGAUACAUUUGAGCUCUUGCAUGGUGGGUCCACAUUUUCCAAAAUGGCUUCAAACUCAGAAAAGUUAUCAGGAACUUUAUAUUUCUAAUGCAGGAAUUUAUGAUAUCCUUCCAAGUUGGUUUUGGAGCCCUCUGUCUCGUCAGGAUCCUCCUAGAUAUAUUAUUAUAGAUCUUUCCAACAAUCGAAUUAGAGGAACAAUUCCAAAUUCAAGAUUUGAGUUUCCCUCCUCUUCCUUUAGUCAAGUGAAUUUGAGUUGGAAUCAAUUGGAAAGUCCAGUCCCUUCAUUCCUUUCCACAGCGACAUAUCUAGAUCUCUCCAACAAUAAGUUUUCAGGAUUAGUUUCUUUCAUGUGCCCAAAGACUCCGAACAAGGUUAGUCCUUUAGCCUAUCUUGAUCUCUCAAGCAACAAUUUGUACGAACAACUUCCUAAUUGUUGGACACGUUUUGAAAAUCUUGGCUUUCUUGAUUUGAGUGAUAAUGCUCUUUUUGGGAAAAUUCCUACCACAAUGGGCUCUUUACCUUCUAUUCAAACGCUGAAGUUAAACAAGAAUGAGUUUGUGGGGGAAUUGCCUUCAUCUUUGAAGAAUUGCAGAAUUCUGAGCAUAUUUGAUGUUGGAGAAAAUAACUUAUCAGGUUUGAUACCUGAAUGGUUAGGGGUUGGACUUCCAAAUUUGGCUAUCCUUAUCCUCCGUUCUAAUCACUUCUAUGGAAGCAUCCCACUACAAUUGUGUAAUAUGAGAGACAUUCAAAUUCUGGAUUUUUCGAUGAAUAACAUCUCUGGAAAUAUACCC